RNAcentral lists this long non-coding RNA (128038 nucleotides) under Setaria italica (foxtail millet). RNAcentral describes it as "long non-coding RNA (SITA_LNC004080)". The stretch from base 108074 to 108146 matches the Rfam family "tRNA". Lineage: Eukaryota; Viridiplantae; Streptophyta; Magnoliopsida; Poales; Poaceae. The record is from RNAcentral.
AGAAAGCAACCUAACAUACACAAAAGAUGCAAUUAUCUUGUGUGUUUGUUGUUUUAAUACCUUCCUCCUUCUAGUAAUUAUGGUAACUCUUUUUGAUAGGUUUAUCCAGGUUUAUACGGUGAUUCCAAGACUCACUUCUAUGUUUACUAGACGGUGAGCCAUCUUUCCUAUUUGUUUAGAAAUUACUCAUUUUCUCUUACUAAAGUUACUUUUAUAAUGAUAUUAUAGCGUGAUGGUUAUCAAAGAACGGGUUGCUAUAAUUUGAAGUGCCCUGGCUUUGUUCCUGAAGCUAAUGUACCUAUGGUUCCUGGAGUUGUUAUUCAUGCGGUAUCUGAUCCCAAUGGAGUCAAACGUACCAUCAUCUUCAAAAUUUUAAAGGUAGAAGGAAUGUGUCCCUUCCUAAUAUUUGUAAAAUGAGUAUAGAAAUGUUCAUCCUACUUUCCAAUGGUUAUGCAAGUUUGGCUAUGCUUAGAAACUUAUUGUAUGCCUUCUUUAUAAUCGUAAUCUCCAAUUUUUUUUAAAAAAAAAUCCAAAAUCGUACCGAAGAUUGGUUGGUGCACCUUGGAUUUGACUCUGAACCAUAUUUGAUUGGGCGAUUCCCUAAAUCCUUAUUCACUAGCCUGGGUAACCAAGCAAAUGAAAUUCAACUUGCUGGUACCGUGGUAACUCCAACAACCCACUUAGCCCCAAUGGGAAGUGGAUCCAAACAAUGUAAAAGCAGCAGCAUUCAACAAUAUUCAACUUAUUGAUCAGAAUGGCAAAGCAUACAUGGUUCGACAAGAUUUGCCUACCUUUAUGACUGAUAAGAACAUAUAUUCUGUCUCCCCAGUCGGUGUUGAUGGCAAAUUCACCUAUGGUGGGCCUUUGGAAUGAGAAACAAGAAUGUAUUAGACUACAUCUCUUUGAAUAACAGUAAGAGAAUGUAAUCCUUUGUUUCAUGGCAUCUAUUCUUAUGCAAAAAAAUUAAAAGUAGUGGUUUAUAUAACCUGAAACUAGGUUCCUAUAUAGGACUUUAACCACCUGCAGCCUGAGGGGAUGAAUAAGAAGCAAUAAUAAUUUCUUCAUGAAGAAGAACCUACCCUAUAUCUCGGUUCAACCCAAUGCACCUCUUCUCACAUUCGCCAAAUCCACGUAGUCACAUCAAAUCUACUGAAUCGAGUGAUGUUGGGAAAUCUUAGAGCAAAGUAGAAGCAAAUAUGAAUCGAUCGAGGCAAAAUUCAGUACAAAAGAUCGCUACAAAACCUACAACCUUUCAUUUCAAACUAAGACCUCCGUUCUAGUUUUGAAAAUCGGAUUCUCUAUUUUUUUGAGGGAAAUCAACUACUAUGGUAUUUUUUAUACUCAACUCCGGUGUUUCGAGUUUCAACAUAGGGAAAAAAGACAUCUAGAUCUUUGGAAAAAAGGCAAAACUUGAUCAAAAGACCCUCAAAAUUUGUGAAUUUUUAACCAUUACUUCUCGUAAAUAUGGUGAGUUUUUGACAAAGAGAUCUCAUAGAAAAUGAAGACUUCACCUCAUGGGUUUGGCCAAGAAUACAAGAAAAAGAGAGUUUUGGUAAAAAAAAAACUCAAGAUCCAUGGUGCCUAUGCAUGAAUUGUCCAGCGAUCAUCCUAGAUGUUAUUGUACAUGUCCUAGCAUUGAUUUGGCCUAAGAAACACACCUCAUUUGGGUACUACUUGGUAGUAUUGGCAUUAGGUCACACAUUUAAGUUAAGCUAGCAGAUUGUUGGGAUUUAAUCCUCUCAACAGCGCAAUCUACAAAUGCGGAGCUAUUACAGUUUGAGAGGGAGGGUUGAAUGUAGAGCUAAAUGCACAUCCAUGAUCCAAUACAAUGGGUUGUCGAAAAAGAAUAAUGCUAUGUAUAAGCAAGCAAAACAACUUAGAUAUUGAAGACAUCUUUUAGUAUCGUACUACUAGUUUAGUGUUUUAAGCUUCCACCUAUAACAAAUAUCUUUUAGCAUUGUAGGAAAGAAUUUUUAAAUGAACAAAAGAAUCUGAAGAAUUUGUUGGACAAUUAGCAAAUUAAAUAGAAAGAAGUAAUUGUUGACUUUUUUCUUGUGGGCAUAGUAUGUGACUCUAAAUUGAGCAGUUUAGCACGGAUGAUGCUUAAUCCUUACGUACAAUCUUGCACUUUAUACUAUUUGUAAGCCGUGUAUAUUAGAAAUAUUGACUUGUGUCAUGCAUGGAUAGCAUAUUUCAAUAUACAGAUGGACCUGAGAUACACUUGAUCGCCCACUGCAUGCAAAUGUGUUGUUCUGAUCUAUUUUUUACAGCUUGUCAUUUCAUUCAUUGUUAGGCAUGGAGCAAAUGCUGCUUCACCAAGUAAAUCAUGAGCUCACGUCUUCACGGUCUCAUUUUUUUAGAUUAAGGAAAGAAAUUUGGUCUGAACAAUCAGCGUUUUGAGAGCUUACAAUCGAAGUGAACAGAAACUGCAGUACUGAGACUGCUUACAACUCAUACAAAACUAGAGUUUGAAACAAAUGAAAACUAGAGUUUGCCACACAAUUUAGCAUGUGAUUCGCUUCAUGAGAUUCCACCCUACCUUGCUGAAGACUUCCAUGACUGUGACCUCCAAUUUUUGCCAAUUUUCCUUUAAGCUACAUCUCUCUUCCUCUUUAGAUAGUAUUGACCGAUCCAAUAUGUCUCCUGAAGAUGACCUGCAAGAACGAGUUAGGUUUCGAUCUUUGGAAGACCACAUCAUUUCUACUCAACCACAAGGCCCAACAUAGGGCAGAAGCAUCAAUUAAAUUUUGAUUUCUUAGUUUAAAAGGAAAACUCUUAAUCCAGAGACAAACAUAUCAACCAUACAAGACUGUGGUUGAAAGCCAAAAGAGAUGCUGACAGCAUUCCAAACAAACCACGCUACAUGACAAGAUCAGCUACAGCACAACCAUCAGCCCAGUUCAAACCAGAGUCCCUUAUAUAUAUACAUUUUCUUGAAAAAUAGCCAACAUUGCUUAAUCUAAUGGCUAGAGUCAAGCCAAACUACCUUGAAUCGUCAAAUGAAUAUUUAUAGUAACCUUCACCACAAACGCAAGACGUCAUUCGAUAUUUUGAUCUGUUUCGUGAUGGACAAGAGCUUUGCUUGGACCACCCACUGCCUGUGCAAGAGCGAUACCAAAGCGGCAGAGCCCAAUAGGAACUAAUCAGGAUAUAUAGGAAGGCGACAGUGCAAUCAGGUGAACUAAUCAGGUUUCUGGUUGGACAUUGAACAUAACUUCUGUUAGUAGUAUCAUUUAUCAACAUAUUUUAUCAAACCCUAUGAACAAGCAUUAAAUUCCACAAGACAUCAUGCCGACAUCGGGCUACGAUUUCUCAGAUUUCAAAUUUUCACGGGAAACACUGGUCAAAUAGAGAGAGCUUAAUUAGAACAUGAUCAGCAUAAACCGUAUAUAUAUAUAUAUAUAUAUAUAUAUAUAUAUAUAUAUAUAUAUAUAUUCUAAUCCAAAGGUGGUCCCUUUUCUUUCUACAGCGAAGAACAAGCAUCUAAUCCAUAGGCAGUCUAUAUAUGAGUCUAUUUACUGUGUCCUCUUCAGAAGCUCACUAGUAGUAUCUUUUAUGUCAACUUGAGGUCCUGUCCUGUGCCAACUUGGAGUCUUGUGUCAGGGCCUGCAACAUGAAGAAAGGUGAAGUAAAGUUAAUGAAUACAAUAGAUGCCAGCAACCUCUAAUUUACUGUUACGUGGAAUUAGCAGAGACGACACUGCUGCAAGUUAGAAAAACCGUGUGCUCCUAGAUUCGAUAAGAUUCAAAGUUAAGUAAAAAAGAAAAGGGGUUUACAUGCACCACGAUUUAUCAAUAUGCAAAGAAGUUCAUCAGUCAAAGAAAUUCAACUGUGGCUUGACCUCCAGAAAACACUUACAGUACCUAGCAAGAAUCUACACGGGGAAAAAAGCAAAGGCCUAAAGGAAAGCAACAACGAACUAGUUUUUUUAUGAAAAAGAUUACAGCAGCGAACAUCUCCUGAUCUCCCAGAGCACUACUACGGGGGUGUUUGGAUACAAGGUACUAAACUUUAGGAGGGUCACAUCGGAUGUUCGGACGUUAAUUAGGAGGACUAAACAUAAACUAAUUAUAAAACUAACUGCAGAACCCCUAUACUAAUUCGCGAAACGAAUCUAUUAAGCCUAAUUAAUUCAUCAUUAGCAAAUGGUUACUGUAGCAACACAUUGUCAAAUCAUGGACUAAUUAGGCUUAAUAGAUUCGUCUCGCAAAUUAGACUCCAUCUGUGUAAUUAGUUUUGUAAUUAGAUUAUAUUUAAUACUUCUAAUAAUUAGACAUCCGAUGUGACAUAUUAUAAACUUUAUGACCUCGCGUCCAAACGGGCCCUACCUCAGCGAGCACAUGCUUCUUUUUUUUCCUAAAAAAGGAAAAGACUUUGAUUAAGCUGCACACCGCACCUGCUCUGCUGCUCAGACGCAGCAGCCGCCACCCAGGCCGGCCAUGCAGCAGGCGCACUCGCGCGCAGCCCGGUCCACCAUCUCCACGCCCCACCACCUCACCCACUGCCUCGCUGAUGACGCGGCGGACGUAGCGCAAGCUGGAGCCAAACAUCCAGACGAGGAACCAGGCUGCGGCCAGCCCCGCGACGAAGAAGCCCCGCCUCCUUCACGGAGACGAGCGGCAUCGCCGGGGUCGGCGCGGGUACGCACAAGGGUAGCGGCUGCUCAACCGGCUGGCCAAGGGGAAAGAAGGGAGGCGGCGGCGGAGCAGACAUUCUCGCUGGCUGCGUUGGGCUCGCUCGAGUCCCUCAAAUCCUGAGUGCACCACCACUUAACUUAGCGGUUGAGAACUUGUUAAUUUUGUAUCAAGAUGACUAGAUUACUUGUUGGUUGCAUUCAUUAGAUCAGUUGAUCGAGGAGCACCUGGACAACCCAUCACUCUCACGAACCCAAAACGGAGCCACACGACACGACUGGCGUCAGAGUCAGGUUCCUGGAGAUGAAGCCGCACGACGACGACUGACUGGCACACGAUGACACGGCAGGGUGUAUAUCUGUUAGUGCUGAUCGAGCAGGAGCGCAGAGCAUAUGACUGCAUGAGAUUUGAGAUGUGCGUGAGGUAACCAUCGAUCUCCAGAGUUGUUGUUGGGUCAAGAGAAAAGGGAUGAAAAGGAGCGGCGGUUUGCAAAUGAUUUGCUUCAGCCUGACGGAAAGAUGUUCGCGAGGCCGGGACAGCGACAUGUCGCCUUCUUCUUCGCCUGACACUGUGCCAGCCCCGGUUUAGCUUGUAAAUCCGGCAGGUUUUCAGAUCCAAAUCUCGAACGGCGCAUACGUCCGAGGGAGGAGUACGUAGGGCGAACUGUGUGAGUAGAAUAAUGCAGCAACAGCCCGGCCGUGCAUUGCAUGGGUCAGAUCUGAAAUCUCAAAUCUCUGAACCCUUCCAAGUCAAGCGUCCAACGACCCACUUCCUACCGCAGCGAGAGGUUUUGCAUUUCACACCUUGCGUCGUCUCGUUUAAGCAGAAAAGAUGACUUGAUUCUCUCGAUAGUGACGCUAGAAGCCUUCAAGCCUAGAACACAAAUGGGCACGGCCGAGUCUCCAUUGCUGACACUUGCAGACUCCAUGGUUUUUUGGUUUUACAAAAACAAGGUAGUUCGUGCAAAGUUUGGCUACAUCCAAAACCGUGAACAAUAAACAUUCAUGGAGCCAUUUGAUAACAUAACUUUACUAGAUUCCAAAUCAACCACGAUAAGAUCAUGCAGACUAACUUUGCAUAACAUAGGUGUCCUCGUCUCCCAAAAUUCAGUAACCGAGAGAUACCAUGAAUUAAAAAUGGAAAUUCAAAUGCUUACUAACUAUUUUAUUCAAAACAUCAUGUAUUUAAGUAUGAAAGUGGUACAAGAUAUGCAAAGUUUGCAUAUUGUAAAGAGCACUUCAAAGACUUGUGUAUUUUGGAUGUUAAGUGUCAACGGAUGCUGAGGGGACGACCCACGUGGCAACCUGGACCUGGUGACCAGCAAUUUAGUUUAUCUUAUGAGUUAAUGAAAUUUCGGACUCAAUUCAAAAAGAAACUUACCUAUUGUGGAAAUAUACAAAACUAACAUUCGAUAAUCGAGAAAUAAUGAAAUUCAAUAUAAGACAGAUUCAAACUAUUGGUACUAGCCACGAAUCGUGCCAUGCCACUCAGUUGGCAGGCAACUUUGUGCAAGUUUUAUCCAAUUCACCACGCCUAUAUCCUAGCACGUACUCUCUCUCCCAAAUUAAUAUUCGUUUUAGUUUUUUAAUUCAUAAUUUUUGCUAUGCACCUAAAUAUAUACUAUGUCUAGAUACAUAGUAAAAGUCAUGUAAUUAGAAAAGCUAAAACGAAUAGUAAUUUGGGAAGGAGGGAAUAUCACUUGAGUGUGUUAGAUGUAAUAUGUGUGAAAGUUUAAUUUGGAUAAGGAAUACCGUACUUGUCCGGCCAACACUAACUAAUUAAUAGUUGGGGCACGUGUAAAAUCUUGACGCUAUAUACAGGGGACAUCGCUAGAAAUGCUGGGAUACAUUUCAUAUACGUAGUGGGCUGCUACAAUUCGCUAGGCAAAUUGAGAGUAUUUGUUAACAAGAUUUGGAUAAUUAGCCAGCAAAAAAGCAAAUUAUUGGAGGGCCUGUUUGAAAGGAUCGCACUGUUUGGCUCGUUUCUUCUUCUCCUCCUCCGCAUGCCUACCUCCUCCUAACCCACCAUCGAGUCACCAACCUCGCACCCGCCACCGCCUCCGCUUGGCCGCUCUCCCGCCAUGAAGCAGCUCCACAAGUCAUCCCCCACCCACGCGCCGUCGCCGGCGCACGCUCCGGCGCCGAAGGCGGCCAAGCAGGCGCGCCCUGGCCCGCGCUCCUGGAUCGGGUACCUCCUCCGCGAGCAGCGCCUCCUUUUCGUCGUCCUCGGCGCGCUCAUCGCCUCCACCUUCUUCCUCCUCCGUCCCUACCUCUCUCUCUCCCCAUCCUCCCACCUCCCCGACGCCCGCCCGCUCUUCUCCUUCGCCGCCCGCUCCGGCGUCCCCGCCGGGUACCGCCCGCCGCCGCGCCGGGUCGUCGUCACCGGCGGGGCCGGGUUCGUCGGCAGCCACCUCGUGGACCGGCUCCUGGAGCAGGGCGACAGCGUGAUCGUUGUCGACAAUUUCUUCACGGGCAGGAAGGAGAACGUCGCGCACCACCUCCGGAACCCGAGGUUCGAGCUGCUCCGCCACGAUGUCGUCGAGCCAAUUCUCCUCGAGGUCGACCGGAUCUACCACCUCGCGUGCCCCGCGUCGCCUGUGCACUACAAGUACAACCCGAUCAAGACGAUCAUAUCCUUCAUUGCCGGAUCUGCAUCUUCUUUUGAUUUUGCUUACAUUGAAAGCAACUUGAUCUGAUCACAUCUUCUCAUUUUGUUUUUGUCUUUUGUCGGUGGGUGGGUGGGUGGAUGGUAAAUAUGCCCGAAACAAUUCGGAUAUAAUUGGGGAUCUGGGGUGUGGGGAAUGGGAAGACAGACAAAACAUUGUUAACUGCUGUCAAGCGUAGAACAGUCUGGUAGAAUUCGGCUUUCUGUGUUAGUUUUGCUGUCCAAUAGAUUUGUCAUCUGCCACUAAGACUAUCGUUUGACAUAGAAUUGUGAUCACCAUAAAAUGCACUAUCACAAUGUUAUCAAUCUGGACAUGCUUAAGGCGCGCAAAAAGAUUGACUGGGCAUACUUAAGGACCAAUUUAGAUAACAUCAUCUCCUUGCUCUUGUUUAACUGAAUAUUCUUAGGGAUCAAUUUGUGUAGUAUUAAGCUAGGGAUUGGGCCAUUUUAGUUUAGUAAUUUGAAACCAAAUCUAAAGGGAGUCCUGCUGUAUGAGUAGAUCCUUGAUAUUAUUUUCUUGGUGGUGUGACUUUGUGUGUCAUUUUUGUAUCCAAGAGGUGGUCAUCACCAUGUAUUUAUGUUCAUUAUUAGUACAAGAGUUCUGUUAUUUCAAUAAUUUUGAAAUUGAGCUUCUUAACAAUUAGUACAAGACAAAUGUCAUGGGAACCUUGAAUAUGUUGGGUCUGGCAAAGCGAAUUGGUGCAAGGUUCUUGUUGACUAGCACAAGUGAAGUUUAUGGUGAUCCACUUGAGCAUCCACAGAAGGAGACUUACUGGGGGCAUGUUAAUCCUAUAGGUACCCAGUGACGCGCUUGUCUAGUUAUUGCCUUUUAAGCCUCUUUAUUCUGUUCAAAGCAUCACAUAUCACCUCCCACAAAAUCAAUCCCUUUGUUUUUCUCAGGUGUUAGGAGCUGUUAUGAUGAGGGAAAGAGAACAGCAGAGACUUUAACCAUGGACUAUCACCGUGGUGGUGGUGUUGAGGUAAUACUCCAGUCUGUGUAGUCAAAUAUGAUAUCUUGUGAUCUGAUGAGAAAUUUGUUGUAUAGGCUUUGAAGCCUUUCAAAAUUUUGUUUUGCAUUUACUUAACUGGCAAAAUAAGGAAACUCAGUGAACACACAAUCUAAACUUCUUCAUAUCAUAAAUUUUCGAUUCUGCUUUAGUUCUUGAUUACUGAUACGAUCUGGAAAGAUACAGUUCUAUUAUGGACAACUAUUUCAGCUCAGGAAAACCUAAAUGAUUGUAAAUGUUCUUAUAUUUCCCAAUUGGCAUGUGGAUUUAUUUCAUUAGCAGUUACUCAAAUUAUACUAGGUUUAAUAUAUAUUUAUUAUUUGCAUUAAUAUCCUGUUUCUGCAAUUUUUCUUUGAUCAAUCUUAAGAGAAUGUAAAAUAAAAGGGUACAGCUCUGUAUUUGUUAUCAAUGCAGUUUAUGUGACCACAAUGUCUUAAUUGCUAUUACUUGUUGGAUAUCUUUCACUAACUGAUAUAUACACAGGUGCGUAUUGCUCGCAUUUUCAAUACAUAUGGUCCUCGUAUGUGCCUCGAUGAUGGUCGUGUGGUCAGCAAUUUUGUUGCACAGGUCUGUUUGUCACAUAUUGUGGGUUCUAUUUUCCAUAGCUAUAAGUUGUUGCGCAUCUAAACAUCCCUCUGGUUUGACUUGCAGGCACUACGUAGACAACCAAUGACAGUUUAUGGUAAUGGAAAACAAACUCGAAGUUUCCAAUAUGUUUCUGAUCUGGUAAGCAUAAACAUUCUUAUUGUGCUAUGUCUGUGGACUGUGAUAUCAGUUAUAAUUCUUCUGUGCUCCCUAUCGCAAGUGAUCUGGGCAACACUCUCUUAUGCUGUUGUAUAUCCUAAGAAUCAACACAAAAUUAAGUGUUAUGCUUGUCACAUCAGCUUUUGCACUGUCCAAUCUCAUGGCAAUUGUUACCAGCACAUAUUGAUGUUCAUAUUGUUGCCACAUUUUUCCAAUUCGGAGACAGAAUUUUCUAUGACUUCGAUCUUAUCUUGUGCAUUGCAAAUUUAUAAUUAAUAGAUGAAGUCUGACCCAUGGAUGCACAUACAUUUGCAUGCCUAUUAUUAAGUUUUUCAUAUUCUUUCUCAAUAUCUUUUUAGGUUGCUGGACUGAUGGCUCUUAUGGAGAGUGAUCAUAUUGGUCCAUUUAACUUGGGAAACCCCGGAGAGUUUACCAUGUUGGAGUUAGCACAGGUAUGUAACAGUUAGUUUUAAAUAAUGUUUUUUCAUCUCGAAAUGGUGUGAAGCUGAUCAUCAUGCAUUUUCCAGGUUGUGAAGGAAACAAUUGAUCCAAUGGCAACCAUUGAGUUCAAACCCAAUACGGCUGAUGAUCCCCAUAUGAGAAAGCCAGAUAUCACCAAGGCCAAGCAACUGCUUCAUUGGGAGCCAAAGGUCUCUCUCAAGGAAGGCCUUCCCUUAAUGGUGACAGAUUUCCGUCAAAGGAUCUCGGAUGAGUAACCGAAGCAAUGUUGUGGUAUUGGUGACCCAUUUGAUUCUGAAUGAUGCUGCAAAUAUGGUGAGAAGCACUUCAUCAACUGAAGCCACGCAGUACAAUGUACUGUAUACAUGAUAGAUUCUGUAGAAUCUCGUAGUCCCCACUUGAAAUAUGGGGAUUCUGUCUACGGGAAUAGUGCCUUUUCCUGUGAAAUAGCUGCAAAGUUCAUGUGAAAUUCAUAUUAAUUUUAUUUGUACCUUGGCGAGACAGAACAGAAGUAGUCAAUUAAUUUUGUGCAUGUGUGGAAGAAUUCCAGAUGUGGUCGGUGAGAGGUAGGAUAUAAUACUGUAUUUCAUGAGCCUUUGUAACACGACAUUAUGGAUGCUUGAUUAUGUGAAAAAUGUAAUUGAACGUGUUUUGCCAGCUCAGUCUUGUUGCUAUUGCAUAAUCCAACUGUCAAUCCACAAAUUCCCCUUUUAGUUUUUUGAGAGUGAAAUUCCCCUUUUAUUACUGAACGAACAACUCAACAAACUAUACAAUAUAUGUUUCCGAACGGUUUUCGGAUACAAUCUUCUCGUGAAAAGUUGAUUCUCCAGUAAGUGGAAGCCAACUUGCAGCAUGUUAAGUGAACAAGUGUUUCUUCAGAUUCUGUAACCUUCUACUUGAGAUGCACACUGAAACUGAGCCCACUGCUCGAGCUGACAUCACCACCCAUUUGAGGCGCAUCUGCUGCUCUGACGACGGCGAAACCAGCGGCGCCGCUGUACCGCCCCGUCCCUCCGACCACCGCGACGUGAGACUCCUCCUGGUCGUCGCGGCGGACCCCGAAGAACCUGAGGCUGUCGUCGGCGCCAUCGCCGGCGAACGAGGCCCUCACGGCCACCAUGUGGCUGCUGUUGUCUGCCGAGCUGGUGACGAGGACGCCCUGCAGCCUCCCUUCCAGAGGCAGCCCGAACUCCUUCCUGCCGCGGAGCUCCUCGUCGACGACGGUCACCGUGCCGGGCCGGAGCGCGCCUGGCCGCGUCAAGGCGCGCAGCCAGCUGCCGUGGUGCCCGAUCGGGCCCUCACUGGUAAAGACAGCGUGAUGCGAGGAAGCAGCCGUGGCUUUGGGUGUUGCGUGGCCAGCGGUGUAUAGUGUGAUCGUCUGGCCGGAGCCGGGGGAGAGGGCCGGGGGACUGUGACGUGCCGGCCGGCCGGCAGCCGCCGUGCUUGUCACGGCCAGCAGGAACGCGAGAGCAAUGCAGGCUUGCUUGAGGAAACGGGUGCAUGAUGGCGCGUGCAUCUCAAAUGUUUGGUGUUUGAUGAUGGGGCGUGGUGCCUGCAAAGAUUUCGGUUAGGUGAUCUGGAGUGCAAAUGGUUGGAUAAGUAAGAUCAAAGGGAGUUGGUUUAUGAGCCAAACCACUCCAUUAGGUCUGUUGGAGUAGCAGAAACAACUCUCAGAAUCUGCUGCCUGGACCGUGCGCGCACGUGUGCGCAUCGAAAGUUCAGUGUACGUAAUGCGCCGAAAUUCGCUUUCUUCUUUAGGCUGCAGCUAGCCGACAUAGUCAUGUUUAGUUCCCUCCAAACUUCCAACUUUAACACUAUACAAAAAGAAGAUUUCUCGUCACAUCAAAUUUGCAGUACAUGCAUGGAGUACUAAAUGUAGACGAAAUCAAAAACUAAUUGCACAGUUUUGUUGUACUUUGCGAGACGAAUUUUUUGAGUCUAAUUAGUCAAUAUUUGAAUAAUAAUUCACAAAUACAAACGAAACGCUACAGUUACACAUUUAUGGCAAAAUACCAAUUUUACCACUCUCAAAUUGGAAACUAAACGAAGCUAUACGAUUUCAAGGAAGGUUUACGUAUAUUUUGGUAAGAGUCGAAGGCUCCGGAAGCCCCUGGGCGGCCGCGCACUUUUAUUUCGGCCCAGCGGGCAGUGGCCCAUCAUGCCCUCUUCUAAGUCGCGUCCUCCCCUCCCUGGCCAACCAUUUCUCCCUUCCUCCCCUCCCAAAUUUGUUGCGGCGGGAGAGAGGCUCGAGAGAGACACAGCGCGUAGAAACCGGCGGCGGCGGGCGGUAGCGGCGAUGAGGAUCGAGGAGGUGCAGUCGACGUCGAAGAAGCAGCGCAUCGCCAUCCACACCCACAUCAAGGGCCUCGGCCUCGACGUAGCUGCCCCCAUCCCUCUCGCUUCUCCGUUCCCCUCUUCCCGAAGGGGAGGGUUUUUCUAGGGUUUUAGCGUCUCUGUGUCUGCGUAGAUCCUCACUGCCUUGUUUGUGUUUUUUUUGUGGGAGCAGGCCAAUGGAGCGGCGCUUCCGUUGGGGAGUGGAUUCGUGGGGCAGGCGGGGGCGCGGGAGGGGUCCGGGCUGAUAGUCGACAUGAUUCGCCAGAAGAGGAUGGCCGGCCGCGCGGUUCUCUUUGCGGGUCCUCCCGCCACGGGAAAGACGGCGCUCGCGCUCGGCAUCUCCCAGGAGCUCGGAAGCAAGGUGCGUGCCUCCAAUUGCUCUUCUCCUCUCACAAAUCAGCUAAUCGUUAUGGUGGUAGAGCUAGGGUUUUCUUCCUCUCCUUUUGUCCUUUUUUGUGGGUGAUAAUGUUCAAUCUCAUACCAAAACACUGGUCUAGCAUUGGCAGGAAUUAUGCUUUUUGGGAAUUUACAUACUAGUUUGCUGUAUUGAUUCGUGGAUUACCAGUUUUUAGCUACACAAAUUGAAUUAAUCAUUUUAAGUUUUAUUGAGGGUGGCUGUGGAUGAGGACAGACUCUGAUUAAUUCUAGGCCGUCUUUAGUAAGUUAUCUGUAAUUCUGCUUGUGAAUUAGCCUGAUUGGUGAACUACCUCUGAAUGUGGAAGGGCUUAUCAGGUUUCACAAAAAGCCUGCCUACUUAGUUUAUAUCGAGUUUCAUGCUGUAUGCUAGUAGCAUUUGUGUUGUUCUCAUCCAAUAAUUUCCUCCCUUGUUUUGCUAUUCUACAAUGCAGGUCCCUUUCUGUCCUAUGGUGGGAUCGGAAGUGUACUCUUCAGAGGUCAAGAAAACUGAGGUGCUGAUGGAACAUUUUCGUAGAGCUAUAGGCUUGCGUAUAAAGGAAAACAAAGAGGUUUAUGAAGGAGAGGUAAGUAAUAAAUUUGAAAUACAAGGUUAUACUUAAAUUAGUGUUUCUCUUGAUUUAUCAACAUUUUUUAUAAUAACUUCAAUGAUGGAUGUCCACUUCUUGCUUUUAUGGAUUGAUCAUUGUUGCUCUGUUUCCUAGGUUACUGAACUUUCCCCGGAAGAGUCCGAGAGUACAACAGGUGGAUAUGCGAAAAGCAUUAGCCAUGUAAUCAUAGGUCUAAAGACUGUUAAGGGGACUAAGCAACUGAAGUUAGAUCCUUCAAUUUAUGACGCUUUAAUCAAGGAAAAGGUAACUGCCUGCUUUCAUACCACUUCCCCCUGGUGCUACACCUUUGGAUUGCAUUUUUACUCUUCAUAACAUUGGGUGGAUCAGCAACAACAACAACAACAUAGCCUUCCAGGCUCAAGCAAGUUGGGGUAGGCUAGAGUUGAAACCCAACAAGAGCCACCAAUCAGGGUUCGGGCACAUGAAUAGCUGUUUUCCAAGCACUCCUAUCCAGGGCUAAAUCUUUGGGUAUAUUCCAUCCCUUAGAAUCUCCUUUUAUUGCCUCUUUCCAUGUCAAUUUUGGUCUUCCUCUUGCCUCUCUUCACAUUACUGUCACGCCUUAGGGUUCCACUAUGCACCGGUGCCUCCGGAGGCCUUCGUUGGACAUGUCCAAACCAUCUCAGCCGGUGUUGGAUAAGUUUUUCUUCAAUUGGUGCUACCCCUAACCUAUCACGUAUAUCCUCAUUCCGGACUCGAUCCCUUCUCGUAUGACCACAAAUCCAACGCAACGUACGCAUUUCCGCAACACUUAUCUGCUGGACAUGUCGUCUUUUCGUAGGCCAACAUUCUGCACCAUACAUCAUUGCAGGUCUAAUCGCCAUCCUAUAAACCUUGCCUUUUAGCUUCAAUGGUACCCUCUUGUCAUAUAAAAUUCCUGAUGAUUGGGUGGAUAUAAUUGUUUUUUUGCUCAAAUAUGUCUUGAUGCACAUUUUUAACCUUAAGUGGCAUCUUAUUGAUAACUUACUCGGCUGGAAAAUUUUAUGUUAAGUCUCUAUCAGAUGUCCUGUUGUAAACUAGCACUUCUGGAGCUAAGUAGAUCCGUUGACAUUGAAAAAUCAGGCAAUAUUUGCUUUCUGGCUGCUGUGUGCUAUCAGCAUGUUGUUUUUGGUUACUCAUUGGCUGCAUGUGGAAUGCAGGUGGCAGUGGGUGAUGUUAUAUACAUUGAAGCAAAUAGUGGUGCAGUGAAAAGAGUUGGUAGAUGCGAUUCUUUUGCUACAGAAUAUGACCUUGAAGCUGAGGAGUAUGUUCCAAUCCCCAAAGGUGAAGUCCAUAAGAAAAAGGAAAUAGUACAGGUACCAGUCUGAUGCAAUUUUUUACCAUAAGUUUUCGUUUACUUUCUGCAGUGUGCUUUUCACAUCGUACCCUCAUAAUGAAUGUUGUUGUAAUUAAAACAAUAUAUUUCAGACAUUGUUUUGAUCUCCACUUUCUAAGAUGCAAGCUUUGUCCACUAAUUUCUAUUGAUGUCUGUCACUAUGCUGGACAAAAGCAAUUUAAACAUCUUAUUAAAAAUUGUUAUGCUGUGGCUGGCUAUGGUACUAUCAACUUUAGCUACAAAAGUUUCUCUAUGUUUCCCUCCAAAUUUUAUGUCCACCUUAUUCAUCUUUUUCUUUUAAUUAAAUGGAAACUGCAUUCGUAGUCGCUUAAUCAGCUAGUUGGGAGGUACAUUUUUUUGGACAAUCAUAUAAGAUGCGCGCACCAGAUUGUGGCAGCAACAAAUAUGGAAGAUUCAUAUAAUCCAAUAAUAAAUACUGUUUCUUCCUUGGUAGAAUAAAUAUAUGCAUAAACAUAGGUAUAAAAAAGGAUUAUGGCUAUACAAGCUCAUGACUAUCACUCUAUCAGGCAUCCACUUGAGUCCUUUCAACAAGAAUCUUCUUGAGUCCAUUAACUUUAUUCUAUCAUUGCAACUACUACUACUUAGCAAACUUACUGUUCAAUUCAGCUGGAAGAUUACCUAUCAUCUCAGGAAGGAUGAUAUUUUUUUAUGCAAUAUCCGACAAGAAUUAAUGUUCCUAUUUUCAUCCUGUCAUGAAGGUUUCCUGUAUUUGAAUGCUCUUGUUCUGAAGAGGAAAUAAUCUUCUCAUCAUUUAUGCAGGAUGUCACACUUCAUGACCUUGAUGCGGCAAAUGCCCAGCCACAAGGAGGCCAAGACAUUUUAUCACUUAUGGGUCAAAUGAUGAAGCCGCGAAAGACUGAAAUCACUGACAAGCUACGCCAAGAAAUUAAUAAGGUUUAGAUUUUUUUUACUGACAACUUUGGACUGUAUCAUAAUUUUCAGUGUGAACGGUAAUCAUGUACGAAUGAUGGUGGCAGGUUGUAAACAGAUAUAUCGAUGAAGGAAUUGCAGAGCUUGUACCUGGUGUUCUGUUCAUUGAUGAGGUAUCAUUCUGUCCUCGUGAUUGAAAAUCCACUGCUUUCACAUGCUAGAAAAAAAAUUAAGAAAUAUAUUUAAUUCUCGUGGAGCCCUGCUACAUUUGUUGAACUUCAUCGUGUCUUCUGAUUACUCAAAACUAAUCAAUAAUAAUAAUAAUAAAAUUUUCCAGGUCCACAUGUUGGACAUCGAAUGCUUUUCUUAUCUUAAUCGUGCACUGGAGAGCCCAUUGUCACCGAUUGUGAUACUUGCUACGAACAGGGGAAUAUGUAACGUAAGGUAAGCAAUUUUCUUUGAGACUUAAGGUACCCUGCACCUAACUGCAGUACCAGCAUGGACCCGCACUUGUCUAUUAACUUGCACGGUUGCACCUUACACGUUUAACGAAUCUUGUAAUCUUUUUACCCAGAGGUACUGAUAUGACAAGUCCACAUGGUAUACCAGUCGACCUUCUAGAUAGGUUGGUGAUUAUUCGAACAGAAACAUACGGCCCUACUGAGAUGAUCCAGGUUCUUGCUUAUUUUGAGUCUAAUUUCUAUCAGAUUACACGUUUAGGAUUUGCUUUUAAUGUUUAGAUUAUUGCCCUUUGCAGAUAUUAGCUAUCCGGGCACAAGUGGAAGAGAUUGAUAUUGAUGAAGAAAGUCUUGCUUAUUUAGGAGAGAUUGGACAACAGACUUCUUUGAGGUAUGACUUUGUAUUUGUCCAUAGGGAUUAGCAUAGAGGGUUUACUGAUCUCAAACAUAAGUUCAAUGCGGUUUUUAGUCUCCAGAAUUUUGGUGUAUGCUUCCAAUCACAAAAUAAGAAUUGAUGUCACUGUAGUUCAUUGUUGCAAGCCCUCCACCUCUCGUAGGGUAAUAAACGAUGGUAAUAAUAUCUUCAUUCCCUUUGCAGACAUGCAAUCCAGCUGCUAUCACCUGCCAGUGUGAUUGCAAAGACUAAUGGAAGAGAGAAGAUCUGCAAGGUAUAUAUACUGAAUUUUCACUAGAAUGUUGUAUUUUCCUUAGCUUCUUGUUCUUGCAAGCUUAUAUUUCUGAUCCUGUGAUCUUUAUCAGGCUGAUCUUGAGGAAGUUAGCGGACUCUAUUUGGAUGCCAAAUCGUCAGCACGUCUGCUCCAGGAGCAACAAGAAAGAUACAUCACCUAGAUUUCUCCUGUUGUAGAAGUCACCAAGAAAACGUAGCUGUCGACUCUAAUCAUGUACACUGCAUCGGUCUGGUUAACAGGUGCAGAAUCUUCGAGAGUACAUUUGAGGGGUAGUGAUUUUUGUACUCGCUGCUUUGGACUCCGGUUAGUCUCCAGCGAAGACUAUUCCGGCAUAUUGCUUGUUCACAUACUGUUCUCAGAUUAGAUCGGUGCAGGAAUUGUCGUGUACACCCUUGCUAAUCAGUUCCAAGAUUCCAUGUGCUCACGAGUACAAUCUACCAUCAUUGGUCAUGAAAGAAUGCCUUUUGAAUUUUGACCAUAUACUUGAUUUCUAGAAGCCAAUUUUAAUGUAUUUCUUUAUUUUAAGUACAUAUAAAAAUUAACAAAAAUCUUUCAAUGCAUUAGGUUUGAAGGUAAACCUACCGGCAUGCAAAUAGUACAAUUGUCGAGUGUCUUGAGAGUUGAGAAACAUGCAUUUUGUUCCAAGAACAUUCUUCCACACGCUGAAUCAUUCUUCCGCCUAUUUUUCAAACAACUGAUAUUUUUGCACGUUACCAUUUGCCCAUCGUUUUCCCGAUUUCCUGCGGCAACGCGAAGGAUCUCUGGAGCCUGAGGCCUCCUCUCCUGUCGAUGUUGUGACAGAGGAAGCCGCGAUCAGCAGGCGUCCUCUCGUACAUGCCGGUGUCGCUAUUUUCUACCCGGCCGGGGCGUUUUCCUCCCGUCUCAUGAUGACAUGGAAACGUCCGUAUCAUCAUCUCUCAGACAGCGAUGUGUUGUUGCCCUCGACCUUAUUCGACUCCUCUUCCCGCCCGGAAUCGAUCCCCGAGGAGCAACGCUUUGUCAUCUUCACCCGUGCUGCUACAGAGCACUCCUGUGAAAUACAGCAGAUGUACAAUGGCCGCAUUACGGCUCACGGCAUCACCCGUCGUCGUUGCGUGCUCAACGGUAGCGCUACCGCAUCGUCACCGAGAGGCCCUAGUCACCGGAGACCUACACCACUCGAGUCGGGACGCGGCAUCGCACGGCAUCGCCGCUCGCCUCACGUAGUCGUUCCGGGCUUCCGGCAGUGCGGUGCGUCGUCGACCAGUUAAGCUAGGGUGAUCGCGGCGACAACAACGUGAGUGAGGUCCGGGAAAUGACGCACGCGCUGACACCAAUUCCCCUGCAACGCGACAGCCCCGCCUGGGCCGGCCCGCGUCACAGCCGCACACGCUUCUGGCUGCCAGAUAACGUCACCUCUCCAUGGCUCUCCCACUCCCACGCACCGGCCACCGCGCGCGCGCACUUGCUUUUCUAGCCUCGAUUCCGUCGUCCCCAGCAGGUCAAGUUGGUCGUUUCGUUCGACACCGGUGGCGGCGCGCGCGCCGAGAUUUCAAACAGCUCGUACGAACCAGGUGCAUUGCACCUUGCAGCUCCGGGAUCGCUCUCGACCGGCCAAAUAAAGUCUCGCGAUCGACGGCUUGUCUCUCGACGACGUCGCAGCGUGCGCCCCAAGCCGAUCGACGUACACGUCGAGAGCCCGUGUGUGAUGGAGAUUGGGUUUGGGGUGUGCAGUGCAGGGGCGGAUCGGAUAGGGCGCUCGAAAUAUCUCAACAGUAGGUGACAAGUCCCUUUGCUCUUUCCCCUCUGUUUUCUCCAGGCCCUCUGUCCCCAAUUCCCCCCAUAUUGUGUGGCGCGCGUAGGAGCAUCGGGUACGGCGGCGCCCCUUGGCCAUUUCCAGCCUUUUGUGUCGCGGGUCGCAUGAUUGCAAAUGCCCUUGGUUUUGGCUUUCCGGUCGUGCUCGUCAGCUCGUGCGUGGUGAGAGACGUGAGACGGUGGCAGCGGCGACGCAGCGGCGGGGGGUGUGAAAGGAAUCGGCGGGGCGGGUGCCUAUUCGGUCGUACAGUGCGGGUACACUGUGCCGGCCUUGGCGCCCCCCCAAUCAUUUGUACGGGCGCAAUUUCGCCGGCCAACCCGGGGGCGCCACGUGGCCGGAGAUCUCGUGGGGGAGUGUGGGGUGGUCGAUGUGAUGAGAGAUUUGAGAGCGGCGAAAGCCACGUGACCCGGCCGCGCGCUCCCAUUUUCCAGGAGCGGCCAAAGCUGCCUUUGGAGCUCCGCCCGGAUUGCCGGAGCAUGCUACGUACUGGUAGCGACUAGCGACCACUCACCACGCAGCGUCCUUGCUCAUGUCCUGUCGUUCUGAUGAUGUCCAUGCUUUGUACUAGUUUGUAGCGUGCUGCACGUCUACGCUACAAAUUGUUUUGGUGUAUAAUUUGUUGUCUGUUAAACAAGGAUCGAUAAUGUUGGUAGUACCAUAGUACUGUGCUAGUAGUAGGCUAGUAGCCUUGACCAUCACUUUGCCUUGGGAGGAACUGCAGAUUGUAUUUGCUUACCUAAAGAGUCCACUUUGGUAUGCUUUUACAUGGACAGUUUCUCGUGAACAAUACUGUUGGGCCACCUACGAAUCUUUUGAUCUUUCUCACUGCACAAGUGGGGAACGAACGAGCCAGAGAAUAUUGGAAAGGGGUGAGAUAUUCAGAUAUCCUCCAGACCGAUUCAUGCACGAUAAAAGUUAGCUUUCCAUAGUCCAGAGCUUCCGCACUCUCGGACUAUAUUUGUGUAAAAUGAAAUGAAGAGAAAGCAUGUUGAAAUUCACAUUGAUUAAUUUACUAAUGCUACAGGAAAUAGUUUGAUUAUCCUAGGUUUAAAAUUAUAAAAUUAUAGAUCGUUUUAGCUUUUUUAGAUUCGUAUAUGGAACAGUUUGGAAUAGUGCUCCGUUCCAAAUCCAACCCGAACUGUCUCCUUUUUCUUUACAGCAAACGCUCAAAAUUUACUCGUCGCCUAGUACGACCAACCUCCCCGUCCGCCGAUAGAUCCGACGGCCGCGAAGUGGGCGCCAUCCUUGAUCGCCUGAAAGGAACGGCGGAGGAUGGCAACAAGGUUUUCACCACAAAUGAAAAGGGUAAGGCGGGGCGGCGUGGGCCCGGAAGAAUCCCCUCCAUCACCUCCCAGCGAAUGGGGAGGCGGCACCCACGUGAUGAGCUGCCCGCCCCCACAUCCUGACAUGCGCCGAUCCGCCAGAGCGCCGUGUCCCUCUCCUCCCGCGCCCCUAUUUCUACCUCCCCGCCGGCUCUACUCGUCGCGCUCUCCACCGGUCGUCCGCUCGUCCAUCCUCGCUAUCGCUGCCGGACACUCGCUGCCGGACACUCCCGCUGGCAGGUCGCGAAGCACACACGUCCCCGGCCGCCGCGGCUUCAGUUGAGAUCGGAAGGUAGCUAGCGGCUUCGAUCGCCACCCGUCUAUGGACAGGGAGGGGCGGCGGCCGGUCGUCGGCGAAUCGGCGGCGGCCGCGGAGGCCAUGGACGACGACGUCUCCUCGUCUCCGGCGGCGGCGGAGGCCAUGCACGACGACGGCUCCUUGUCUCCGGCGGCGGCGGAGGCCAUGGACGACGACGGCUCCUCGUCUCCGGCGUCGUACAUCAGACUGGUACGCAAGUGCUUUCGCGCGAUCUGCUGCCGUGCAUUGAGAAUUUGAGAUACACGGCAUGCAUGGUGAUAUUUAAGCAUGGUGAUGAUAUAUGUAAGCGAAACCUUAAUUAUAAUAUGCAGGUGCAGCAUCUGAUCGAGAAGUGCAUCUGCUACAGCAUGAACAAGGAGGAGUGCAUGGUGACGUUGGAGAAGCACGCCAACAUCCAGCCCGUCAUCACAUCCACCGGUAUUGUCCUAGCUGCAUGUUCUUCUUCUUCAUCUUCCAUUGCAUCCCUGCAAGCGAUUAGACGAGGGCAUUUCCCGAAACUUGCUAGUCCAGUAGUCCUAUUAUAUUGUUGAUUUCUUCUUUGCGUUGAUAGUUUGGAAGGAGCUGGAGAAGGAGAACAGGGAGUUCUUCGAGACGUACAGGAAGGAGAACAGGGAGUUCUUCGAGACGUACAAGAAGGAUCGGCCGGGAGAAGAGUCGACGCAGAAGAAUCCAUCCGACGAGAAGCCUUCCGCUCCCAAGAGCUCAGAGCCUCAGACGACGACGACGACGACGAGGAGCAGCCUUCCGCUCCCAAGAGCUCAGACGACGACGACGACUAGGACUCGGUCGUAACGAUGGUGCACAGCAGGUACAUAUAUCUAGAGGGCUAGUAUAUGCAUGGAGUGGUGGCUAGCUAGCAUAUAGGUACAGUGUAUAUCACUGCCAGCAUCACCAUUCACCAGUGUACGUAGUACUAGUAAUUUGCAUUGCGUAUAGUGUGCGCGUACGUCGUAGGAGCUAGCCUGCAUGGUCUCGCAUAAAUAACAUUAUUAUCGGGCAGAUGACUAUUACACAGCACGGCCGGCAUGCAGGCGGUACCGUGGUGGCUGUACAGAUCUUUAGCAUGCACGUGGGGCCCUGCACACGCGGCGGGAGAAUGUUCAACCAGCGAGGUGCGAGGACCCCGACCCGUCUGUGUGAAGGAGGACAGGUUCCUGUCUGAAAAAAGACGCGUCGCUCUUGCCCGGUGUCCCCAGCGCGGCGCCCUCCGCGCUCGCCGUGCGGCCGGGCUCCGCCGAUCACACCAGGCCAAAACUAAAGCUCCCGAGAUUUCCCCCCCGCUUCCUUUUCGGCGCCGGGGCGGGAGCGCGACGUCUACGGCGGCCGCGAGCGCCGUGGAGACGGAUGGCCAGCUCCCAGGGGUGCGCGUGCGCGUGCCGCCUUGUUUGGUCGGUAGCGCGGCGGCUUCGAUCGCCUGCAGAGCGUGGGUCCAAGGAUUACGCGUCUCCUGUGUGACCGGUGCUGGCGGAUCGCCAGAUGGGAUGCACCCGCGACGCCAUGCGUCGUCGGCCACACACGAGGUGGCUCGAUCUGGCUUCGGGAGUUAACUGGAAUCAAGUCACCGUCGUCGGCUCCAGCCGGCGGCCGAUCGAUCGCUCCGAUCCGCCCGGGCGACGGCGACGGCCACGGCGACCGUGUCGACGAGUGCGUAGGUGUAUUUAGGCAACGUGAAUUAUACAACGUAUGGAGCUUUCAUACGUAGAGGCCGUCAGGACUCAGGAGCACAGCUGGUGGAACCGACGGAUACGGGAGCUGGCGCUGACGUGCCCGCUUCGUUGGCUGCUGCUGGCCACCGGCCGCGCUGUGGCUGUGGUCUCCCUUCGCCGAUCGUUCCUACCCCAGUGCAUACGGCUGUACGCAUACGUCCUUGUCGGCCUGCCAGAUGGAACUUUCUUUCAGGCACCGGCGCUACCUAGCUUCACGCACGGUUUUCUCACGCUUCUUCUCGUGUGCGCUGCUAUCACACAGAUGCCGGUCUGCAUCGAUGUGGUGCCAUGUGUUGUUUCCCUCGAACAGAAAAGAGAGAAUCUAUCGAGCGCUUCUGUGGUGAAACACAAUAUCCUAGCUAGUUAUGCGUACACACAGUUUUGCUCGUGUGGAACGAGGAAAGUUUAUCAAGCGUAAGCAGGGCCGCCAAACUCCGUGGAAUGGAUCAAUGGGGUUGGCCGGAUUUCCGUCUCGUCUUGUCUUGCAGUCUUGUUGGUCACACGUUGUUGAGGAACGGUAGCGGCAGGCUACCAACCGCUCAAGAGUACCCAACAGGCCAACAUCCCGGUGCACAAUUUAAGCUAAGCAGAAGAGGCCCGGCCUGCAGCGUAAUUGGUCCCGAGCCCCAACAGCUCUUCCUUUCUCCGUUGCGCAGUCACUGAACCGCCGUCUGCGCCGCUGCAAACAGGCCCGCCAUACAGCAUCGCCACCGGCGGGGACUAGGGAUGGCAACGGGCACAAAUUACCCUCUAAAUUUGGGUGAAGAAAAUCCUCGUUUCCUGUCAAAAAAGGGUGAAUUUGGGAUCAGGACAUGAGAAACAUGUGGAAGAUUUCGGAUUGCUAUGAACAGGUGGGCUAGUCGCAAAGCUGUAUGCAAGGUAUCUUGACAAAGCUUGCGGCAUUGCGUACAUUAGCGCAGAGCGAGUCCACAGUCCACACUCGCGGUAUCAUCAUCACUACUACGAAACGUGCAACUCGUCAGACACUGAUUGGAUGACCCAAGGCAUUGACUAAAUCAAGGCUGUAUACAUUACUCCAGAAGAAAUACACAGCUCAGUUGUCGGUCUUCAGGAAACCAGAUAUAACACAAGAAAAGAGCUGAAGACCGGUAUAAAAGAGGCCCUCAUCACUGAUCACUGGCAUGAGAUUCUUGUACUAGAAAUCACACUGCAAUCUACCAGGGUCCAGAGCAUCGCCGCUGCGGGCACUCGAGAAUGCACUCAUGUUCCCAUCGCAUGUACCCCAAUGGUUUCCUACGACGGCUGAUGAGACGAGCACCAGGUCUUCCUGCGGCUACGAACCCGUGUAUUUCCCCCUGCUCUAAACUUGCAAGCUAGUUCUCGUGGGACAGAGCGUGCUCGGGCCGGUGGGUGAACUCAUAAUCGAGGUGCACGAAGGCGCGCUCGAUCUCUGGCAGCCGCUCCAGCUUCUCCUGCAGGGCCUCGCCAAUGUCGUGCGCCUCCCGGAGCGGCAUGUCCGACGGCAGCACGAUGUCCACUUCCACGAAGUAGUGGGAGCCGAACGUGUAGGCGCGCACCGUGUCGAUGUGCCGCACGGCCUUGUGGUGGUUCCAGCACAGGUACGUCAGCUUCUGGAGGUACUCCGGCGAGGCCGACUGCCCCACCAGGGAGUGCACGUUCUCCAGCACUGUCAUAGACCAUGUUCUGAUUGUGUAGAUUGCAAGCUGCAAUGAAAGAGGUAGGCUGUCAGCAUCUGAAAUUUGCAUUCUGGAGAAAUGGGCUACUGUGAGUAAUGCUCACGUAUGGGUAUGGAAUGCUUGUAAGUGCAAUAGCUGCCUAUCCAGAAUUCCAAUUGAGGAGUCACAGUAAGUCAUUGCUUAUCCUUUGAUCAUGCUACAAUCAAUGAGUUAAUCUUCUAUUAAUUUUUUCUUUCAAAAGCUAGGUAUUCUAUUUUUAAAGACAAUGGCCACUAGACCAGUCAAAAUGAUUUUAGGUGCUAAGCUAGAUCCUGGAGCCUACCAAUCAGGAACUGAAGCCAGUCAGUGGCUCAGGUUCACCCAAACAAUGUUUAUUAGAUGUCAUAAAAACUUGGGUGAAUCACUAAGUGCACAUCAUAGAACCUUUUUAGACCAAACUAAUAAUUAUUGGACUAGGGAUAUACUCCGAUGCUACUUAUACUGCAUAUUGAUCAGUGAGAAUAAAGAUAAAAACUUCUCUUGUACUUACAAUGAUUGCACCAACUGGGUCGAUCCAGCCAUCAAUAUAAUUGGCAAGUAGUGCAGCAACUAGACCAAUUACAUUGGUAAUGACAUCGAAAAAGUGAUCCUGUGCAUAUGCCUUGACGAUUUCAUUUGUGAACGAGCGGCAAUAUAUAACCAGGGCAAGUUUCACCAAUGUCACCGAGAGCAUGAUGUCCACAACCCACUUUUCCUGCUGGCUUGUUAAGCUGAAUUCAUCUCCCUGGAGAAUGAGAUCUGAGAUAGUUACCGAGGGCAAAACAAGAAUAUGAUCUACGGAAGUAGCGUACCAUUAAGUGCAAGAAAAAAAUUUACUAUUAAAUAGCAAAAAAACAGAAGCAUUUGUUUGCUGCAAAUAAUUUGGGUGUGCCGUGAAGGAUAAAAACAGGGCAUCUCAAUUGCAUACACUGAUGUCUUUGUUAGUUGUUACUGAUAGAAAAAAAGUUCAGACUACUAAUAUUGAAUUGCGACUCAGGAAAAAAUGAAAAUUCUAAGAAGUUUCUAGUCAAAAGGAAACUGAAAAUACAUUUUGUUUGGGACUGCUUGCUGGUUUCUCCAUCAUCCGAUCCACAAGGAAACCAAAAGCAAAGGAAUUUAAGCGUGGACCGAGAGAGAGACUUACAUCAGACACCAAUGACCGUACUGAUUCUAGAAUGAUCUGAAGGCCAAGAGUUGCCAUAACAGAAGCAAAAACAAGUAUUCCCUGAAAAAAAUAUUACAAUAAAUAGUAGAGUGAAAAAUAACUGCAAAAUUCAAGGAAAAACAGCUUGAAAUUAAAUAAAAUAGAUUAGAGGACUCCAAACAAAGUUUUAAAUUUAUCAUUGGACUAAUGCCCAGAGAUGCAUUAGAAGCGAGGAACAUCAUUUCGGACUAUUCAAUUUCAUAAAUCACAAGCUGUCAUUUUUUGCAUCUUCCCAUUAUAUGUACUUUCUGGAAGAGCAUUGUUUAAGCAUUCAAUAUUUCCUUUCUGAACAAAUUUCUGCGUGUGCUUUCAUGUUGACAUAACAAUAACACCAUGUUAAGUAACUCAUACAUGUAAUGCAUACUGAACAUUGAGAUGGCCGAAUGGAACAGUGUUCUUGAAUGUACAAUGGAACCAAAUACAGAAUUAUAGUAAAGAACAAAUGAGCUAAAGAAAUUCUGGAAGUACAGGUACUGACAAAACUCACCAGUGGCUGCAUACGCUUUUUACCGAUAGGGUAUCUGUAGGGGUUUGGAGUUUGCAUUGAAAAGGCGGUAAACCACAAGAUGAACCCUGACAGUAAGUCUAGAAGAGAAUCCAAAGUGGAAGCAAUAAUAGCAAGUGAGCCACUCCGUACUGAAGCAUACACUUUUGCAGCAAAAAGAACCAUGUUUGCAAAGUUAGACAGCCGUAUUGCUAAUGUCUCACUCCUAGCAACCUUUUCGCGUUCUUCCUGUGGGCAAAUGAAUUGGUGAUCAGUGACACGAAUGAGGUCUCACUAAAAAAAAGUAGAUGCAAAUGCAGUCAAACUAAUCUGUAUCAUUUAAUUAACUUGCAGGUAAGCUGUCAUACGUCCCCAAUGUUAAAGUUACAACCAAAAGUUUAUAGAACAGACCUUGGACAUUCCAGGAAGGAAACCACGAUCUGUAAGCGUAUCCAUCUCAUUAAAACCCUCAAGCAUCUCCACUUGUUGUUGGUAGUACUCGGCAACAACAUCCUCAGGACCUUGAGCUGUCGACAGAACCAAAAACGUUUUUAUUAAAAAAAACUCACUUUUGUUCAAAACCAAAGAGGAAGAUAUGUGAUUCAUCAAUAUAAGUCAGAUAUUAUUGGACCAUGAAAUGGCUCCUUUGUUGUUAAACUGACACUUCAUAAUUCAACUUGUAAUUGUCCUUUCCUCUAUAUAUUGGGAGUACAUCAUACAACCCGGCAUCUCACGUGCCAUCCAAAUGUCCUUUACUCUUGUAACCCGACUUGUCAGUUGUCACUUAAUUACAUGCACCAACUAACCAAAAAAAUUCUAUUUUUCCAUGACUUUUGCACGUGCAGAAAUGAGCACCUCACGUGAUGCAGACUGUCCUUCCCCAUAUGAGCCCUGAAAAGUGUAAACCCAAUAGGCAGCAGCAGAAUUUGCAGAACCCCAAGCUAAAUUAUGCUGACGGAAAGAUACACAUUUGUGUUGGGUUCCCAAAGUGGCGCCAUAGCAAAUCGGUAACAGCUAGGCUGCAUCUAGCCCAACACUACCUUAAUAUCCUAAUUCGAUCCCCAUCUCUGGACUAAAAAGAAUCUAGCUAGUCCGCCCUAGCGUCAACUUAGCUCUUACUGGAAACCAAAAAAUAAAAUAAAAUUGGCAACUUCGGGUAUUCACAGGUCGCAGAAAGAAACUAUUUUAUCAAACGAAACAGGCCGAGAGAGGCAAUACAGAAAGAAAAUGGAAGCAGGCAAUACAGCCGAGAGAGGCGGACCUAGGACGCCGAGGCAGUGGUGGAGCGCGCCGGUCGGUGGCCUCUCCUGCUGGUGUGCCUCCGGCGGGCGGAACCCCUCGAAGUUGAGCCGCCACGACUCCUCCGCCGCGGCGUGCGCGCCGCCGCCACCGUUGCCAGCCUCCACGGCCGAGAGCAGGAGCAGCUCCUCCCCCUCUACGCCAUCUGCCGCCGCCGCCGCCCCAGCCAUUCCCCAACCCUAGGAGCCCGGCGAGCUUGGCGCGCCGCGCUUCAAACCGUACGUGCCACACUCCCCUUGGCACGACGGCGCACGAGGGGGAACCGCAGCGGGAGACUGGGCUGCCUCCGCCUGGCCAGUCGGUUGGUACUGUAGUUGCCAAGCAAGACGGCCAGGCCAAAAGCGCUCGGCCCGCCCCCCGCGUGCCGGCGUGCGCCGUCUUGAUUAAAGAGGGAGGCGAGGCGGGGGACGAAGUGGGGGCCUCCCUCGCCUCGCUCACGGCUCGCUGGGUGGGUGGGUGCGCCGAGCCUAUGAGCCCGGAGAGGCGGCCGCCGUCGGAGACCGGUCUCUGACCUGUCGCGGGUCUCGUGUGCUUGGUGCAGGGCGUGCUAGGGCUGGGUGGGCGAGAGUUCCAGCGGUACGCAGGUGGAGGGGGCAUGAUUUGAGAGGACUCGGAUCUCGCGGUUGCGUGCGCGCCGGAGGACACGAAACAGCGAAACUCUUCAGGAAAACUGGAAAAGGUACUUCCUUUGAAAGGCGUGCUUCACCAUUAACCUCAACUCUCAACUUUGGCACUAUGCAAAAAGAAGAUUCUCCAUCAUAUCAAACUUGUGGUACAUGCAUGGAGUACUAAAUGUAGACGAAAUUAAAAAAUAAUUGCACAGUUUUGUUGUACUUUGCGAGACGAAUCUUUUGAGCCUAAUUAGUCAAUAUUUGGACAAUAAUUCACAAAUACAAACGAAACGCUACAGUGUGCUACAGUGUUGUAACAGUAAUUUGGCACCUCCAAACUUUGGCAACUAAACAAGGUCUAAGAUUUAGGAAACUGAAAGCGUGUCGUCUCGUGAUAAACGUUGCAAAAAUAAAAUUUAGGAAAUCAAGCAAAUUCGGUAUCCGUGAAUGAGCCAAGUACGGCAUAGAUUGCCCAGCGCUAACCACUUUAACGAGAUUUCGAGACCCAAAUCUUUCAGCAUCGAUUUACAAACCCAGACACUAACCGUACAGUGUGAUUUCGUUCCAGGCGACUGCUUGUCUAAGCCGGUAAAAGAUACUCCUGACGAGAAGUCAUGAGCGUGCUCACGGGAUUAGAUGUUCUGGUCGUGCCAAUUUCCUGAUGGAAGACGUACGGUGUGGCCACAAUGGCCCGCCGCGUCGAGGUCGCCGUAGCUUUCGCGGGGCGAAAGCCGAAGCCGUCCCGUGCUCAUCCGCCGAGCUCGCCUGUCCAGUGUUCCUCCACACGUCCGACUCGGAAGGGAACCGUGUGGCGCUGGCCCUCCGCGGCGUCGAAGCCACCGGAACAGGGCGUCCGAAAGCGCUGGCACGAGCGCCACGGCGAUAGGGAGUGAAUGGCAGCCCAAAUACCCUGUCAGUGACUCAGCUGGACCCGCUGGUCAGUGACGGUUUGCUCGUCUUCAACCGGCGGCGGGGCCGCGCGGUAAAGCAGCGGCCGUUGGGCGUGGAUAAGAUGGGUGCUCCUGCUCCGACGCUGCCACCGGAGUUAUCCUGGGCAGGCGCACGCGUACAGCGACGGUGAUGGGAUUUUGGAAGGAUCAUCGGGGCGGGUGGGUGCCUGACCACUUGGCGAUGCGAAUAACGUGAAUUGCGUUUGCGUGGAUAUUCCCCAAGAUUGUGGAAAGGGGGAAGAAAAAUUCGUAGCAUGCCAGAAGAGGGGGUUUGUUAAGGACGAGGGAAAGGACAAACGAGUUUGGGCGCUGAUCGGUGAUCAUGGAGGAGAAUCCUGGGUUGGUGAGGAGGGACAGGCUUGGGGUCAAAAUGACCUGAGGAACGUGGGACAGGGCGGGCGUGUAACUCAGGGGUGUUUGAUACGAGGUGUUAAACUUUAACAGUGUCACAUCGGAUGUUCGGAUGUUCGGAUGCUAAUUAUGAGAACUAAACAUGAGCUAAUUAUAAAACUAAUUGCAGAAUCCUGUGCUAAUUCGUGAGACGAAUAUUAGCAAAUAGUUACUGUAGCACCACAUUGUCAAAUCAUGAACUAAUUAGGCUUAAUAGAUUCAUCUCGCGAAUUACACUCUAUCUAUGCAAUUAGUUUUGUAAUUAGCCUAUGUUUAAUACUCCUAAUUAGCAUCCAAACAUCCGAUGUGACAGGUGUUAAACUUUAACACUUGUUGCCAAACACGCCCUCAAUCAAAAUUUCGUAAAGUUAACCUGAUUUUGACUGCUGCCCUGAGAUUCAGUAUUCCGGGACGCAACCCCCUGUGACGUCUCCAGCAGCGCCCAUGGUGCCACAUACCAAAGGUGAGCUGAUAGCUGCCGUAGCGUCGUGGUAGCAACUUACAGAUCAGUCCAUCUUAGUUCUGAGACCAAAAUAUAAUUUUUUUGACCGAGCGAAUUGCCGACGUUAUCCUUGUGCAAUCACAAGUGACCAGAGCAGAUACGGUAGUUACACCAACCACACGUCACACCAGAAUAGCAUACACAGUAGAGUUGCGCAAGCACCUGUCCUACGCGGACACGCCCCUUUUUCUUUCUCCACGAGGCCUGGAGCUUCUUAUGUCAAACCUUCUGUGAUGAGGCAACAGAAUUUCAUGCCAGCAUAUGACGCAUCAAAGUCAUCAAUACCCGGCUGUCCUGUUGCAAACCUGCCAGUGUUGCAUUUGUGCUUUCGAAUCGAGCUCGGGGUGACGUCAGACAGCCCGGCAAACGAUUCCCUGAACCACGUGGCCUAACGGUCUACUUCGAUCCCCCUAGGUCAGCCUGAGUCACCAUUGCAUCAUGGAAUACAGAAGAAGAGACGCUCGACUCUUUUAUGAGUAAAAGUUUUAUCAGCGUACAGUCACACGCCGCUGGGUUAAAAAAGACGAGAAACUGCCACUAAAAUACUAAAUAGCACGAUUUCUGAUUACGUGUGCCAGUGGCUAGAUAUAGCCUGUGUUUGUGUCGUCCUAUUCAACGCAAAACAUACUCUUACCUAACAUGUAUAUGGAAGGUUUUCCUGGUGAGAACAAUGGAAUCGCUCUAUCUUUACUCCAGUACAGAAAAAAAAUAAAAUCUAAACAAAUACCAAGAGAAUAUCACAAUUUCAUUUCUAUACAUUUCAUACCACCAGAGCUCAUACAAAACCUUGGAAGGUGUAAGAUGCUAUCCAUAAAACUAAGGAACUGGACUGUUUGUUGGAAGCAGUUCAACAGAUAAUCUUUAGUAAAAAAAUGAGCUUUUUAAAAGCAUAUAUACGGCAUAUGACUAUAAUCACAUGUAAAUCACUGAUUCCAUGCUCAUAGUGUACUCUCAAAUCUCAAUAACAUGUAAACAGCUGGACAAAAUCACACGGGUUAUGGUGUAAAAAAAAUGCCCCCACAUUCCCAAAACACUGUGGGAAAGUUUAAAGUCUCAGCUGGUAGUAAGUGCUUUUGAACAAGGUUAGAGCCUAGAAGUUAUCUAGGUGGAGCUCCAGCAUUGAGAUUGUCUUAUAUUCUUAUGCCGACAAUUUGCAAGCUUUUUUCAUGUGUCACACUCAAAGCUCAGUGAAAACCAAGCAUGACCAUGAUACACAGACUUAUUGUAAAAUAAAAAGCCCAUCUCAAGCAGAACUCAUCACCAGUAGAAACAAACGGAGUGCGUUUGUUUUGUUUCUGGACCAACUCGCACAUUUUAAGACGAAAAAGAAACACGAACAAACCAAAAGAUCCAAGGCUUGCCAACUUGCACAAGAAAUACUCAGAUUUAAAAUGCAUGCAAAAUGAUUACCUGUUGACAAGAAUGCUCACCGUAUACCACCAUUAAAUACAGUGUACCAGUCUUCCAUGCAAGCCACUGAGAUCCCAUUUAUCCUCAAUUGACUCCACUUAGUUAGAGAUUUCUGCAUACUACCUGCUAGUACUGAAGAGUCUGGCAAAAUUAGUUUGAAUGAAGACAGAAAUUUGUGAGAAUUCGAAGAAAAUAAAAUCCAGUUAAAAUGGAUCGACUGUCCGAGAACUCUGCUUAUAUACAACAAUUACCUUUCACAUCAUUGAACAGAAUGCAAGUUAGCAUAUUUCAUUUUUCGUAGAACAUCUCCACUUUUUUUGUAGUUCUUACACAUCAAAACGAAGAAAUACAGCAUUGAGAUUUUCAAUCUCAGUAUAGCCUCAGAAACCAAAUCUUCUGAUGCAUCUGGUAAAGAAAGGGUGUCGUAGAGCUUCACGUGCUUUAAGGCGCUCAUUAGGAUCAUACCGAAGAAGUCCUUGAAGAAGAUCUAUUAGAUCUCCAGCAGAAUGAUCAACAUGUUGCAUAACAAGAUUCUGCAUGAGUUGAAUGAUUAGAAAUUUUCAAAAGGCAUACCAUCGUAUGUCAGUUGAGAAAAGAAAAAACUGUGACAGGUAACAGGUUACAUCAGAGGCUAGAAGACUACCUGAAGACGAGGCAAUUUCCAGACUGCCUUCAUGCUCUCUCGUGAGGCCGCCCCCUCUGGCCAGUCCAACCUUACUCCGCGCUUGAAGUACUUUUCAGCACGUCGACUGUAAAAUAGCAUUAAUUAAUUAAUGUGAGUAGUUAAUCUGAAUAAAAUUAAGACAGAAGUCAUCAUCUGCCUCAACUAGAUGUACAUCAACCAAGAUUAUAAAAAAAAAUACACUAAGAGGAUAGCAAAGGACUUGUAGACAUACUCAGCUCUGACAAUCAUAUGCUUUGGGAGGGGGCCUAAGACCCUCUCCAUCAUAGCCAAAUGCUCCAAAUUUUCGUGAGUUUGAAAGAGAGCUUCCCCCUAGUAUUAUCAUGCAAAACCAAAAAUGCAAGAGGAACUUAUCAAGACAAGAACCACAAAGUUGCAAUAGCAGCAACAGCUAUGGACAAGAUUAACCAAGUACUCAGAUUCAAAGAGGUUUAGUGAACUAACCGAACAGAGCUCAACUAAAAUACAACCCACACUCCACAAGUCACAUGGAUAGUUCCACCCAAGACCUAAAAGGAAAAUAGCAAAGAUCAAAACACAAAAACAAAGCAAUUGGUGUCAGUAGAAAAUAAAGAUGAAUAUCCAGUUUGCAUGGGUUGGUGGGGAGGUGUUAACUAUACCAAGGAUAACUUCGGGUGCGCGGUAAUGUCUUGUCGACACCACAUAAUUGUGAUCUUGGUGUUCAAAUGUCGUGCUGCCAAAAUCAAUCAGCUUGAUAGCACUAGAUUUUGGAAGGUUCUUGAAGAAAGAACCAUCCUUGGGUGGUCGUAUAGAAACCUUCAUUGCAAAUAAAAAUAGAGUUUAGAAAAAUAAAUGUAUUCAUGCACAAAUGAAAUUAACUAGUCAGCAAUUCCUAUCCCACAUAAGAAUUGGAUGGAUUCCUGCCAUUGCAAUUUUGCACAAUUCAUUAGUUUUCAUUAUUAGCAACAUGGUGGAUCCCACAUGUCACUGGCACACAAUGGCAAAUAACGAAUUGCAAAAAUUUUGUAUGGCAAAGAAUAUUUUCCCUGAAAAAGAACCUUAAGCAAUAAAUGUCCAAAAAAAAGAACCUUAAUAGCAAAUGCCAUACAGAAGCAGAGGUGACAAUUUAGGAGUUCAGUAAUAACCUUAUAAUCAGGCACCCUGAUAGAUUCGGAUGAAACAAGAAGAAUGUUCUCUGGCUUCAGAUCCGUGUGAAUAAGUCGCAAGUCAUGCAUAACUGCAGAGAUAAGAGAAACAUCAGAUGUUUUAGAAAGGGAAGCAUAAGCACAUCAGAACUAGCAAAUCCAGCUUAACAAGAUCAUGCCAAGCAAACUUUAGCAGGUUAGUAAUUUAGUGAUAUUGAUGGAAAUUCAAAAGACUUGAUGAUUGCAUCAAAUACAGCAAAAGUAGACUGAGUACUCACAUGCAACAGACUCUAAUAUUUGUCUAGCAAAUUCACGAACAAGGUCGAUCGGAAAUGAACGGUAGCUAUUCUUUCGCAGAAAGUCAUAUAAGCUUGGCCCAAGCUUCUCAAAUACCUGAACAGAUCAUUAAUCCAAUAUCAUAACUUGAUCAUCAAAAACAAGAAAAGGAUAGCCUUCUUGAUGCAUAUGUACUUACUAUACAUAUAUGAUUACGAUAGUCAAACCAAUUCCGUAUUUGCACACAGCUGCAGGCAUAGAACCAUCGAUGCAAAUCCAUCAACUCACAAAACGGGUCAAUAAGUGAAAUAAAGGAGGUGGAUUUCUUACCGGCUGCCAGUAAAAUCAUGCUUCCCAAGUCUCUGAAGCACGUCAAUUUCUAUCAUAGCAGCCUCUCGAUAUUUCUGGAGGGAGCGCACAAUCUUGAUAGCCACUGCUUCUUGGUUUUCCAAGUCCCAGCAUUCCAAAACUUGUCCAAAUGUCCCUGUGACACAAAAUGAAACGAUAAAUAUAGCAUGAAAACAAUGAAAGCACAGGGAACAAGAGCAAAAAAGAGCCUGUUCAUCCUCUACAUUCAAAUGGAAACUAAACAUUCCAACUAAGAACCAGAUCACUACAGAACAGAAUAUGCAGAAUAUGAAUUGUAGUAGAUCAGACGGAACACACUAACCUUCACCCAUCUUGCUAAGUAUCCUAUCUGCAAGACCAGGAAAGCAGCGUUAGUCAUUAUAUUAUAAUAAAAUAGCAUAGCAAACAGAACCAAAAACAUAAACAACGGUUGGAACUGAUGUAAGGAUCAAGCAGUUUCAACAAAUCGUCAACAAAGCCUACAGGCUAAGACCAAUAAAGAAUAUUGGGGCUUGUUUAGAGCCAAUAAGUAAAGCAUUUUCUUAGUUUUUAGUUGACACCAUUUGAUGAAUGAUGAAUGUGGUGUUUGAAAUUGAAAUGGACCAACGAUUAGUAGAUGAAACAGGAAUUUAAGUGUUUAAUUGUGAAGCUAUGUAGAGCCAGAAUACAGAAAUGAAAACUGCACCACCAACAUGGCAACUUACAGUAACAGAUAACAUCUGAAAGAAAAUCCAUCUCAACAAGCUAUAGGUCAGAGAGGCUCAGAUGCAAGCCAGAAACAAGCAACCUAGUGCAAGUAAAUUAAACAUCAUUGAGCUGUGGAAAUAAUGGAAAUAUACAUCUUGGUGUCAGAUUCUCUCCAACCGCGAAAACAUAGUGCCCAUCCUUGUCAUCCGGUCUCCAAGGAGGUGAAAGAUUCCGCGGAGGUCCGGUGUAAUAAAUUGGCGGCGGCGGCAGAAAAGCCGUCGCAAAACUACCAUUAAUUAGUUCCUGCCCGCAGUAUAGCAUUGGAAUUGCCUGCAAAAAUAGAAAGCAAUGUAAACUUUUUACUGAUAACAUGGAUACACAAAAAACUGAAGGCUGGUCUCUUAUGUUUUGUACUGUAAUUUUUAGAAAACAGUUGCAUGACUUGAUAUAUUUGAGGUUGCAAUCGAUUUUAUUCAGUAGUCACUAACUGAAGUAUCGUACAUAUAUGUUCCCACAAAAGUGACUGUUAGUGAUUGAUGAAUAUUUAUUAAACUCUCCAGAUUUACUAAUGGUUUUGUUUCCAUAAUCCAUAGACAUCAACUGAGAAACUCAUCCUGUAACCCUUAAACAUUCUAGCCGAAAGAAAGACAGUUAUCAGCUCGAAAGUUCUGUUAGAUAGCUCAGAGGCCAAAACAAGGUAACGCAUAGGUCACAAAUUUCCCCCUCUAUCUCGAAAGUAGUAGCUCUUACAUAACGGAGAUUUCCAACCAUAUACUCUACUAAUUGGCCGAAUAUCCACGAUGAUCCGCAACAACCGCACCACAAAUCCACAAUUAUCCGAGCCCCGCGCCUCCGUCGAACCCACGGGCUCCAAAUCUAACGGAAACCGCGCCUAGAUCUAGCCAAAACUACCACCACAACCCCACGCCUAGUAACCGAUCGAGACGGCAAACAGCGCAAGUACGAUACCUUGGGGGGCUGGAACAGCGUGGGCGCGACAUCCCAGGCGAGCCGGGGCCGCUUGCGCGGCCGCUUGUCGGCGCCCUGGUGCGGGUACUCGGCGAGCCACUGCGCCUCCAUUGCCGGCUUCGGAACCCUAACUGGUUACUCCAUCCGCGGGGCCAGUCCGGCGACGAAUUCCGGGGGUGGAACUGGUGCGCGGUGCGGGAGGAGCCGCCGAAUCGGAGCUCAAUUUGGGGGGAGGCGUAAGAGGAAACGAAGCGGUUGAAGGAGGGACCGAGGGAGGAGGAGGGGGGGGGGGGGGGGAGGGGAUCCCAGGGCGUCGCCGCGAAGGCAUGAGAGUGAGGGACGGGCUGCCCAUGGAGUCAGAGGCGGGUCCACCGGCCCACNNNNNNNNNNNNNNNNNNNNNNNNNNNNNNNNNNNNNNNNNNNNNNNNNNNNNNNNNNNNNNNNNNNNNNNNNNNNNNNNNNNNNNNNNNNNNNNNNNNNNNNNNNNNNNNNNNNNNNNNNNNNNNNNNNNNNNNNNNNNNNNNNNNNNNNNNNNNNNNNNNNNNNNNNNNNNNNNNNNNNNNNNNNNNNNNNNNNNNNNNNNNNNNNNNNNNNNNNNNNNNNNNNNNNNNNNNNNNNNNNNNNNNNNNNNNNNNNNNNNNNNNNNNNNNNNNNNNNNNNNNNNNNNNNNNNNNNNNNNNNNNNNNNNNNNNNNNNNNNNNNNNNNNNNNNNNNNNNNNNNNNNNNNNNNNNNNNNNNNNNNNNNNNNNNNNNNNNNNNNNNNNNNNNNNNNNNNNNNNNNNNNNNNNNNNNNNNNNNNNNNNNNGGAGUACGGCGUAUGGCAUGAUGUGACCGCAGCUCCUCCGUCUACCAUCAGUCUAGUGAGGGGGCGGCGUCAACAUGCCCUUUAAGGAACAGCGCCUUUCAUGUGUUGUCGUUGGUGGAUGGGUGGGGAGCUCGAAAAAUGUGGUGGUGGUGGUCUGGUUGUGCUCGCGUUGCGUCCGAGGAACCCUGGUUUGGUCUGAGACCCGCGGGAGAGGCGACGCUAACUAUGGUUAGUUCAUUUUUAGCCCCGUUACAUAUCAGCCCCUGAGUUUAUGUUGUAUUCGACUUUACUAGCUGAUGCGACGCGUUUUCCGUGCGGGCUGGGCGGGUGCGAAUCUUGUGCCUGUUUUGCGGGGCCUUUCUGCAAAGUAGCGGUUGCGAAUUCCCGUCAAAUUUCGGACCCGGCCUGCCCUCUCCGCCUCCGCGGUUGGUGGGAAACGGUUUGAACUUCCAGCCGUACCUCUGCAGCUGCUUCGUUGGGCAUGCAGCAUGCUUCCGUUCUCCUCUUCUGCUCUCUCACCUUCUUCCAAUUUCAGCGUUCCUCGCAGAUGGGUAUCAUGGGGGCAUGCGCUGGAGAACUCAUGGAUAUCAUAAUUGCCUCAUGGGCUAAUGGGUUUUUUAAGCACGCCUUCAUCAGGUUCUUUUUGAGGGGGUUUUGCCUUGAAAGCUUACUGCAUUUAGAACUUGCGUUUAUAUUUGGAUGUGUUUUUGUAGCGGGUUCUGGCCUUUCGGAUGCAGAUAUCAGAGCAAGGAUUUGUGCCAUUGCUUGGCGUUUGAACUUUGAAGGCAGAAGGCACCUUCGUUGCUGCAGAUUUGCAGGUGACAGGGGACGCGGUGUUGGCGUAGAGGUUUUUAGCGGCGUCUUGGCCUACGCCUACGCGGCACCCUUGGUCCAUCGUUUGGUGCUGGUCGUUGAGAGAGAGUAGACCAGGCCAUGAUCUUCACCUAACUCCUCCAAUGAAGCGCUACUUGAUGCGUAUGCGUUCCAACCAAAACAGUCGAGUCAUUGGCGACAGAGAGCAAACUACGCACGGAUAGAUGCAUGAUGCAUCAUCCCCUGCUGCCACAUCCCUGUGAAGCAAGCUUGGUACAAGCAGAUAGCACUGGCAAAGCGUAUUUUUCUUGCAUCCGUGUGAAGUUUGGCCACGGAGGUAUCGUCUUGUAAACGUUUGAGUCACAGGUAGUCUGUUCGCUUCAGCUUAUAAACCGGCUAAAAAGCUGAAACGGCUGAUUUGUUAUAAGAGAAAAAUACUGAUUGGUGGCUGAUAAGCCGGCUGAAUAAGCUGAAGCGAACAGGCCAAGGACCGGAAGAGCAUCAGAAGGGUCUUUUUUUAUUUUGGCCCUUUUCGCGAAAAAAUUUCACAAAUAGUCUCCUGGUGAAACCAAUUCCGAAAAUGGACCCUUAGCUUGGCGCCAGGAUGGCUGGCGCCAAGGUCCCCCCACCGCGCCUCCGACGUAGCGCCGGCCCACUGACGUGGUUCCAAGGCUUGGCGCCAUAGAUCUUGGUGCCGAGGCUGGCGCCAAGCCUUUUACCUUAACGGCCGCUCCUUCCUUUUGCGCAGUUUGAUUUCGCAUCUCUUCCUUUCUCAACAACCCGCGCCGGCUCCCUCGUAGUCCGCCGCCGCCGCUGCCGCUGCCGCAGGCGCCCUCGUCGCCCGCCGCACGCCGCCCCGGCCCGCCCAGCUCGAGCCGCACCGCCCCGUCCCGCCGGUGCUCCCCGGACGAGCCCCAGCGCCCGCCGUGGCCUGAGGCCGGCCGCCCCCCGCCCUGUGCCCGCUCCCGGCUGGGCAGGCCGCCUCCCGUCCUGUGCCUGCUCCCACCAUGAUCGAAGGUAAUUAGUUGUAGUAUAAUUUAGAUAGAUAGGUUUAGAUAAAAUAGUUAUAUUGAUAAAUUAGAAUAGUUAGGUAAAAUUUAGAUAGAUAGGUAGAUAGAUAAAUUGAUAGAUAGAUAGAAUUGUUAGAUAUGAAAACUAAUAUAAUUUGGUAGGUUUUACAUAGUAAACUAGUUAUUACGAUAUUUAGUUAAGUAGUUGUAUAGUUAACUACAUAUGUACAUAUUAGGUGACAUAGUUAAUAUUAGGUGACAUAGUUAGUUAGUAUAUGUGACAUAGUUAGUUAGUUGUAUUUAGUAGUUAGUAGUCAAUUGAUACUAUCUGAUUUCAUACUAGACUUAGAAUGUUGAUUUAUUAUGGACUAAAUGAAUUGUGCGUCGUUAUAUUGAUAUACUAGAUGGAGAACGUAGUGAGCAUAUAUCACGGAGGCACCGUGGAAAGGGAUGAAUAUGGAUGUGUUAAGUUUGUUGCCAUGCAGUGCGAGGUUGUCAUAUUUGAUGAGAAACUCUUGUUUAGUGAGUUGCUUGCAAGGACUCGGGAGGAGUUACAUUGUCAUGAAGAUGAUGAAAUCACAGUCGAGGGCAUACUUCACCUAGGUUCCCCUCUCAACAUUCAAAGGAAGAUGGUCCCAAUUGGGUGUGCAGGCUAGUGGGAAAAAUAUGUGAGGACGGUUAUGAAUGGUCAUUCCUUAAGUGUUGAAAUGGUUGUUCAUUGGGUGGGAGUUGAUCCAAAUCCUCAUCGGUUUUCCCGACCAAUGGGUCAACGGGCACACUUCGAUCCUCCCGUCCCAGAACCUGUUAUGGACGUGGAUGUUGCACCUACUAUUCCCGAUGCUGAAUCUGCCCCUAAUGAAGUAGUUGGACAUGGUUGUCGGAUUGUUAAUGAUGUGGCGGACUCUCCUAAUGAGUUCCUUUUCACUCAGAAUGAUCCGAGUAAGUGUCUUACCGGUUUCUAUUGUUGAGAGAUAAUCCAUUCGUUCCAUCAAUUUAUUCUUUACUCAUAUUUGUACUUGAUGGCGCAGGAGAUAUUCCAGAAAAUGUGGAUGUGCCUCUAGUUGAUGCGCAAGUGCAAUGUGGAGAUGGAUUGCGUGGCUCUAAUAGUGUUGAAAUUUUGAAUAAUGAAGAUGCAUACGAGAUGGGAGUGGAUCUUGAUUCUGAUGAUGAUCGUCCUAUUGGAGAGAUGACAGAGAGUGAUAUUGAGAUGUUCAGGCGUAUCUUCCCUGGACAUCGUGACCGAUAGUUCACGAGUUUAGCGAUUUGACUCUUUCCGAUCAGGCGUUUGCAGAAGGACGUGAUGAUGAGCUCCUAGAAGCUCCUGAAGCUAGUCCUAGUAUGGUUAUUGAGGAGGGAAGGGUAUUUAAGGACCUUCCCGUAUUGAAGAGAUGGUUGCAAGCUUUUGCAGUAAUACGGAAGAGACCGUACAAAGUGUUGCAUUCAUAUGCGGAGCGCCGUUACACAGUUGUGUGUGACAAGGAACGGUGCCCAUGGAGGGUUUGUGCAAAGAAGCAAAAUAUCACCGGGAAGUGGAAGAUCACAAAAGUUGUUGAUCCACACAAUUGUGCUGACCAUGAGCUUAUAGUGAGACAUCCGCAGCUAACAUCUACCCUCAUUGCGAAGCGGUUGAUGGGAAUAUUGAAGGACAACCCAACAUGAAAGUGAGAACAAUUAUCAGAACUGUUGAGGAGAUUUAUGGAGGUUAUGUGAUAACAUAUGGUAAAGCUUGGAGGGCUAAGCAGCGAGCGUGGAAGAUGAUAUAUGGGGAUUGGGAGUCUGGGUACGAGCAAUUGCCAGUGCUUUUUAAUGCAAUAAAAACGGUGAAUCCAGGCAUGCAUUAUGAGUACAUCCCAAAGCCAAAUGCUUGGAAGGAUAGGAGGCAGAUAUUCGGGCGUGCGUUCUGGUGCUUCCCUCAGUCUGUGGAAGCCUUUAGGCACUGUCGUCCUGUUUUCUCUAUUGAUGGUACAUUUUUUAUUGGUAAAUACAGGAGCACACUUCUUAUAGCCAUAUCUUGUGACGCGAACAAUAGUUGAUUCCUUUGGCAUUUGCAUUGGUUGAGAGGGAGAACAAUGACAGUUGGGGAUGGUUCUUAAGACUAGGCCGGAUACAUAUGGUUGGUCCUGGUAGGGAGGUUGGCGUCAUAUCCGAUAGGCACCAGACCCACCGAGGUCGUCUCAUAGCGGAAGGGCAGGUAAUAAUCUACAAUUCAUGAUUCAAGCAUUGCAAGCGUCCACGUCUUCUUUCCUAAGAAAUGUCUGACUCGGUUUGUUUGCAUGUAGGUACUUCCGCUCCUUCGUUCUAGAGCCCAUGAUGGGUUUUUGGCGCUGCAGUACGACGACCGCUACACUCCUUUGUUAGAGAUGGCGGGCCUAGAUGUCAUCUCGUAUUAGGUUCGUCGUGUGAUGCCCAAGUUCAACUCAGCGGCUAUAACGGCGUUGGUUGACAGGUAAUACUUUAUUUCUAUUACCUCCGUUCAUAUUCAAUUUAUUAUGUCCUUACAUGUUAACAAGUAAUAAUGCUGCAAAAUGUAGGUGGUGGCCCGAGACUCACAGCUUUCACCUGCCGUUCGGAGAGAUGACAGUGACCUUACAGGACUGUCAGAAGAUGCUGGCUCUGUCGAUUCGCGGCCACGCAGUGACUGGACCGUGCGUCUCAGAGGGUUGGAGAGCACGAAUGGCAGCCUUCCUUGGGCAAGAGGUUGAGGAGCAGGGGAGUCGCACAUCUGGAGUGCUAAUCUCCUGGCUGCGGGAACACUUCGGCCAGUGCCCCCAGGACGCGUAUGCGGGGACAGUUGGGCACUAUUGCAGGGUGUGGAUCCUGCACCUGUUUGCCUGCGUUCUUUUCCCAGACGCUACAGGUGACACUGCGUCUUGGAUGUGGAUUCACUGCCUCACUGACUGGCACCAGGCACGUCUUUACAGUUGGGGAUCAGCUGUGCUGUGUUUUCUACACCGGCAGCUGUGCGAGGCAUAUCGUCGGACUUCGGGCUCCGCGUUAGUUGGUGGGUGUGUCUACCUAUUGCAGUUAUGGAUGUGGGCCCGUCUUCCUGUUGGUCGUCCCGAGAUUAUGCCGCGUCGACCUUGGUUCCCAGGUGAGAUGCCGAGAUGGCAGCCGACAUGGGUAUAUAUUUGGGAUCAGGUUAAGGUUAGCCAUACGAGGUUGGACCGCGCGUACCUGGAUUACAUCAACGAGAUAGACGCGCUCACGGCUCAUAGUGUAAGUCAAAUUUUUAUUAACAUGCUUUGUAAUCUUUUAGUAUAACAACUAACAUCUUGUUUUGACAUGUUGCAGGUAAAUUGGAAGCCUUACAAAGGAGAGGACGCACUUCCUUUUACCCUUAGCUUCAUGUGUGGGUUGACGACGAUCUUUACAGGAUGAAGUGCCCUCUCAUAUGCUUCUAUGCUGUCGAGUACCACCUGCCAGAUCAAGUAGCACGACAGUUUGGGAUGAGGCAGAUUUGGCCACCACCGGCGACCUCGACUAGUGUGGAGCUACACAGGUAAGUUUUUUCGUAUUUGAAUUAUUUCAAUACCAUUAACUAAAUUUUGCCUAGCAGUAACAUGUAAUGUGACGUGCAGCGUGGAUCGUAAGAAGAAACGGAAGGUCUCUGAGUGGGCCGCGUUCCACCAGGCGUACAUUGACGAUUGGGAGAACUUCGACGAAAACAUGGACGAGAACGACGAGCCGCACACAAACAGUGAGUACAGGCAAUACCAAACUUGGUACCAAGGUGCGACGCGUCACAGGCUGAGGGCAGCAUGGACGGAAGAUGACUACACCGACAUCCAAUCAUCCGAUGAUGAAGACACGGUGUACGAUCAAAGUACUCGUGCUGGAAGGCAGGUGGAGGCAGGACCAAUCCUGGAUAGGAUGGUAAGACAAUUGCUUGACUUUUCUAUGUUCUAUGUUAAAAUACUUAGAGAUUUAGUUAGUUAGAUAAGGACUUAGUGACCAUCUGACUUAAUCAUUUAGUCAUUUUAGUGACUUAGUGUGUAAGUAAGUUAAUGACUAAAUCAUUUAUUGCUUUAGUGACUUAGUCAUUUGUUGCAGGGCCGUACCCUCCAAAGCUCGGUUAGAGAUAUAGAGCAUUUCCGUCCUAGAGUUACGGACCCCGAGACGCGGAGCUUUCUAGAGGCAAUUCUCAAAUUAUUCUUUCUAAUACUUUAUUAAUACGUUACAUUCUUCUUUCGUGUAACUAGUUUUUACUACGGCAAUGACUGUUAAAUCGGCUUCGCCGUGCGGCUGCUCGUUGUGGUUGCAGGAUUGCCACGACGCGAGACGUGCACGUUCCAUCCCUACGCGAAGGAGGCGUCAGUACGUCUAGCCAAGGCCCCUCAGGUUCGAAAGCAAUUGCAUCCGAGGAUGAGAACGACGACGACGACGACGAUGAGCAGAGGGCCGAGGAGCUUGGCCCGUCUCAGCUUCAGGAGGCUCCCUUAACUCAGCCUACACAGGUUGUAGGCACUAUACUUGUUGGGGGGAAAUAUCAACACUCCCCAAAGACACCACUUAAAGAAGCGGACGCGGAGGCCCGGGCCCACCUAAGCGUAAUCAGAGCUCCGCCUCGCCCGACCAAGGCGCCAGGAUCGGGAGCGCCCGACCCCCCUCCGCAAAGUUUCCGCCUCGCCCGACUGCGACCCCGGGGUCGGGGGCGCCAGACCCCUCGCCACGGAGUUCCGCCUCGUCCGACCCCAAGCGAAGGGGUCGGGCGCACUGGGGCCCCCGGGGGAGGCAUCCCCCUCGGAUACGGUCCAGACGGACAAGACAGACAAAAUCCUGUGGGUCCCCCCGUCGGCCUCGCCAUAAAUGCGCCGCAGGACUGACGGAGGGCAGGGCGACUACGCCCCUCACGCAGCCCGGCGCAAGUACCCGUGCACGACCGCUAUGUACAGGCUACAGUGCAGGCGGCCGGCUCCCAUUCGCCGCAGGGUACUCAUGGCCUGCGCCGACCGGAGCAAAAGAGAGAGCGGCCUGUCCUCGGGCCCCGCGUACCCUCGGGUCCCGCGCGCCCAGCAGCACGGAUGCGACACUCUCCCUCUCAGCACCCGUCGCCUGAACAGCAGCAUCCACCGUCCUCCCCAAACGGACACUGGGGUAACGACGGAACGCCCUCAUCAUGAUCUGAUACCUACGAGCAUCGAAGUAGCUAUAUGCAGGGAGCAACAACACUUGGCACACGGCGACCACCCCCUCCGGCAUGCGCGCCGGCACUCGUCAGGGGCCGACAGAGGCAUCGGACGCCUAGGAUCUUGCUCCUCCUUCUUGCAGCUACUUUUACCAUUCUACGCUUUACCCUUUACAGUCCUCUGAUCCGAUCCCAAAUGUAACUCCGGCCACCCCCCUUGCGGUAUAAAAGGCGGAACCCGGGGCCGGAGAGGGGAUCGGCUUUUUCUCCCUCACGCCAUAGUACACCACAACUCUCCCUGAGAGCGCAAGCACCAAAGAGACUUGGGACCAGUCCCUCUCUCGUCGAUCUGUAACCCCCUACUACAGAACCCCGCGUGGGCAACACGAACAUCCCCGAUACUGGACGUAGGGCUUCCUUUGCCCGAACCAGUCUAAAUCCGUGUCUCCCGCGCAACCACCUGAGGCUUACGCGCAUAAAAGAAAUUUACUAGUCUAAGUCUUGAUCCGCUGAUCUUGACAACGACAAUACUACGUCGCCUAUGUUCUCCUUACACUCCAGGAAUCGACGCCCUUGGUCACAAGGGUAAGGGUAAGACUAGGAGGCAGUGACGGUUUUUAUUGCGAACUUUGUAUUAUAUGAACUAUUUGUAUAUAUGGACUUUCAUUCUGAACUAUUGUGGAUUCUAUUAUGAAUGUGUCAUAUGUUUAUAUGCUUGUAUGUUUGUAUUUAUGUUCACUAUUCAUCUCGUAAUUUUGUAUGGAUUGCAUCAAAAAGUAGGGAAAAUUCUUCCGAAAUUUCGCUAACAAGUACCCUUUUUAUUUUCUGCGGGAAUUUCACUAGACUACAACUUUGAAGUGCAUUACAUCGCAAAGUAAACAUAGGUCGUCUACAAAUUGCGUGUCCAUACUUAAAGUGCAUUAUUACAUGACAACAUAAUAAAAGUCUCAUAGUAGAAAAUAUUGUUCAUAAAUAAACCAUAGAACUAGAAUCUAAAUAUGGCUAUUGAGUGCAACGAGGCCACUUUCCCUUCCUUAAGGCAUCGGGAUUAUCCUCAACCGCUGCUUUCGCUCGGCGUGCCCGCUCAAGCUUCUUCUCUCUCUCCUCCCUGUUCGCAGCAACGCGCCUCCUUUCCUCCUCUUCCUUGUGCUCCUUUUCCGCAGCCUCCUCUAUGAGCCUUUUCUCGUACACCUCCUUCCUCUCUGCAUCCCAGCGCAUCAUAUACUCCAAAAACUCCUUGUCUUCAGGAUUGAUCUCAGUGUCGACCCACUGCUCAAAAUCACAUAGCGGUGGAGGGGUCUACAACAAAUGCAAUUGUUAUAAAACAAAAAAAUUAUGGACAAUAAUUAUAAGACAACAAAAAUUCCUUACCAACAUGUUAAUGCGGCGCUGACGAAGUGUAGAUUCAAACGCAAAGUUGGAACACAUCUAAUACCUCUGCCUAUACGUGGCAUGUUCAUCGGACUUGGCUACCUUGCAAGGAUCGCCGCAAAAGUACAUCGGCACUGGAACACCACUAGGCAGAGGCAAUUGAUCGAAGGUAUUUCCGGUCUUCUUGGCGCCAUAACUACAAUUUAGUUUAUUUCGUUCUAUGAAUCAAACGCACUUAACAAUAAACCUACAAUUAAGGUUUUUUCAUUUGAUCCACAACAAUGAGCAUAUAACAUAACUACGUGCGCUGAGAUUACCUUAGUUUCUUAACUUUUCCAUGCCUCGGCAUCCUACAUUUGCAUGAAACCCUAAGUUUAAAAAUGCAACAAAUAUAUAGCGAAUCGAUGCGAAAAAAAGGUACGAGGGAGAGAGGAUACCUUGCUCUUCAGGAUCCACGGAUCAAAUGAAAGUUUCCUAAGCUACAAUAUCGAUUCGUAGUCUAGGGCGAAGUAGAGAGAGUAAAAACCCGAGAGAGUCGAGAAGAAUGAGGAGGAACUCUCGGGCAGGAAGAAGGGUGGCGGUAUAUGUAGGGAGGCUUGGCGCCAGGCUUGGCGGCGCCAAGCCUUGGCGCUAAGAUCUAUGGCGCCAAGCCUCGGCGCCACGUCGGAGGCGCGGGCGCCAAGACGUUAUAGCUUCCUGACGCCAAGCUAAGGGUCCAUUUUUGAAAUUGGUUUCGCUAUAGGUCUAUUUAUGAAAUUUUUUCGCGAAAAGGGUCAAAAUAAAAAAAAGCCGGGCAUCAGAGCUGCCAAAUUCAUGCCGGUGCCGGGCAGAGGUGCCAUGCCGCGCCAAUGCCAUCGGACUGCCGAAGCAAAACGCAGCAUGGCACGGGUAGCACCAUGCUGCAGUUGGCAAGUGGCAAACAGCAAAUUUUGCCGGAGACACGCAGAAUUGGGCAUCGAUGCGUGCCGGAACCAGUGUCCUCUCCUUUCCCGAAAGGUCACCCUAGUUAGGCCAGCCUGAGGCUGAGAAACUUUGCUUUUCUACCAAUAAACACAUGUUUUUCCUGAGGGUUUGAGCUUGUUGCGCUGCUACAAGCUAAAAAAUGGCACGCGCCGAACUUUGCCACCAUGACAAGCUGACAGUGACGCCUCAUGCCUGUUGCGCCGCAUCGAAAGGCAGCGUGAAAGAAUUGCACGAAGCCGUCAGAGUCCAUCACCGUUCUGGGCCUUCUUUCCGGUGAGCCUUGAUCGCGUUUCUUGCGAAUUGCGAUCCGUGGUGACUGGUGGUUUCACUCUCGCCAAAAGACAAAUAGUAACAGUGAUGAGGCAUCUAAUCUCAGAGAGAAGCGGCCAUCCGAUCAUCACGCUCACCAAUCUGCGAUGUACAAGCGGGUUCGUCGGUAGUUCGUGACCUGCCAAGGCCAAUUCUGCCACGCUGGGACAAUGGACAGCCAAGAAUUUUCACAAGUACGCGUGCUUCUUCCUGCCGAGUGCCGACCAUAGUUCAGACGCCCCGAGCCCCGAGGGCGCCCGGCCGAGACGUUGCCGCGACGCGGCGUGCUCGCAGGUCGCAGCAUCCACGAAAAAGGACUUGGCCAGUUGGUCACAUCACACUCGGUGAAUCGCAUCGCACAAUACGCGCGCGCCGCCGGUUCUGCUGCAUCCGCAUGGGGUCCAUGCCCGCCACCGCCUGGCGUCUGGACAGACGCCUCCACCAGCACAAGCGGCGCGGCCGGCCGAGGGCCACGGGCCACGGCCAACUGCGUUCCGUACAAAAUCAAAGCGACCGAGGCCCCAUGCGGGCUGCGGCCCUGCUCGCGGAGGCGCAACGCGGGUUCGUCAUCCAUGGCCGGCACUGCCCUCGCGGAGGGAGAGGGUGCGCCACCGUGCCGGCGCAUCGCAUGCAGUGGUGGACGUGGACGCGCGCGUACUCUGCCGCCCUAGGGUACUGCGACCGCCUGCGUGGACAGUGUCAGGCUGCAGCGUACGAGCUGUUCCAGACUUCCAGCGCCUCAGAGUCUCGGACUCAGUGUCAGAGCCCACCACCUGCAGAGUGCAGACACGCCAUGGCUUCGGAUAGCCUAGCUUAUUAGCUUCAGCAGGAUGCACAUUUGAAGUUACGGGUAGCUUCAGCCUUCAGCAGAAUGCUGACUGCACAUUUGAAGAGCCGCUUGCAGGCUGGUCGAUUGUAUACACAGAGAGGACCAUGUUUGAAGGCUGUGGCCUGGAUUACUCCAUUGUAACCUGAGACGCUGAAGCUGAAGAUUUUUUUUUAUUUACUUCUAGAUCAAGAACAAAGAAGGCAAGUACAGAUUGCAUUGAUAUAGAGAAGACGCAUCGAUACAUCGCGAGACUCAACGACAGCACAGCACAGGACAGAACACCGCCACUUCCUUCUGCACCUAAACGACCCCAAGAAGGAGAGAACAACCGGAGGAACGUACCAGCUGCUACAAACCACACGCCACCGGAUGCGGUCUGUCUCUACGCGCCGUACUUGUAGCUCCCGAUGUCCUCCGAGAUCAUCUCGAGGUCCCUGGAGGCCACGGCCAUGGACAUGGCCCGCCGGUGGCGCCCCGCCUGCCUGGCCGCCUGCAGCUCCGAGGCGUCCGCCGCCGCGGGCUUCCGCUGCUCGGCGCCGCCCUCCGCCACCGCCGCCGGCACGUCCUCCAGCGCGAAGUUCUCCGGGAGCACGAACACGCUCUGCGACGCCCGCCUCUGGUGCCUGCCCGCUCUCUGCGACAUCUUUGCGGCGCUCAACAACACCUACAACGACAGGGCUUGGCCUCGUGCGGCUGUUUCCACUAGGCAGAGGAAAGAGUGCUCGAGCUACCUGCUUGGGAGCUAAGGACGAGGUGGCUGCUAUAUAUAGCCUGCCCGGCGCAUGCUCGAGGUCGGGGAAGGAAAAUGUUUUCCCAUGACACUUCAUGAGCAGUUCAGCAUCUCACCAGUACAGAAUUGUACAGUAAUUUGUACGUUCACACCGCCGGCCUAUGCGUACACGGAUCUGACAUCCUGACAGUUUCUGCUUCCCGAGGGCGCUGACUUGUGGCAGAUGCAUGUGCAGACGUGCGUCUGCAUGGCCCUCCAGCAUUUCGUCAGGCUCUCCCCUGAAUCCCUGAUCGCGAGAGGAAUGGCGUCUUGCUGAAUGGGCGCUCAUCUGGCGCCUCAUCAGGAUCUACAUCACCACAUCAGCGUGCGAUCUCUGCAGCCAUGGCUGCUGAGCUCAACUUGGGCCUGCAAGCUGCGAUCAAGUUGGCACGUACUGUCUGCCGACUUGCCUGGCGAGUGCAGGGCAUAUGAAUUUUCUGCUCGUAUACGAUGUCUCCAGGAAGCUUCCUGCUAGGUAAAACAAAUGGUGUUCGUGAAGCGUUUGUACCGGAAUCUUAGGACCGAGCCCGCCAAUUUUAUUGGGUAAGUGCUGCACUCAUGAUCCAUUCUGGCGUUGUUAACUGAGACCCCACGUGCAAACCGGGAGAAGGAAUCCGCCAACGAAACCAAUCACAGAGGAAGGAGGAGUAAUCACCAGUUCAUAAAAAAGUGUGCCGGUACGGAUCGAAAUCCUGCCUAACGGUUUCUCAUUGCAAGUUUCUGAUAACAUUAUUAGCUCGAUAUAUCGACUAUUUCAGGUUUUCAGUGCUAGCAAAUCUGCAACUGAUUUGAUUGCAUAUAUCCCUCACUCAGUUUACUCUCUUAUCACAACGGAAUCUCUCUUUUUUUUUUCAUAUUGUUUUCUGUAUUACGCCCUGAUCGAGCUGGAUGCUUAUGCAACCAGAAAAGAAUCGAUAAGGCCAGUGGUGUUUAACUGUUAAAGAUGGCACCCGUGCAUGUUAGUAGAUUCCAAAAUCCUGGCCCUCGUGUCCAGCCUCACAUGGGCUGCUCACAUGGCUCCAUCGACCGGGCCAUGAUAAGCCCACCCUUGUACAAAUUAUUGGUGUCCCCUCCGCGCUCGUGUGCAUCGCCAUAAUGUGUGAGAAUAAAACAAGAUACACCUCAGCAUUCCCAACGUCGUGAAUAAGAAAAGGAACUGUAUUGUACUGUAUUUUCCUAGAAAAAAGUUCAUUAAAAUGCUAAAAAGUUAAUAAUGGGUAUAUAUGCUUAAAUUUAAGAUGUGAACAAAUUUUGUUAUAUAGUUGUUAACUUGUUAUUAUUAAUAACCGGUAAAGGAAGAAAACAAAUAAUAAAAGAGAGUCAUUCUGCGCGUUGCGGCCGGGCCUAACCGCCUAAUGGGGGCCUGGGCACAGCCCAAAACAGCAGCAGUGCUUGGGCCACUUAGCGUGGCACCGCAUGUCGGCCCGGGAACGGCCUGUUAAGGGCCCGCACCACUCCCCCACCUCCCCCAUACAAAAGGUUGCCCCAACCCUAGCCCCUCAUUUUCCCCUCCCCGGUUUUCCAGCAGCCGCCGCGCGCUGCUCCCUCGUUUCACCCCUCCCCCUCAUCUUGGCGGCGCUAUUCGGUCUUCGCAGGGCCCUUUGCCGGCGACGAGCACCCAGCAGGUAUGCCCUCCCCUUCUCCACCCUUCCUGCUGUGUGGAACAGAGCACCACAAACCCUAAUAUAAGCUAUCUGUAUUCGGAUCCCACCCAGUUACAAUACUAUUACAUAAGAGCUUCGAUUUUGCUUGCAAAAAUUAUCGAGUGUACAUGCGUACACCCAUGUCCUAUGCUGGGUCCGCCCCAACUGGAAUGCACGGUUUAUCUGCUUUAUGUAUUUGCUUUGCGAUGUAAUAGCAUUCCACUUUUGGCCGUGCAAUAACAUUAGAAAGUUGGUAUGUAGCAAUUACGAUUUGCCAAGUCCUUUUUACUGUUCGUUGGUUUCUGCCUGCUUAUAGAAGUCCUCCAUAAUCCAGAAAUGAAAUGAAGUUUCAACUCUUCUGCUGCACGGAAUGUAUUUGGCUCGUCACCUCUAGCUAGUGUGUAUUCAUCCAUGGAGGAUCAUAUUGAUGCUAUGCUUCUGUCCGUAGCCAGUUUUGCGUUUGUCUGUACUGUGAUAACUGAUAAGAACGAGUUUCAGUACUUUUUACAUUUAAUGUGCGUUUUUUUAGCUUGUGGAAGAUCAUUCACACUUGCCUAGGCUGUUCUGAAUGCCGUACAUAGUAGUACUCCCUCCGUUCCAAAUUGUAAGUCAUUCCAAGAAUAUUGGAGAGUCAAAGCAUCUCAAGUUUGACCAAAAUUAUAGAGAAAAAUAUAAAGAUUUAUGACAUCAAAUAGAUAUAUUAUGAAAAUAUAAUUGAUAAAGAAUCUAAUGAUACUUAGUUAACAUCAUAAAUGUUAUUAUAUUAUCAUAUAAAUUUGGUCAAACUUGAGAUACUUUUACUCUCCAAGAUUCUUGGAAUGACUUACAAUUUGGAACGGAGGGAGUAGUUGGUUUCUGUGACACUUGGGUUCAAUUCAUCAACUUUUUUGUGGUUUUGGCACUUCAGUAUUAGUUAAGGUAGACGAGGCUUAUUCUUCCAUGUUGGUUCUUCUUGACUGCCAAUCUGCUAGUGUUGUAUUGCAGUCUGCAGCUUCUCUGUUACUUAGUUUUUGGCCAACAUAAAUGGGUCUUGACUGUCUCAUGUCAACUUCGGUAUCAGUUGUAGCUCAAUAUGGUUAUCAAUUUACAAAAUAAUUUAUAUCUGACCUUGAAUCGUGGACUGUUUUUUACACUUUGGUUAAUUGUACUUAUUUAGAAUGGUUGCACUCUUAAGCUGCCUUUCACAACUUUUUUGAUGGUGUUCUGCAGGUAAGGUCAUUAUGGUUAGAGUCAGUGUUCUCAAUGAUGCUCUGAAGAGCAUGUAUAAUGCUGAGAAGCGUGGGAAGCGGCAAGUCAUGAUUAGGCCGUCAUCCAAGGUCAUUAUCAAGUUUCUUAUGGUCAUGCAGAAGCAUGGUUAGUUAUCAAUUUUUAUCCUAACAAUUUUUGCUUUCAUGGAGGAUGGGGUCCCUGAUACUUUUGUUGUGCUGUGCAGGCUACAUUGGUGAGUUUGAGUAUGUGGAUGAUCACAGGGCAGGAAAAAUUGUGGUUGAACUGAAUGGCAGGCUGAACAAGUGUGGUGUCAUCAGUCCUCGCUUUGAUGUUGGAGUGAAGGAAAUUGAGGGAUGGACAGCCAGGCUACUCCCGUCUCGUCAGGUUUGUUGCUUGGCGAUGUUACCGACUCCAAAUACCUAAAUUGUGACGAAUUGUCUGUGUUUUGGGCACUGCUGAUCUUUCAGUGGUAAAUUGAUUAACUUGCCCCUUGGGACUUGCAGUUUGGUUACAUUGUUCUGACUACAUCUGCUGGCAUCAUGGACCAUGAGGAAGCCAGGCGAAAGAAUGUUGGUGGCAAAGUUCUCGGUUUCUUCUACUAAAAUGGAAAUUUUGCAAGGAGCAUCAGUUUUUUUGUCUGAAUAGCUGCAGAGAUGAGCUUAUGAAGCAUGUUUGCUGUUUUGUUAAUGUUUUGGCUUUUAUGAUAUUUGAGGUGUAGUUGAAUGUUCGCUUGUUAGACACCAAACUGUGCUCAACUUAUAUAGUUGGCAUCUGGAUUUUAAUCGAAUUAAGCUAUGGUACUUUCUCGUUGUGUUGACUAUCUCCAAAUACGCUCUUUUGACUUGUGUUAAUUCUUGUAUGUUCCCAAGUGCAAGUGAAGUCUGAAACUCAGAACUGGUUUGUUUCAGAUGUCAAUGACCUGGAUAAUAUGCCAUUAGUCUGGAUGCUGCUGAAAUGUAGUACCUGAAGUAUAUGAUUUAAAAUUUUAGAAAAUCUCUAUUUGCUACUCUCUCUUUUGAAUUGUAGGUUGUUUUAUUUUUUCCACUUAGAUAUAAGUGUAUGUCUAGAUGAACCCAGAAAAUCAAAACAACCUACAAUUUGGAAAUUUGGAACGAGGGAGUACAUUACAUAUGGGUCACACACUCACACCUGUAUACGCCGUUAUUCCCAAACUAAUUUAUGCUAGCUGGCUAGUAUGUAGUUUCGUAGAGCAUAGACAUCAGAUGUACCAAUUAAGAUGAAACUUCACAAAGAAACUUCACAAAGAGAACAUCUCUGAAAAGCAACAAAACGUCACAACAAGCUCUACAAACGUAUACAGUGGCCUGCACCAUAUGGUACUUCACUAAAUACUGAUGUAUUAUUGCUGACUUAAUAUAGAUAACAACGGAUACAUGAAGUUGCAUUUCUACAGUGACUCAUGAGCUAGGGGCGGUAAUACACGCGCUCAAUUACCAUCUUCUCACGGAGGAGGAAGAUCUGCCAAAGAUGUAUAGUUGCCCUACAUGGCCGAACACCAGCUGCCUCCGCCGUCAGCCCGUCACCGUCGCAGCUGUCGCCGCCGCACUCGCUGCCGGCGAAGCCGAGGGAGCAGCCUGCUUGAACUACAUGGCAGCGGCAUCAGGACAAUGUUGGGGUAGAGAUUAGAGAGGCACACCCCGGUAAAGGGUCCUCCAUGGAAGGUGUUGGAUGAGGAUGCAUAUAUAGGGAGCUUGAGGCUUGUCCCGGCGAGUGGAAGCCUAGGUGGGUGACGGCCUUUUUCGCGAACCGGAAUGCGGUAUCUUCCUUAGCAUAUUCUUGAGCACAUGGAAACUUCUCCCCUUUUCCUGUUCCAUGCUUUGCUUCGCUUUCGAGUAUUCAAAGGAUAUUCCAUGCCUUUGCGUGCCUUUCUCUGGACGUAGAGUUGGAGUGGCUUGACGAAGCAUGGGCUGGAAAGCUGGUUAGGGUUAGCUGUGGUCACGACGUCACGUAGAAGAGUCUUGCCUGGUGCUUUGUUUGUUCGUCUAGCAGUAUAUACCAGGUCAUUCAGAGUGAUCUGUUCUUCUAGCACUUGAUGAUCUUGCCUGCUUGGUCGUUUUCCUUUCCCCAUGAGUACAGACAUCAUAAAUAAAAACUAUUAACCAUAUGAAUAUCUAUUUGAAAAGGUUAAUUUAGUGAAAAAUAUAACGUUAAAUUGCUGCCGUGUCAUGGUGUGUUGACGAUGUGAGUUGGAGUGAAGUCGAUCUGCACCUCCGGCUAGGUAAGCUCAAGUUGGUGUUUCUUUUUGUUACCCAGCUCUUUGCAAAUCUUUCGACCUACACGAGAUAUGCUCGAGCAUCUUUCGAAAAAAAAAGAUUUUAGCUCGAGCAACACUGUAAUUUGUUGCCCGCAAAAAACACUGUAAUUUGCAAAUCGCACGUCGAGCACGUCACGUGAAUCUGAAUGAAGUGCUGCGCGGCCCAUGAUCCCCAGGCAUACACGGCCCAGCCAGUAAAAGAAAAACUGCAUGCAGCCUUUGCAAGCGACCCACCAAAAGUCCAAAACCGCAGCGGCGCAAACCACCCCCAAUCAUGACGAGGUCAUAACAGCCCAAAAUUGACCAAAAUACCCCCAAAGGACAACCCACCCGUUCCUACGAUUACCUCAGAUCCACCCCCGCUGAGAACCGAAUCCAAAGCGAUUCGAUUCCCCGCAUCGGCUGGUAAAAAUCCGCCGCUUCGCGCCCGCUGCUGCUGCUUCGAUUGCUUCGUGUGAUCAGUGACCUCGCGCUUCUCUCUCCCAGCCUGUACUCGCCAGCGCGUCGCGGUUGAAGGUCGGGGUGGUCGGGCGGGAGGGCGAUGGCCGCGCCGCCGGCGAGGGCUCGCGCCGACUACGACUACCUCAUCAAGCUGCUGCUCAUCGGCGACAGCGGUGAGUGAGAGUGCUUCGUUCUACAUGUCCCUGCUUUGAUUCACCGCCUGCCAUUUUUAUUUUUGUUAUCUGUGUUGGUUGCGUGCGAGCGCAAGCCUGCUGGAAAGUGGUCAGUGACGAAAUGCUACGCUAGCUGUUAGUGGAUUGUUUGUUUCAUUUGUUGGAUUUAGAGCGGAUUAGCAGAAGCAUGUGGCUUUUACUUGCUGGCGUUGAGUUGCGGGUACAUGAUCAUAGCUGCGCUUGAUUACCUGCUGCCUUUGUAAUAAGUGACAGCUUGUUGAAUAAGGGAGUGAUACAGAAGAUAACAAUGGGAUAUUGAUAAGAGAAGUUAUUAGUUAUAUUAUGUGAAAUUUGGACUACAUGCUACCAGGGAUUAUGGGGACAUUGUUGUCUAUUACUGCAGAAGAACAUUGUGUUUUGCUGAAGGAAUCGUGGACUUGUGGAAGGUCUGCCAUAUGCAAGUCGAAUUGCUUGAUUCUGUGUUUGAAUAAAUGUUUGUUUGUUUGGAAGAUCUACUAUGAUCUUUUUUCUUUUUGAGUGGAGAUUUACUAUGAUCUACAAGGCUAGCUUAUGUUGCAUUUCCCAAGCAUGUAGACAAGGACAAUAUCUCAUCCAGUCAGCUGCACUCCUGAAGUAAGUAUGUCCAUAAAAUGUUUUCAGCUGUAGUAAAAAAUGGUGCGAAUUCAAAGGUUUACAGGGGGUUGCUCGUUUUUUCAGGUACAUGUGCACGUGUGGUGUUCGUGACCAUCCGGGUAUCCAAUAAUCAGUGACAAAGACAUCAUUUAUAAGCUAUAAUAAGACCAUGUAUAGGCUAGAGAGAUUGGCUAAGGAAAAUGAACCGGAGACGGAGUUUUUGAGCAUAAGUCAUAAUAAACCAAAAUGCAUAACAAAAGACAUAUUUGGCAUACUUAAAUUUUUUAGGACAUGAUUAGCAUCUGACUCUACAUGAGUUUUCUUUGGUCAUUACAUUGUUGUAAAGUACAAUAAAUACGCUACCUACGAGGGAAUUUUGUUCUGCAUUUUCACUUUCUCACUUUGUUAUUUCUUCAGUUCACAAAUGAGUCAAUCCCCUGAACCCUUCCUUUGUUUUUUUUCUGUACAUAGGUGUCGGCAAAAGUUGCCUCUUACUGCGGUUCUCCGAUGGAUCCUUCACUACUAGUUUUAUUACUACAAUUGGGUAUGUUCUAUGUUGAAACAUUAUUUAUCUCUUCCCAACUUCCCCUGAUAAGUAAUUAUGCAUUCUUAUUCUGUUGCUUCAAGUUUUCCUUCUUUGCCUGUUGACCUUAAAUCCUGUUUGCCUGCAGCAUUGACUUUAAGAUAAGAACGAUUGAACUGGAUGGCAAGCGUGUUAAAUUGCAAAUUUGGGAUACAGCUGGUCAAGAGCGAUUUAGGACUAUCACUACAGGUGCUAUACUUGUUUCAUUGUGUGCUAGUGACCAGUCCUAUGAAACUAUAUGAUACUGACAGUCCUAUUUUCAAUUGAGUUCCUUUUUAUCUCAGCAUACUACCGAGGAGCCAUGGGUAUCUUGCUUGUCUAUGAUGUCACUGAUGAGUCAUCUUUCAACAGUAUUGCCCUUAUAUAUCUCUUAAAUCUUCAACGUGGAUAAUUUUGCCUACUUUCUUUUGUCUUUGAUAGUCUUGUUCAUUUGACAUACAGAUAUACGGAAUUGGAUUCGCAACAUCGAGCAGCAUGCCUCUGAUAAUGUGAAUAAAAUUUUGGUAGGCAACAAGGCUGACAUGGAUGAGAGUAAAAGGGUAUUGAUCCAAGCUCCCCUAACCCUAUUAUAUGCUACUAGUUUUGUAUGGGCUCUGAUAUCUGCUACUAGUUUUGAAUUACUGCUUCACUUCUCUUUUUGGUUGUUAUUGCAGGCUGUUCCUACUGCAAAAGGGCAAGCACUAGCUGAUGAAUAUGGCAUCAAGUUUUUCGAGACUGUAAAUACCUGCGCUGUGUUGUUUGGUUGUGUCACUGACGAACUUAUUCUGAUUUUGCUUCGUGCUGUAUCUUUCAGAGUGCCAAGACUAACCUCAAUGUGGAGCAAGUUUUCUUCUCUAUUGCCCGAGACAUUAAGCAGAGACUUUCUGAAACCGAUUCCAAGCCUGAGGUAUGGUUACAUGGAGGCUUGUGUUUAUGAGCACGUGAAAUUUAUUUACUCUGUUCAGAGUUUGAAAACUAUCUUAUUGUUUUUAGGAUAAGGUAGUCAAUAUUAGACAAGAUCAAGGUGCCGAGGCCUCGUCAUCUCAGAAAUCUGCUUGCUGUGGCUCAUGAGGAAUUUGGUCUUCAUUAUCCUAAACUAUGUUAGCUUUGUUUUCUUACUUUUUUCCUUGAUAUUGUAGGAAAAAUGUCAAGAAGAUAAUCAUGAUGUGCUUGUUCUUUACUUGUUUCCAUUCUGUGCAACAACCACUCUUGCCUUUUCAGUUUACUAUUGCAAUUUAUUUUUUUCUUCUUCUUUUCUUGUGGGGUGAUGGUGGUGCUGUGAUGGGGUGUUACUGCAUGUUUUGUUGCAAUCAAUCGAGACACCUACUUUUUGCAGUGCUGUGUAAUCAAAUUUAAAUAAUUCCAUUUCUAGUUUACCUAUCUAGGUAUAAUAUAAUAGUACAUCAAGUCACAAGUGUUGCAUUGAACAUUAAUAGUCACAGUUAUGCAUUAAAAAAACUUCUAUGAUAUUAUAUGCGCAGAUCCAUCUUUUUCGUAUGGUUGAUCUGAAUAUUUACAAAAUAAUAUCAGAAGUCAUAUUUAAAAUAAUUUGACUGCACAUGUUCUAAGACCAGUUAUUUUAAAUAGAGCGUGUAUGCCAAUUAUUUGGACCUUUGACAAGCUAAAACUUUUGACUUCAUGAUUGUUGAAAGUGAUACCACAAUUGGUAGUUGUGUAUUAUGCAAUGCUUAUAGUCAGAUCACGACACCUGAUUGAACAACUAGUACAAGUUUUUUUAAAAGAAUUAUCUUUCCUCAAUACACAGUAUGAUGGUUUUCUUGUUUUUGUUUCCUUUGCAUCAUUAAGAAGAAAUAAUAAUUGAAUGAUGUGGAUUUUAUACGGGUAAUACGCUGUGAGAAGUACAAGACAGCUUUGAUGUUGGCACCAAAUCACAUAAAAAAUUCUGAAAGGAGUAUACACAUGUACUCCUCAAUUUAUUCUAUCUCUAUAUAAAAUUUUAAGUUAAAAUAGUUCUGUAAAUAGUUAUAGAAAUUGAGAAUCCUGACAUUCAAAAUCAAGAGGAAAGUGAAAAGGAUGUUAUUGUUUCAUUUCAGUUUUAAGUUGAAACCGUAAGGGGUUAAUUAUAUGGUAAGUUUGCACAUCUCGUUUCAUAUUGUAAAAUUGGUUGAAAAAGGCAAAUCUCGGUUAUUCUUCCAUGUACGUGGGUGAAUGAAAGUUUGAACUGUUCUGAGUGCACGUUGAUUGUUGAAUGCACUUAAAAACAGGGAAGAAUCCAUCAGAAACUGUCGAACUCAUUCUGCUUUGUUUUAUUCAUCUUCUUGCGUUUCUUUUGGUGUACUCUGACCAGCUGAAGGUACAGGGUAAUCCUGACAGCCUUGCAAUUCAGCCUGCAUGUUUCGCACUACUGUGGUUAUCAAAGUAUUAGCAUUUAUUCAAAAUAAAAAGAAGGGAUAUUAAAAUUGGAAUGAAAAGCGAUGUCCACGGGCAAGCAAGAAAAUAUUGAACUUGGCCAAUAACAACUGUUUGAACGCCAUUAUUACAAAGCGGUACAGAACUGUUACUUCGGUAAAUUCUCUCCGCUUAGUCAAAUGGAAACGCAUAGCAUGUUAUUACUAUUUACACCAAGGAAAUGGGAAGGGUUCAUCUCUAUUUCAUUCAAACUACCCUAGCCUAUAAAUAUACCUAACAACUCCAUGGUAGAAACCGAGAAUUACAGAAGUCUAAAACAAAUCUAACAUGUAUUUUGGAAAGAAUUUGGGGGUGCCCCCAGAAAGUAACAAUGGAACAGUAUACCGUGACGAACACAACAACAACCAUGAAAGAAAAAAAAAAUUAUGUGCAGUCUAACGGAAAUCAAAGGCCCAACUAGAGCGAACAGUCUAACAUGGCGAGCGUCUUAUGUACACCCUGCCCGGCUCCGCCUAGCACCGCCACGCUCCGGCACUUGGCGCAGUUCUCCGACGGCGUGAGGUUGAGGUCCAGGCAGAUCCCUCCGGCGACGUCGCAGGCCUUCUCGGGCGCCGGUCGCUGCACCUUGUUGUUAUGCGCCUCGGCGUCGGCCUCGGCCUCGGCGCGGUGCCGCCGCAUGUGCCCGCCGAGCGCCUGGCCGAUGGCGAACUCGAGCCCGCAGACGGGGCACUCGUGCACCCUCGGCUUGGCCGGCUGCUGCGGCGCCAGCAGCAGCGGCUGGCGCCCGAGGCAGAGCUCCGCGUGGUCGGCCGCUGGGCUCUGCUGCUGCUGCUGCUGCAGCGGCUGGAGCAGCCUGGGCCGCUUGUGGCUGGCGCGGUGGCCACCGAGCGCCUGGAACGUCGGGAACUGCCGGCUGCACGUCUUGCACUCGAACACGCGCCCGUGCGGCCCCCGCGCCGAUGGGAACGGCGCCCCGUGCCCGUGCUGCAGGAGGUGGCGCUGCUGCUGCUGCUGCUGCGCCUGCGCGAGGAGCACGAGCAGGCGGGCCGUGUCCGCGGCGCCGGCCUCCACCUCCCACGCCGCCCUGUCCCUCUUGCUCAUGGCUAGCUAUUGAUCUACCGAAAAAAAAAUACGCGCAAAUGUCGGGGAAUGUGCGGGGCAUGGGGGCAACAGGCGGUCGUAUAUAUAGCAGCGGCAGCGCAUGGCGGCGUUGGAAUUGGGUGCCAGGCCGGUCGGGUCCGUUUCAGACCGCCUGCACUGCACGUACGACUCCGCAAAAGAAAUGGGGCACGACGCACGACUCGCCCAGUUGCUAGAAUGCUAGCUACUACGCCUAUACCUGGUGAUGACUCGACUGAAACGACCCGAUCUCCCGUUUGGUCUGCUUCUAGACGUGGAUGUGUGUACUAUUCCGAGCGCUGGAGAGUGCCUCUGACCACAGCUGCGUGUGUGCUGUACUACUGCUACCUCCGGACACCCCUCGUGAAGUCGCGAUGUCUCAGUCAACAUGGGUGUGUCCAUCGAUCAAGCUGUGUGGCUACCCCGGCUCGUACUGGCGCUACCCUUCUAGAGAGGCUGCGCCGGCGCGGGCGACGUGCGUGCUCCCGAGCGUCGUCCCGUUCCGUUCGCCAUGUUUUACUUCUGCUACUCCCGAGCGGCCACGGCUUUCACACCUCCGAUCCUCCUCCAUGGAACGGCCGGUUGGUAAUGGUGUCUCGGUGACUCAUCGAUUACGGGUACAGUCGGUUCAAUUCCAUUUAACAUUUAUUGGGUCGACUCGAUCGCAAUCGUCUAGAACGUACCAGUGGCGUCAGUGUCUGACUAUAGCAUCUCCGUAAUUCGGCGUACUGAUUUGAGAUUUCUGUCAGGACCAGCGGAGAAGAUUAUCCGAGCCAGAAGUUUACUGCCGCGUGAGGUACAGUUUGCUGCUGCUGAAUUCCUUUCCAGAUGGUUUGGGGAUGCCGGUUAAUCGGAGGCAUCUGACAGGAACCGGAGUCGACGACUGAACAGGUUAUACUACUCGUUGUGCAAUCCAUUGUCCAACUGCCAACUAAACUUCUUUGACAGGGAUCGGAGUAUCGAUCCAAUCCAUAAUCGUCAAUCACGCAUUCGGACUUUAGCUAAUUAUAAUCAGUUCAUUGCUGGAGUUGUUUGAAUAAUGAACGUAGUAGUCAUAUUGAUUGAACGUACAAACUAUUCUCACGUCCGUUUCCCCGUGAAAAAAAAUAAUGCAGCCUUGCAGCAGCAGCAGCCAGUUGGGUGCUUCCGCGAAUGCGCAAUCUUUUCUUGUGCAUCAGAUAAAAAAAAGUUUAGCCGAUGGAGUCAAAUGUCAACGCGUUAGCCGUCAUGCACUCAUCCUUAACUUUACCAGCCACCAGGUGCCUAAAACAGUCGUAAGAUCAAAUCUCCUUGGGACUUUAUUCGAAGAUCGAUCAGUAGUAGUAGUAGGUGACUCACCUAACUACUCCAGACGCCAACUGUAUCCCGGCCAACGACUAACCUGUCCACGUAGACAACACGCACGCGGAAAAUUGAACCUGAGAGCUGCGAGUUUGGUCGAUCCGGUCCUGCAUGCGGCAGCAUACUGAACUAGUGAUCAAGUACUGACGCCUGCAUCACGUACCCAUCGUUAGGUAGAGUGCAGCCCCGGUCUUGCCGUCUUGGCGGCAAAACGUAGUACGGGCGAUUAUUUGACCAAUAUUUUUUUUGGAGACGAGAAUAAACUGAAAACGAUGGACCGGCCGCCUGUGCAUUUUCACUCCCAUAAUUUCUCCAACCACACUUGGGCCAAAAACUUCUAGCAUGUGAUCAAAACACGUGCACGUUUUCAUAGCUGUUUGGUUUUGAAAGGCUCCCGGAAGGCCGAAACCAAAGAAGAAAAGCUCGGUUUCGAGGUCAUACUAAGCAUGAUUCAGGCACUGUGUCGGUCAGCAGUCAGCGCAAGCUACCAUGUCUUGAAAUGUGCCCCCAAAAGCUAAGCUUUGUACUAACACGUACAGAACGAGACCCGUCGCCUGCAAGACUCAUGCGUGUGCGCACGAGUCCGAUCGAGCUGCACCAACCACCACUAUUCCCGCUUAAUUUUCCACCCAAACUAAACACCAGGAAAUCACGACAGCCACGAGCGAGCCCACGAUCUAAUAAAGAUUGAACCGGAUCUUGGACUCGGACUCUCAAAACCGAGACCCACCAACGCAAGGCCAACGACGAUAAGCGCGGCCGGCACGAUCCACCCAACUCCCUUUUGCUUUGCUUUGGAUUAGUCUAUGACGAGUAGUAGCUAGUAAUUUGCAUUGGCCAGGUCAUGGUUGCAUCAGUUUUUUUCUUACACGUCGCUGUAAGCACGAUCGGUGAGAGCUGCAAGAAGUCGAUCAGCUCCGCAUAUUUAAUCCUGCGACUUGUGCACUCGGAGAGUACUUGUGGAAUUGUUAGUGGUACAGAUGUCCGGCCGGCGGCCGGUUUCUUGCAUCGCUUGGACACUUUUGUCUGUGUACUGCCAGCUGAUGGGACGAUUAUGCCAGCGCCACAGGAUUUUCAAGGGAAAUUAGGUCGUCCAGGUGGAGUACACUACGUAUUUUUUCAUUCUCUAGAAAUAUUAGGACUUUCUCCUGCCAAUUCGCAAUCGCCGUGAUGCACGAUGUACCCGAAUAGCCGUUGAAAAUCGUGUAUUUUAUUUCUCACAUUCCGAUUCAAGACGGAUCGGAGCAGCGUCAGUGCUGGUUAAGACAAGCACGUACAUGUUGGAGACGGCGACCUGUUCAUGCAGGGUGAUUUCAGGAGAACACGUCAGCUUCUCAGGGCAUGCAUGGAAGUCAAGAACGCAGUUGGAAAGCACAUCUCGAUCGAUCGCAUGGACUUGGGUACAUGGAGGCGACGUGGAACCCGUGCAACUUGGAUCAUCGUCACAGAAACGGUUUCACACGGGUCAAUCAAUCGGUCGAUGGCUCAGCUCUUGGUCGCUACGGGAAUAUUUUGCCUUUUUACACUAGCUAUAUCUUGAUCUGUAGUGACAGCGAGUUACUAGACAGUCAACAGCAUGUGUAUGCCAUGGAUGAUGAGUUGAUGACUCCUAAUUGCGGAAAGGUGUGGCGAAGACCUCCAAGUUUCCAGCACUCGCUGAGUCAUAUCAAAUGAAGGAAUGCGAGCAUGUCACAGUUAACCCUGCAGUUAGCGCUUAUCGGAAGAAGAACUUUACCUGCGUGGAUGGCGUCAGAGCUGGCGUAGCAAUCCCAGGUCGUCAGAGUUUAGCUUCGCUCCUUUUCAUAUUCAGGUCGUUCGCUCGUCAGAGGAUGAACAUGCUGCUUCCCCUCAUACACUGCACCUUCCUUCACGUUGCGUUGCUGCUAAGUUAGUGGAGAAGAAAAGGCAUACUCUCUGAACGAAAGCCAUGUUAAACCAAUAGUGCAAAAGCCAUCCUCUGAUCUUCUUCAUCAGAUGUCUGCAUGAUUCAUGGCGUAACCCGUUGCAGCAGCAGCGUUUUUCUUUUGUUAUGUGUUGAGUCUGCAAUAUUUCCUUGACAUGUUCAGUUUACAGGUGACAGGCGAACCUUCUCAGAUGCUUCAGAGAGCACAUUUUCUAAGAUCGCUCGUUUCUAACCUAGCAGGAGUAAGCUUCAACCAUCCCUGAGUCAGCUAGCCAACUUUUCCAGGUACAGCCGACAAGUAUACGAGGUACAGCCAGCAAAUCCAGACGAGAUACCAAUACAAUUCAUGUUUACUUUUCCCCACACCAAUGGUCACACAUACUACGGAUAUAUCUUUCCAAUCCAGUUCCACGGCUGUACUAUUCAGUAGAACAAUAUCUGUUUCAGACUAGGAUGUGCACUGCAAGCCAAGAGGUCGGUGUCUGGUCAGCAAACCCACCAGCGCAUCAAAAUCACAAAGAUCUCGUUGCUGCCUAUGAGAUGAUGAGUUACCAAACACUAAUCUGUCCACUGGGAAGGAGUCAACACGCAGGAAAGACGGGCCGAAAACGCCCUCUUUCAGUUAGUUUUUUUUUUGAAAGAUCUGUUUCAGUUAGUUCCUCAACUUGCUGCUACAAACCUAGUGAGGAAAGAACCACUAGCGACUUACCAGAGAACUAUCAGCUAGGCUAUGUCACGCACACGUCAACACAAGAGAUUCCAUUAGACACAAAUUUAAUAAAACGUCGUAAGUUCAAAAUUUAAUAUAUUUCUACCAUGGCUCAAAUAAAAGAGGGGUACAUGCUCCAAUAGUUACCGUUUGCUCCCCGUUUUACUGAGUUGUUCGGAAUAACUUAGUUCCAGUGAACAACUAGGGAUAAUAUGAUCCACCACUAAGGUUUCAUUCUUCAGAAAUGAUAAAUUUAGUAAACAGUAGCAUUAGACACAAGUUUUAAUUAAUAUAGAGGCAGAUUAUUUAAGUCACUAAGAAGCUAUAGAAAGUAAGAUGUAACCAUAUUAAAGAACCAUUGUAUGAUGACCACUCGAAGCAAAAAUAGAAAAAUGGCUUAAUGUUUAGGAUUCAUGACAUAUGGCCAUAUUUUUUUCAUUUUCCAUUUUCCAUUAUCUAUCAUCAUUCACAAUCUCAUAUACUGCAUGCAUGAUAACUAAAGAACAAACAGCCUGAGCAUAACUAAGAUUGUAGUGUUAAAUAUACAAAAACGAAGUAAGAGUGCAAACAUCUCACCAAGGGGAAUGAUAUAUAUUCAUGGAUUGACACUAAAAAUAAGGAAAAUAUAAAUCCCGACUUGUUUUUUUAAGUCCUUAUUUUUUAACUGCCUUUCAAUCAAUUAAGUCUAAGAAAAGAGGGAAGACCAAGAGACCGAACAGAGACAAAACAGAGAAGGAGAAACACAAAUCAUUGGUGAAAUUAAAGAAAAGAUCUUUGUUCUUAAUAGUAUCUAUUUUUUUAACGAACGAAGAACCGCUUAUUAUAUUAAAAAGAAGAAUAAACCCAAACUGGGUACAACAACAACGCACAAAGGUAACCUUCCACAGAUCACGCUAAACUCAACUCAACUCAAACCAAAACAAAUUCUAUGGCCGGUCGGAUUGAGACAUCAAUACAAGCCGCAUGCUAACACCUGAGCACUGAACCACCACAUCGCACCACCACAACCCGGGAAAAAAAGCCGACAAGUAGCCCUCAUUGCAAGCGCCGUCGUCCCUGACGAUAUCCCACACCGAACUAGCCGCUGCCAUGCAGGACUGGCUGUCGCAGUCCAUUGCAAGCCGUGUCGCUACCAUGACACCUCCACCGUGCCGUCAUCGUCCUCAGGUCACGCACACACGAUCCUCGAUCUCCUAAAACGGCCUUGCGUCGGAAGAAGUCAAAAGGGGAGCACACUGCACCACACCAAAAGGCCACCGCUAUGCAGGACCCAACGCUGAAGCACCGCUGCAGCACCGUACACACCAAACAACCAAAACACCACACCGGAUUCUAGCUCUCCAAGGCAACUCGAACGCGUGGAGGCCUCACCACUUCCACCGCUGGACUCCACGCCAAAGAUCCGGACUUGCUUUGCCACCGGGGGUGAUAUGGUGCCACCGAGCUGCUCCAAUAACUUCACCUCCACCUUGCCGCCGGAAUCUCAGUUGCCCACAUAGGUGGACCCAAAGCUUCAAGAGAUAAUGGCCCACCACCUUGGCGAAACCUAUCAGACGUUGGCCAAAGAAUGGUUUCCGGAAAACCACAAAGACAACGCCUCCAAGGAGGGAAACGGUACCCGAGGGCGUCGCUGUCAUCGUAGCCAGUAUAACUAGCUUAGGCUUUCGUCGGUGUUUCCGUACAGCCCAGCUCAUCACCAACGUCGACAGCAACACCACCCUAUCACCGGCGCAGAUCCUCAUCAGUGUCGCCAGGCAACCUCUUGCAGCAUACCUUUGCACGCGACCACCACCCACACGCGUGCUUGCGCGGCUCCGCGACAUUCGUGCUGCCGCCCAUGACCAGCCAUGGACCGCGGGAGGCCAGAACCGGUCGCAGGGACGCCGGGAAUUGUCCAGGUGGAACCAGAUCCGUCACUCCAGCAUCGGCCAGCCACCGGCACACCGUGCGGCUCCACUCGCGCCCGCCGCCGCCAGCACUGCCUACACCCUCCUCGCCGCUAGCCUCGCAACCCUGUGCAGCCGCCUCGCACCGACCCUCGCCCACGUCGCUGCAGAGCCACCGGCCCCAAUAGCUGUACUUGAGCCGUGUGCUAGAAAGCGCAGAUCCACUCUCGAGACCUCCACAGGCUUCCUCGUACUGCACCUCCAGACUGUUCCUCGCGUGCAGCCGCCGCUGGCCUCGCACAGCUGCCACAGGGCCGCCGCCAUGCGCUCGUGCGGCCGCCGCCAACCCCCACGCAUUCCGCCUACUUCCACUCCCGCACACAACCGUCAUCGCACCGCCUCCUGCUCCGUGCCGCCGCCAUCGCUACCACUCGCCUAUCCUUUACCACAGCCGCACCGCCCUCCGCUGGUCCGGACCGGCAGCCGCAGGGCCGCCGCCGCUUGGCGCUGCCCGUCGGCCACCGCAUCCUGACGCCGCUCCCCCAGCUUCGAGCCUAGAUCCGGCCCCGAAGGGAGUAGAUUAGGCCAAGAGGGUGGCAGAUCUAUGCCCGGAUGGUCGAAAUCGGUUGACCGGCCAUAACCACUGUCGAUGCAAACGAGAGGGCCUCACCGGCACGAGGGAGAAGAGACCUCGCCGCCACCUUCCUUGCAACCGGAUGGACUUCCGCCUGCCUGCUUGGGCGGCGGUGAGGAGAGGGACGGAGGCUGGGGCUGGCGGUGCUAGGGCCUCGGGUCCGCCCGAGUCGCCCCGAGGAGGAGCAGCUCGGGCGUCUUGCGAUUUUCAAUAGUAUCAUGCUACCUUUCUAAAAAAAAUCUAGUUGGUGCUCAACACGCUAUACGAGCCAAAAAGUUCAAUGGGGAAAGAAAAGAGUUUAACUGACUCCACACCUCCUACAUCAGUGGAUUUUAUUUAAAAUAGAGCUAUAGUAGACGGUAGUUGGCUUUGCCAACACAUAUCAGACGAUCACUACACAUGGAUGAAAAAAAUUCCAUCUGCCCCUUGGGCAGCGUCAUCCAGCGCCGCGCGGGUAUCCGGACUCUGUCCAACUUCAUCGCGCUGGUAUUCCAGCCGGCUUUGUUUUUGCGAAACGACGCACAUGCAUGCGGCUGGCCGCGCUGCCAAUCCACGGCGACUGCGGAGGCCUUUGGAGUUACCUGUACGACGCGAGUGGCGACGUGUGGGCAUGUGGGUGCCGCCGGCCGGCGGCGAGGGCUGAAGGGGUGCGUUCGACUCGAAAUAGGAAUCUCUCUACGUCAUGCUUGCAAUUGCGCAAGUUCUAAUCGGUGCUAGUGCUAGUAGCAGGCCAGCACGAUCAGUCUGGAUUCGUCUCCCAGGUGUCAACUUGAUCGCAUUGCUUGUACUGCCAGUUGAUGGAAUUCCGCAGCCCACAUUUUGGAAGAAAACCAUCUCGUCCAACCAUUACGCAGUAUGUGCUCUAGAAAGGUACGACUUCGUGGGUAACUCACGAUCUUACUUCUAGAGUUCUAGUAAUGGUUGGAAAAUUGCAGGCGUUUUCCACUUUGAACAUCUGAGUUUAGCAAUAGUGCCAGCAGUUCAGAAGGGAACCUUCUGCAGAUGGCGUGAUCCCGUACAACACUAGCUACGUACAGCUCGAUCAGCUCAGGGCAUGCAAGUCAAAAACGCAAAUGAAAAUCAAGCACACCGCAGUCACACGAAGAUCUUGACUUUGCAAUCGAGAUGGGAGAUGAGUUCGAGCAACUUUGGAUCGGAGAAACACUUUCAAUUUUCUUCGCCUUUAGUACUAGCAGCUGUCAUUUCAGUGGCAGCAACCGCUACACAGUCAAGAGCAUGUAGUUGCGGCAAUGCAGGAAGAAGAUUUGCAAGCUCAUUCUGCUUUGUUUUCCUUUGCUAGUACUCGUGGAGUCAACUAAUCAAAAUAUCCGGACAUUUUUUCCCCAUCUGAUCAGGCGACUUUCGAGUAAUUUCACCAAACAAAUAGACAAUGUAGCAUGGAGAUACAAUUCUGGUGUAGUACUGUACGCACGUGUUUUCAACUAAAUGGUACAGGAGUACACAACAAAUCAAAUUAGACGCUUGCACGUUUCAGAUUAGGAUGCGUGCAAGCCUAGAAGGAACCUGCUCGAAACAGUGUCUUUUUAUACAAUUAAAAGAACCCCUCAUCAAUACAUCUAAAUCACAACUUCACAAAGACCCUGUGCGACCUUUGAGGGGAUUAAUACCAUACUGAAAAGCAAGUCAACACACGAGAAGGACUUGCUGGUGAGUUCAGGUGGCUUACUUUCUUGAGCUGUUGAAUAAUUAGCUUUGCAGCACUUGUCAACAUGUUGCUGGACCUUACUGAGGAGGAAUGGAACAAGAAAACAAGCAUACAACUUACUAUUGAGAUUUUUUUUAAAAAAAAAUCGGCAACAUCAUACACAAUUGAAGACAAGAUCUUGCAUAAGAUACGUACAGAAAACCAUCGAAAGCUUGUAGCUGAAAUUGUAAAUAAAACCAUGAGUAAGGUAAAAUUAAAGUGUUCAUUUACAUUGCAUAUAAGAGCAGUUAAGAGGAAAAUUUACUUACAUCAAAAUUCAAACAAAGUUUCAUCUACAUUCCACAUAAUAAGGUACAUAAACACAAAAUCAAACACCACAAUGACUACAAGUCUACAACGACAAAUUUCCUGUUCGUCGACAGCUGAGGAACAUGGCUCAUUAAGAGCAGGUAACAAUGAGACCAGCCUACACCAUUGAGCUUAACAAGGACUGUAAUCUUAUCUAUGAACUGAUAAUUCAAUAGGUGAUCUCUCUGUACAUGGACCAUCAAAUUGGACCGAUGCUAUUUUCUAUCUGCACAGCUACUGCCAGCAUGCUUAGCAGUUUAAUUUGAAUAACUUCAUGUAAUCAGUGCAUAUGUCAACAAAAUAUUGAAAGCACUGCAUGUCUACUUCAUUUACUUGGCUAUCAUCAGGCGUUGUUUCUCACAUGAAGUGAUAAUGGCAACAUGGCUCAAUAAUUCUUUAUUCAUGACAUAUGGCCACAUUGAUUUUUUUUUCAAUUAUAACUCAUGACAUAACGACUAUAAAGUGAGCGUAUAUAGCUUGCUGCAGUGAUGCAGAUAUGAACUACAACUUAUGUCAAUAAUUAAUUAGUACUCAUCCUUUUGCAAACAUCUCAGGUACCAUGUGGGUCCAACCGGUCACAUCCACCCAUCACCCCUGAAGAUAAUAAAAAUUACAAAGUAAAGGAUGUCCAUGGAAGAAACGGACAGAGGCAAUUUAAAGCCAAUACACUGAGUAUACUAAAAUGUUUAAGAAUAAAAUAAAAGAACAAACUUUUUAUGGACAUGUUCUAUUAUGUUGAGGAUUUAAACAGAUGAGGGUUCUAUGUUAUCUGGUUUAGAAAUUGGAGGUUGAAAUUUAGACUCGUCAGGGAAAAUUGACGGUUGUAAAUUGAACCUUUCCCUAAGAAAAUGAAGGCUAUGGCAGCACGAUGGCUUGUUUGGUUUUGCUAGAAAUAAUGUCAUAUCUUUGGAACAUUACAUGAAAACUAUUGCACUACUUGUGGAAUACAAAAGCAAUAGAUGAAAAGGACUGGGAUUACCCUAUUAUUCGCAAAUUUGGCUUCACCGACCAAUUAGGUAUUAUUGCUGCACACAUAAUGAGUCCUUUAUUCCUGAAAGGAUACAGGGAGGAAGGAAACAUGAGCUUUCUAAAUAUAAUUAAUACGAAACAACAUCCCAGUAACUCUAGCAUAAUAUGAUAGUCAUACUAAUUCUCCAAAAGAAUAUAAGAAAAGUUCAUGAAAAAAAAGGGCACGCUCGACUUACCAAUAAUACCGGCAGCAACAGGUGAAAAUAUGAUGAGCGAGUGUGUAAGGGCUCGCUGGUGUUCUAUCACUGUGUACAAUGUCUUCAUCAAUGGCUGGAGACCAGGUGUCACUACCUAGGUCGUAUUGCUCAACAAGUGGGUGGGCUGGUCGCACAGCCCGUCUUCCCAACAAUGGAUUAAAAUCAUGUGUCUCAACCAUUCGAGAUGAUCUAUUUUUGCAGAUGAUAGAGUUACCCAAAAUAGAGGGGAACCUCUUAGCGGAGAUACACAAGGCAUGCACCUCAGAGAAGAUAGCAUGCUCUCCGAUACUCGUUAGAGGAGCAACUCUUCCCUUGGUAAGGUCUGAGACUCUGUAAACUACCAAGUGUGCAAGUGAAACGUCAGUGAAGCCAAGAACCAUGAGCUCCGAGCCGCAUUCUACCAGGCGGGCUGUACCGACGUACACCUCCGUCCAGCGGAGACUUGACGAGCAUCCUCGGUGGCGGCAGUGACAGCGAGUGGUUACCCUCGGCGCUCGGUUGUGGCGGAUCAAUCCGGCAGAUGUAUACAUUGUUCUUGUCAGCAGAAUUCACCGCCAUGGCAUAAAAUUUGCCUUGGAAAGACAUAGUUACUGCUCGCAAACGAGGGAGCUUCCAGGCCGAGAGGGACCAUCGCCGGUCGCCGGUAGCGGCAUAGGCUACACGACGUUUGGUGUCAAGGCACAGCAUGACUGUGAUAGCACCGGCGGCGUUCACAGUAACUGCCGCGCAAACUCCCCUGAGGAAGACACCGAGCUCGCGAAGCUUCAUACUCUCGGUCAUGUAGCGGCAGAUGUGUGGUUCAAUGUCCAUAAUCUGUGGCCAGAGGGGCAACACCGGUGGGAGCGGCGAUGUCGCCGGUGAAGGGGUGGAGGAGGCGGAUGGCGGUGUCGGGGUGACGGAACAGCAGGAGGAGGCCGUCGGCGGAGCCGAUGACGAUGUGGUCGUCGAAGAGCGGGAGGUGACGAACUCACCCGAGAUUGGGGUGGCCGGGGUAGAGGCCGUAGCCCUCGGGGAACAGCAUCCAGCGGCGCGGGUGGAAGCGCGGGUCGACGAGACCGCGGCCGCGCGGGGGAACGGUGCUCGAGUUCCAGUGGGAGCAGACGGAGCGGAAGCGGACGUAAUCCAGCAGGUCGCCGGCCAGCACCCGCCACGCGAUCAGCUCCAGCAGAUCCUGGGGCAGCGACGCCCACGGCUCCGAUCCAAGGAGCCGGUGCUUGCUGCUCCUGUCUUGGAUCAUCGUUGCCGACAGGGGGCGUUUUUGACACGACGGCGGCGAUCGACAUCCGGAAUUGCCGCGUAUCAGAUGAUCCUACCGCAGACGAGACGAUGAAUAUAACCGCGGAUGACAUGCGAGAUUGCUUGUUGUUGUUUUCUGUUUCCGUCUCGAUCCCGUGAUCGUGGAGACGAGCAGAACCGAGCAUAGAAAGAGUCCCGAUUGGAUUGGGUGUACGUGACAUAUGCUCGUUAACGCUCCAUCAGUUGAUUGCAUGGCUUUUACAAGCUGAUGGUAUUUCUCAACACAAAUUUUCAAGUUAGCUUAGGUCGAAGCGCCAAAUGUUUUGUCAUGGUUGAGAAACUCAGUUUUCCCUGCAAUUUAAGCUCACAAGUACACGGAGGUCGCAGACUGUGCGACCCAGUGUACCACUAUCCUAGUACACGGAGAUCACGAAUUUCACGUCCAUUCCUCUUUGCCUUAAACAUUUUUUAUUGCAAAUAAAGAUAUAGAACAGAACUUGUUUCAUUCUUGUACUUGUCAAAUUAGGACGUCUUUCCAUCAAAAGAAAUUAGGAUGUGUACCACGAGUUUCACUAUUCCAGUCUACCAAUGACCAAAAUUAAGAAAAUUCGCACUACUACUGUAAACCUGAUGGUAUACUUCGUUUCGUGUUAGCAAGGAACUUAAGGGAUCAAGGGACGGAAUCACUUCGGCAAUCUGCUGCCGAGUCUGCUGACGUACCGGCUCAGCAGGUCUCUCUGCGUGACCGCGUCGUCGUCCACCACACUGCUGACCUGCUGCCUGUAGCCGUCGUCGUGGUUGUGCGAUGCCGGCAUCCCAUCCCUCAUGUCAUCUUUAAGGUCGAUCAUGAUGUUGUUUAGCAAGCAGCAAGCGUAGAUGAUCCUUGGCAGCCGGUGCUUGUCCGGCCUCCACACCUCUCCCUUAAGGACCUGCCACCGUUCCUUCAGAUUGGCCAGGGCACCUUGCACCACCGUUCUCGUCGCGGCGUGACGCUUGUUGAACUCCACUUUCUCUGAAGAUAGACCAAGCUCUUGAUAUGGAGUCAUCAGCCAUGGAAGAAGAGGGUAGCUGGGAUCCCCAACAAUGUAUUCUCUGACCGUUGGCCCUUCUGAUUCUCCAGGAAGCUCCAUUUGCCCCGCCAGCCUUGAGCCUUUCUGGCAGAGCCUGUAGAAACCUGAGGUGCGCAGGAUGCACGAGUCAUCCAAGCUCCCGGGCCAGCCACAGACAACAUCUCUGAACCGCAUGUCAGGGUCAACAACUGUCUGCAGGACCAUGCUGUUCUUGUUCUCGCCGUCCAGCCAGACAUUGCUGUUAGGCUGCGCCGAAGAGCACAUGAGGAUGUGUGUUGUGUCCAUAGCGCCACAGCAGUUGGGGAGACCCUGGAUCUCUUCAAACUUUGCUUUGAUGGUUGCCAUCUCCUCAGGAUCAGGCCAUUUCAGAUGACCAGUAGCGCGCUCCUCCAAGCACUCGAUGAACUUCCAAGUGAUGUGUGAGAUGCUUGAGUGGUUCAUCCCAAAGCGUGUUCCUAUGCUCAUAAGUGACUCGCCAGUGGUCAGUCUUAGCAGAGCAACGCCGACUUGAUCCUCCACACCGAGAAUCACCUUGUCCCCAAACUUAAAAUUUCUGAAACUCCGUGUCUUUUUCGUGAAGUCCCCUUUAAUUAGAGAGCAAAGGUAGUCGAAGGUCCUCCUUAACAUCUUAAAGGCAGUCUCGAAGUUUUGGCAUUGUUUGGAAGGUUGUCCUGUAAAGGAAUCAGAUUGAAUCAUGUAUAGAGAUAUCAUUAUCUGAAUAACAAUGGAAAGUCAUUGUACAAGCCACCAUGAGAAAGACAUGAAAGGUUAACAUCUGAAGGAUUUAAGCUUAUGCUCUGCAUGGUUUUAGGCAAAAGAGGAACAUGAGCAAAAGACAUGAAAGGUUAAAAUCUAAAAUAUUAAUGUUUAGAAAGAUGGAAGGAAAUCAAGAUAAAGCAGUACAUUGGCAAAAGUGCCCAAAAAACAGCAGCUGAUAGAAAAGUUGAAUGAAUGAUUUUCUAUCAUUAUCUGAAGAGGUUAGGCUGUUUUUGAGGGACAACAAAAACAAGUUGUACAUAUGAUUGCACAAGAUACUUGAGUCGCGGUUCAGGACAAAACUUUCAGUUGAGUGCAGUUAUAAAUAGAUAGUUAAACCAUCAUGAUUUAACCCUUCAUGUGACCAUCUGACUAAAUCUUACUUGAUGCCUUGGUCUGCAUCAGAGUUUGAACUUUGAACAGGUAACUCAACUGUAUCUUUUUAGCAGUUACUUGAAAUUCGGAUAAUGUUACUAUUCAGCUUACUGUCUGCACAUAUGCUACCUGGUGAUUCAACUAACUUUUAACGAUAAGAGCUGAUUGCAGAGAGAACACUCAUAGCACUAGAGAAAGUCUCUCUAAACUACUUUAGGUCUGACCAAAAUAAAAUUUGCUAAACUCUUGUAGCCUUCUACAGUAUUUGUUCUCUCUUGGAAGGCCCAACCCAUAACCAUCUGCAAUUUGUACUCUCAGUAUGGAAAUAGUCAGAUGAAUCAAAAUAUUGCAAGGAUGAUCCUUCAUAUCAAAUCUACAGUUAGCUGUACAACUGAGACCAAGCAAGAUCACUAUGUGUUCCUGACUCUUAGAGUAAAUUCCUAACCAAAUUGUAGCUUGCUGGAUUAGUAUAGUCGUCCACAGCAAGCGUUUUGGCAAAAACAUCUUUUGGGAGGCUACAAGCCUGCAGACACUGACAUCUGCAGUUUAUACUCGUACACAUAUUGAUUGAUGAAUCUAAAUACUGCUAAGAUGGUCCAUCAAAUUUAAGGUCAAUUGUACAAUUGACACUAAACAAAAUUUAAGUUCCUCCAAUAAACUCUGUAAGCUCAUUGAACUAGUUCUACAUUAAUGAACUUGUGUAAUGAUGUUUUAAGAGGCAAUACUGAAACAGGAAUUAUCUUCAGAACUAGCGGGUAACUAUCAUUACUUAAAAUAUAGCAGCAACCCAAAUUGCUGGCGGAGUUAAUCAUAUAACCAGGUAGGCUUGAAUAUACUACACCCAAAUAAAGUUCGACUGUAUUAUUGGGGAAAACUAUCUGAGAACAGAAAUGUCAAUGUUCAACAACAACCAAUUAACAGCUAACUAUUAUUAACCAAACAAGUUUCACCAUCCUUCGCCAGACUGAAGAAGAACUGCUGUUUCUUCAGGCAAAUUUCACUUCGUCCCUUGCUGGGAUGAACUCAAGACAGGAGAAUAUAGUCCUCCAGACACGUUGCCAUCAACGGUCAAGCAAAAGAUUUUGGAUUAGGUUGGCACAAUGGGCAGAAUCAACAACACCUGUAACACCACUGCACCCGGUUUAACAGAUCUGGAAUGGACACGACGAGGCAACAAACCCACAAAUGGUAAAACUAAUUGUGACCUCAAAGCAACAAGCAUCGCCCAUACCCGUAUGCCUCGGUCUGGAACGCCCAUCCCAGUGGUUCUUGCCUCUGCAGUCUGUACACCUCGCAAGCCCGAUGCCCACCGGCUUCAGUAACCGCGAGCAAACAGCAGAUUCAUUACGCCUAGCGUCCGGAUUAAGAAGCACGGCGAGAGCAGAUUAAACAACGCGCCGAACGCACACGCCAUACGAGCACUGCAAAUUCAGCGACGGCUCUCCUAAUCUAGAACCGCGAAAUCGGUCCAGGAACAAUCCAAAAGGCGAGAGAUUAGCACGCAUUACCUGGGGCCGCGGCUGCGAGGUUACAGCGGCACAGGAAACGAGGAGCCGACAUGGUUAGGGACAGAGAGCACGCUGUGGGAGAUGGGAGGGAGAGGAGGGUGUAUGUAUACCUGCUGCAAGCCUGCGGGAGAAGGCGUCCCACCAAUCGCCGGCGAGGGGCUGCGGCACCGGCGGCGCCUGCGCCUGUGCCGGCAAGGCCCUCUCGGGCUUGCGCUUCCUCCGCUUGGCCCCCCUCAGCGGUGCCAUGACGAGCGCAACGCCGGAGAGAUCAAGAGAGGAGGCGGCUACCAAGCAGGCUGCGACACCCCAAAAUGACUUGGCCUUGAAAAGACCCUGCUGUUUAGUGACAAAGCAGCAGGCUGGUGACUAAGGGGAUGUUUGGGUCGCAUGUGCUAAACUUUAGCACCCGUCGUAUAGGAUGUUUGAUAUUAAUUAGGAGUAUUAAAUAUAGUCUAAUUAUAAAAUUAAUUACACAGAUGGAGUCUAAUUCAUGAGAUGAAUCUAUUAAGCCUAAUUAGUCCAUAAUUUGACAAUGUGGUGCUACAGUAAUCAUUUCCUAAUGGUGGAUUAAUUAGGCUUAAUAGAUUCAUCUCGCGAAUCAGCCUAGGGGUUCUACAAUUAGUUUUAUAAUUAGCUCAUGUUUAGCCCUUCUAAUUAGCAUCCGAACAUCACCUCGUAGCCAAACACGCCCUAAGAGUUUUCUAAAAAACAUUUCCCCAAAACUAUGUAUUGGAGGCUCUUUAAAAGAAAAAUUCUCAAAAACAUAUCAACCUACAACAGAUCGCUAAUAACUAGCCCCCAAUAUUUCAAAGCAGGCCAUGUCAUCGUAAUUGAGUCCUGCCCGGCGCCUCCGUACUCUCUCCCCAUUUAUUCUUUCUUCUUGUUCCGCGUAGGUCUCCCGCGUAUAGCACGCGGGAAGGAGUUGUUCGGGGCGAUCGGGAAAGAACCGGUCUCCCGCGUAUACGCGGGGGCGACAAAGGUGUUUUUAGCGUCCGCGUAUUUUUACGGAAAGGAUGGUGAAGCUGUUGGAAGUAAGUUUUUUUUCCUAAGAUCUUGUGAUAAUUUUAAGGAGCUUUUAAAGUUGCUCUAACAGAGCUGUGGCACAAGUAGUUCCACGGUCGCCUGUUGUUAUGCAGUGCUGCUCCUAUUGCCCAGUGCCCAGUGGCAUGCCACAACCAACAAGGCAGGUUAGGACGUUAGGCGUGGCCAUUGUCAUGUGCCAUGUCAACAGCCCCCGUCUCUCCUUCUGAUUCACUUUUCUGUGUGCUUGUCACCCUGUGAUGGGAGGCUAGGUUAAAGGGAGUGGCUAUUAUAUCCAAAUAUACCAUUAUUUAGUUUUGUAGAAAGGAGAACAAGUUUUUGAGUUCUCGUGUUCUUUGUAACUCGGGAAAAACAACCAAUUUCCAUCAUACGAUCCCUUUCAACCUCCGGGAAUCCUAAAUUCUUUAGGUUGACCUUUUGUUUAUCUUUUUUUUAUCUAGAUCUUAUUUUAGAACUCUGUAGGUUCGGAAUAGUUAAAGCGUUAUUGUGAGUGUGGUAUUAUAUUGCCAGGCUAGUCGGUGAGUUACUCCCUUGCACAAUAAAGUACGGAAUAGUUUGGUAUUCUUGGAAGGGAAUGGACCUAGAAACUUGACACUUUUUCCGUGCCGUUAUUUUGGGAGGGGGUAUAGUGCUAAAAUUUUUAGAAUUUGAUCGAUGUUUUUGUUAGUGGAGUUUGAAGCAUGCUAGGGUGCAUGUGCCCCUACCUGCUCCUUUGCCUCCGCGGCUUCGCCAGUGUUCUUGGGGUGUUGAUAGCGAUAUGUUUUUCAGUGCAUUAAUCUUGUUGUGAUUGUACCAAUUUUUAUAUGAACAUAAAUAUUUUUUUAAUAAAAUAUUUUAUUGCGUGUGAUGUACCAAACGUAGCAACAUUUAUAUCUACAGUGAAGUUCUAUGUGAAAUAAGAUAUGAUGGUGGCAGCAGUAAAAUAUGAAGAAUUAUGAAUUACGUGCUUGAAGACAUGCAAAGAGGCGGAUAUUUGUAGAAUUAGUGUCCUCGUGUGGUGCCUGAUGGUUAAAUAAUGGACAAUUCUUACCAUGCAGUUGUGUUUCUUUAAUUAAAAGAGUAAUACCAUACAUUAAGUGGUCCACUUCUCAAUCUAACAAAUAUAACUUCAUGCACGAAAUUAUCAGAAUCCAGUGUGUGGAAAUUAGGCAAACUUCCAAUCUUUAGUUUGGCUAGAAUUUUGUUGUUUGUUUGCUAUACAUUGGUGUCAAUGGCUACAUCUCCGCUUUGACCGUUGACUACUGAACUAGAGUCUCCGUCCCAUGAAAGUGAGCAGCCAAGCACCUCACGGGGGCUAUAAAGUUUACGGUCGCCGGACGGAACGCUCCGUCCGGACGUCCGGUCGACCGAGUGAGUGUCGGAAGGACACCCCCGUGCGGGUGGUUCCUUCCCUUUUUUACCAAAAAGUUAUAUAGAAAUAUUUUCCACACAAAAAAUUAUGGCAUAAUUUUUAUACCAAAUAUUCACGACAGAAGAUUCGUAGAAAAAUUUUGUAGAGAAAAGAAAAUUUAAAUGGAAAAAUAAUAUAAAAAUUUAUAAAACAAAUUUUGGAACAAAAUAAGGUAAAAAAUUUUGAAACAAAGUUUCUGAACAAAACUUUGACACAAAAUUUUGGAGAAAAAAAAUCGAACUGAGACGGGUGAGACCUGAGAAGGGGAAUGGGAGGAGAGUGGUGGGCCCACACGUAGGGUGGAUCGGUGCGUGUCCACCGGAUUCGACCGCUCGUUUGGAAGGUUCCGCUCGACUGUAAAUUCAGCACCGUAAUCCCCAACGGCCGACGCAUAGCAAACCUCGAGUCCCUGACGGCCUGACCCCACCCACGCCAUCCGCGUCCGUCGUCGUCAUCAUUAUUCCCUCGGGCUUCUUUUCCGCGCCGUGCGGCGCAAAGAAAGCCCAGAUCCGCCGGGUAGGCCAGGCCCAGUUGGCCCACCGACGCUGACAAGCCCGGCCCGGCAGCGAGCAACGCUCUCGGCUCUCCCGGAGUCGUCGCGCGGUAGGUGGGGCGGCGGCGUGGACGCGUCGCCGUCACGUCGCGUGGUGCGGAGUAGUGUGCCUGCCGCGCGACGCCCGCACCCUUCGUGCCGUGCUGACCACACGACGCAUCGCAAACCACUCCUCAAUUCCCCUCUCCUCCCGUCCGCAUUCGUGUCUCCCUCAGCAGGUCGGACUUCUCGCUCUCCAAGAACUCGGCGAGGUAACUGCUCUCCACACGCCCCUUUCCCCUAUCUCUCCUCACCUCCUAGCUUCCUCUCGUCGCUGUGAAUUCGAGCUCUUCCCCCGCGAUUUUCCACGAGGAAGGUCUUCGUGGCGGGUGGCUUCCCUGAUUGAUGGAUCCGUGGGGAUCCAGUGGGCUUGAAUUAAUAUGAUCUGGGGUCAAUUGGGAUUUGGGUUGUAGCGAUUGUGGCGUAAUUGGUGAGCGGGGUGCGAUUGUCUCGGUUUCGCAUGUGCAGAUCUGGUUGGUUGUUUCUGCCGAAUUUGUUGGGAAAUUGCUGGUUCGCAAGAUGUUAGGCAACUCAGGGAUCCGGUUCGCUCCGGGUUUGGACUUGGGAGCAUGCGGGAUGAGGUUAGCUAUGCGAUUGCGUAGUUGCCCGAUCGAUGUUGGGCAAGGGCAUGCCUUGUUCCCCUUACACGAGGCUAAGGUAACCUGUUGUCCGAGAGUGUCAUGUUUAUCCUGGGGGCUCUAGCUCGUGAUUUGUCAGGAUAACCAUGCUGACCGUCCGUGGGGGCAUUGGUCAUACAGGACUUCUCCUGCAAAAUUGAUGAGGGUCAACAGAUUAAAUUAGAGGUGUUAGAUGAAAAUUAGUUAGGAGAGGUGAAGAGGGCAUUACCCAGGUAGAAGCAUCACAGUGAUACAGCAAACAUACCAGCGUGUAAUCUGUACUGAACUCCUAUGAAGGAGCGCAUGUCUUUUGCGUGGUCUCAGAUAAAGGAGUAACCAUGUAGGAGCGACCACCUUAUGCAUGAAAUUGAAAUGGCCAAUCAUUCUGUAGUUACUCUUUGGCACUGAUCAUGCCUGAAGUACAUCAAAUCUUAGUCUUAUUGGUUCUACUAUUGUCAGCCUGUAUUCAGUGCACAGUAACAAUACCAGGGCUCUUGAUGGUGCUACUUCCUUCUGCAUUUGUCAGUAGAUAAUAUUAGUAUACACGUUUACAGAAUUGCAUCGCAGUGUUUAAAUCAUACCACAAUAACAUGUCUACAGAAUAGUAUUACAAUGUUUAAAUUACACUGCAACAGGAUGUCUGUCUAUCUUAACAGUUUGCCUUAUAUGCGCAGAAAGGCUUAUGGGCUGUCUGUCUCUGUCCAUCUCUAGCUAUAUAUGAAGUUAUAUAUGAAGCAAGAAGUUAUUAAUGCCAUAUUUAGUACACCUACAUGCAUUCAUCUAGCAUGCCUCUGAAUAAGUGUUCCUAUGACAUUGCUCACUGUAUAUCAGUAUAUGGCCACUGACCAGUACCUAUUUUGAUGUUUCUCAUGUUCUCGUGUACUUCCUAUAAGAUACUACAAAAUCACAGUUAAUGAUAAAACAAGGGCCUCUGUAUUUCCUUUUCUGUUGUCUACAGAGUAAAACUAUUGUAUGCUGUUUGCAUCUUAUUUUCCUGGCCCUCAGUUAUGAUUCUGUCAAUGACACAACUACUUUUAGUAUCACUGAUGUAUAUACUAGUUUUAGUGUUCAUCAUUCUAUAUCAAAUACAUCCUGCUAUGUCGCUAAUGCUUGUCUGGUUUUGCACUUGUCAGGAUGGAAAUGUUUUUCGGCAGCUUUCUCAGUGAAUCAGCAUCAUCACAGAACCUUUUUGGCCACCCAGAUGUUGAGAGAUGCCCAUUCCUGAGAAACAUCAAUGGAGCUACAACCUUUUCAUUUACUUCUGCGUUGCCAGUAGCUGUAAGAUCUGUUUCCUAUGACCUUUUGUGUUGGCAGCGAUCACUGUCAUUGGAUCAUCAGUUCCUUGACAAUAUGUGGUAUUGUGCAGGCCCGAGGAGGCAAGGGUCCAAUUUUUGAGGAUGGACCAGGCUUUGAGUCAGCAUUCAAGCUUUUCCAUGGCAGGGAUGGAAUAGUUCCCCUUUCAGAAAGAUCGUAUGUGCCUGAUGAGAGCCACAAUGAGAACAUUAAUGUGAAGACCGAACCUGCUCUGCCGUUUAAUCCAUUGGCUGCUAGAGCAGCCACAAUAAGUCUAUCAGCAUUUGGACCAUUUGGUUUUGGCUUUUUCAACGGCAAGGGCAAAAGGCAGAACAAGAAGCCCAACAAUCUAGAUCAGUCCCACCAGAAACCCAAGACACCAGAUCAGUCUUCCAUGAAAGUUUGUUCUGACGCUUCUUUUUUCAUUAUGCAUCUCAUUUCCAUCUGAUGAUAUGCUAUAAUUUUUUUUAUUCUUUCUGUUGUAAUAUCAACCCAGGGCUCAGUAUGUACUGUCACUUAUUUUACAUUUCAUCCAAAGUCAGAACAUUUACUAGCUAUUCAUUAGAUGGCUAUAUCCAAGGGCUAAUGUAGUUGCUCAGAAAACCAUAGCUAUCUCAUUCUUCCUGCCUUUAGUUUAUCUUAUUAUCUGUAUUCUCAUUAUCUUUCCUUUGUUCUUUUCAGCAAAAGGGAGUCAACCCACCAUCACACGAGGCAUUCAGCGAAGAAUGGUUGGAAAAUGGCCAGUGCCCACUUGCGCGGUCUUAUCGGGCAAUGAGUGGUGUUUUGCCCCUUGUCGCCAAGGCUUUACAGCCACCAGCUGGUAUGAAGCUGAAGUGCCCACCUGCUGUGGUUGCUAUCCGAGCCGCCCUUGCACGAACUGCACUUGUGAAAUCCCUCCGACCGCAGCCACUGCCUGCAAAGAUGGUAGCCAUUGCACUACUGGGAAUGGCAGCAAAUAUCCCUCUUGGUGUCUGGAGGGAGCACACCAAGAAGUUCUCUCCUCAGUGGUUCGCAGCUGUCCAUGCUGCUGUUCCCUUAAUUGCAAUGCUGCGGAAGUCUGUUGUGAUGCCCAGGACUGCGAUGGCAUUCACCAUAGCAGCCUCCAUUAUUGGUCAGACUAUUGGGUCAAGGGCCGAGCGCAUCCGUCUGAGGAAUCUGGCUGCAAUGGGUGCUGUUAAUGCUACAACAACUGCUGCCAUGUAUCCAAACAAGAAUGGGAAUUGCAGCGACACUGAGGGCAAGGCAUGGGAUCCCCUCGAGACAAAGAUGGCUGGCUCAGCUGCUAGGGGUGCACCUGCGCCAACCACUAGCAUGUGCUUCUGAUUGUGCUGUGCGUGUAAUUCACAGAAAUGCCUGCAGAGAUUAUGCCUCAACUACUUUAUAGUGUCAUGUAAUUGCCUUGCUUGUCCCUGAAAACUGAGCUGUCCGUGGGGCGAGACGAGUGGAAUAAGAGGUGCGUCAGUACCAAUAUGGCAGUGUGGUAUGUUAUUAUGGUCGGGGCUGAUGCACGUGUAUGCAAUUUGGUGCUGCUGUAUUUCCAUUUAAAAUUAUAGCGUCGGAUUAAAGAAAAGUCUUGAUGAACCAUUGUGCGAGCUAUUGUGGGAGCUUUGUGUCCUCUUGCGUCUGUUUGUUUUUGCCAAAGUGCCAAUUCCAUUGCUGAAUCAAAAAUCUUUUCUGAUAGCUGAGAUCAAGCUUUCACAUGUUCUUGGGAGAAGUUGGGGGAUGUGCAGUUUUAAAUCAUCUGGUUCUGCUUUGUAUCAUGUAUCUGUUAUGAAAUGUGGUGCUUCUGACGCUGAAGAGCCCUGAAAUUAUAAACUUCAACAUGUGCGGGGGGUAAAAUGUAAUCCCUGAUCAUUUCCUUGCCGGCACUGCUUUAUGUCUAACUUGAGAUAGCAUAGCAACAUGCAGAGAAUUUGCUGUAUGUAACCUGGGGCUUCAAUUCUAUUGCUCAUUUUUCCUGUGCAAGUUCUCGUUUUGUUUCUGAAGCUCGUUCAGUCCGUGUUGGUCUGCUCUGAAUGUUUGCUGGAACUGCGAUAUUGUGACUACUUGCUUGACGAAGAGUAUGCCUUACCAAUUCGAGAUGUGCCUGAAGCAGUGUACUCGCAUGUCCACCCUUCUUCUGCCAUUCAGAACCACGACAUACAAAAUCCAGCAUCGGACACUGUAUACGCACAGAGAGUUCAAACUGCUCAAGGACUUAAGAGGACGUCGGGUUAUGUUGCGACCAGUAACCGCUAGUGCGAACUGGGAACAAAGACUCCGUGGAACUGGCAGUCUGGCACCCGAGCUGAGUCUCCACCGUAAGAUAUCAGAUAUCGCCUGCCUCAACGAUGCAGAUGGUAGACAUGGCAACCAUGAACCAUCCCAAUCGUGUUCAACGCCAUAUCAGCAAGCAGGAAUCUAGCGGCAGAAACGUGUUAUGCUGGAGGAGUGCUGGACCACCCACGUGUGGAAUGGACCGGACGGACGGCUCAGGGAGGCUCACGUUUUCCGGUCAAAAACGAUGAAUUUCCAGCAGUUCUGAAUUCUGAUCUUCUUCUUCCCGUUCACCGGCUUGACUGUAAGUGGGUGGAUGCGACCGUCUUUCGUCCCGGGUCCUGCACAUUCCUGCUCCCUCUCCACCACCAGAUGGCAAUUGACAACAUGGUCACCUUUUUUAUGCAUGGCCACUCUUCUUCAGCCAUUUGUUCUCCAGUAGACUUGGAUUGAUCAGAGAUCCUGGCAAGUGGCAACGUCGCCAAAGCAAAUUCCGCCACCGGAUCCAUCCAUGUCCGGGCCCGACACACGAACUGGCUCGUGGGCCUCCAGAUGAACGCCCCCUUAAUACCUCUCACUCUCAGGAAGUGUUGGGGUGUGUAUUUGAAAAAUAGAUAUAAUAAAAGAAUUAAAGUGUAAAAUACUAAGAGUAAAUAGAUAUAGGCAGAGAAUGAUCGAAAGACCGAUUGAUUCAGAACUUUUCCCCAUCUACCUGUUCAUGGCUGAGCCUGCUCUUCUUCCCAAUCACAAAUCUCUACUAGAUCCACCCUUUAAUCUUCAAUGGAAAGAAAAAAAAAAUCUGAGUGAUCCGAAACUAGAUUGUCAGCGUGUGUAACCCCCUCGAGAGAAAAAAAAAAGGCGGCGUUCAAAGGAAGCAUGGAGACAGGGACAACAGAAAAUGACGAGAUCCACAGUCUUCCUGCUACCACGCCUGCUAAUGGGAUUGUAAUCCAACCGACACCAAUCCACAUCAAGCUCACCCCAUAUUUAUAUUGUCUAAAUCCAAACCAAUCCACCUACUAGUUGAUGAUAGAACCCAUAGGUUUGCUAUAAAAAAAUCAUGGUUUGCUAUAUAAACCUAUGAGCUCAUAUAAAAAACUCCUAUAUAUUUGAAAUAAAUGUGAGUUCGACAUGUGGGUCCUAUGUCAAGAGCCGGACUCUAAAACUAAAACAUCAUGUUCACGCCUUAAAAUUUUAACGAAAUUGAUCGAAAUUUAUUGAAGAUGACAGAGUUUGACUGUCCGCUACUUUAUGCUAAAUAGUAUAGCUAAACAUACAUUUAGACCCGCAUUACGAGUCGGACCUUAGAAUUAAAAUCUCACGUUCACACCUAAAAAUUUUAGUGAAAUUCAUCAAAAUUUGUUGGAGAUGACUCAAUUUGACUGCCCACUGCUUUGUGUAAAAUAGUAUGGCUAAACAUACAUGUGGGUGUCGCGUCAAGAGUCGGAUCCUAGAAUUAAAACCUCGCAUUCACACUUUAUAAUUUUAGCGAAAUUGAUCGAAAUUUGUCGAAGAUGACUCAAUUCAAGUGUCCGCUACUGUGUGCAAAAUAGUAUAGCUGAGCCCCACAUUAAGAGUCGGAUCCUCGAACUAAAACCUCCUUUUCACACUUUAAAGUUUUAACGAAAUUGAUUGAAAUUUGUUGGAGAUGAUUUAGUUUAAUAAUUAACUACUUCAUGUGAAAACGUAUAGUUGGACUUAUACAUGGGCUCAUAUCAAGAAUUGGAUCCUAAAAUUAUUUCGUGAAUCAAACUAAUGCAACCCACUCUAAACCACUCCCAAACUAUUUCCUCUUAGGAGUAAUCCAAACCAAACCAACCCAUUUGAUAAAUCAGUCUAUUAAUAACCAAUCUAAACAACUUCCAAAAGAAACCUAAUCCAUUGAAACCAUUAAACCCAAUCCAAUUAGCAUGAAUGCCUGCUACCACCGGUAGUGGUUUUGAAUCCCUAACCAAGUAACCAUUCCUUUUCAUUUCUUCCGUGCAGAACGUGGAACCCAUCGACGAUCACACGUUGGGGCCUUUCGCUGUCAAAAUCAGCACAUGAUAACCGUUAAACCCGUAGCCGGCAUGUGCAGAAACCCGGUGAAAUUUCUACGUACUCCUGGUGCGCUUACUUUUCCACUGUAUCAUCCUGUACCUUCCCCCUCUACCUUUUGGAGCACGUAAUAUAGUAGAAGAUGUAAAAAGAAUCCUUUGAAAAAGUUACAAAGUCAAAUAUGCUCACAUGUCAAAGCGUUAGGCUCUUGCUUUUCCUUCUUGAUUAUUCCCCGCUCUACCUGCUUCUUCUCGAUGUGACGGUAUACUUGAUCCAGUGAGUAAUCGCCCCUCCUAUCGCCACGACACAGCAUAUAUGCAGAGAGGGCAGCCAACCACUCCAGCGACACUUGCCGAGUAUGUACCAUGUCGCUACCAGUACUACGGACCACCAGUCGCCUUCGCCUCAGCACGAUGACGUGCACAUCCAAAUCAAAAGGCUACUGGAUGGAUGAAGGCCCCAAGUUGAAGUUGACUUGUAACAGUGGCUUGGCGCUCUCUUCGAGCAGUACUAGCAGGAGAGAGAAAGGUAGGGAAGCAAUGCCAUACGCUGGAGCAAAAAAUUUCAUGGGUGAUCCGGUAGCACCUGGAGCCCAGUUGAGCGAAGGGUGCUCUGGUAGAAAGGACAGCAUGUUUGUCAAGGAAAAGAACUGUGCUUUGCAUAGUUGUUGAUAUAACAUGUAGGCCCUGUAGAAAGGACAACAUGUUACGAGGAAAUGGUGUUAGGAUACUUGGUGCUAAACUUUAGCGGUGUCACAUCGGAUGUUCAUAUACUAAUUAGAAGGACUAAACAUGAGCUAAUUACAAAACUAAUUGCAGAAACCUAUGCUAAUUCGCAAGAUGAAUCUAUUAAGCCUAAUUAAUCCGUCAUUAGCAAAUGGUUAUUGUAGCACCACAUUGUCAAAUCAUGGACUAAUUAGCCUUAAUAAAUUCGUCUCGCGAAUUAGACUCCAUCUGUGCAAUUAGUUUUGUAAUUAACCUAUGUUUAACACUCUAAUUAGCAUUCAUGGACUAAUUAGCCUUAAUAAAUUCGUCUCGCGAAUUAGACUCCAUCUGUGCAAUUAGUUUUGUAAUUAACCUAUGUUUAACACUCUAAUUAGCAUUCAAACAUCCGAUGUGACUGGUGCUUAAAUUCAAAGUGGGACCACGAUUAGCACAUGACAAGAAAAACGCUCGUUUUUCGCUGGACCAGCUACCUGUGGCGUGGGCGCGUGGCUUCCUUUACCUUCAGGGAACAGCCUAUACGCUGCUCCUGCUCUUCCAGACCCGGCGCUUGCUUUCUGAACCCUGACCAUGAGUCCAUGACCAACAACCUCUUGGACGAGCCAGAGGAGAGAGAACACUCCAAGAAAUCGCUUCGGGGACCUGUUGGCUUGUUGCACUCCGCUUCCGGCCCAAGAAAAGCGCACGAUCGAUGACCCAGGGAAAACGUCACGGAACCGAGAGGAAUUCCGCGUCGCGUUUUUAAAAAUCUGUGCCGCACAGGCCAAGUGACGGCUCGUCGGCCGCCCCCCGUUGCUUGGGCCUUGGCCUUGCCUUUGCUUCGCGCAUCCGUACAUCACACCUUACGUCCGCCGCCGCCGUGUGGACUCGCCCUCGCCCUCGCGCGGCCGCGGCCGACGUGGUCCGCGCGCCCGCCGCGCACUAAACUACUAUGCGGUAAGCGCCGGUGGAUUUGGCCGUCCAAGCUACCGGCGCUGAGCACCGUCUUUCUGCCGUGAAGAAAAGGUCACCGCACUUUCGAUUCGUCAAGAUAUGCACGUACAGUCACGGAACAAAUAGUCAAGAGGCAUGUACAUGUACAAGCCAGGUACUACAAAGACACAGUGACACAAGCAACUGGCCGGCCGGGUCGACGAUGAACGAGUACUCUAACUAACCGAAAAAGCCACCGGCCGAAAAAGAUUCUGGACGCGCGGCAAAAGAAAGCACGCAACCUUUUUCGCUACGUGCCUAACAGUGCGUUCCGAUCCGAGGCGCCACGGGGGUGUGACCAAGUGUGAUACGUACGAGUGCGACCGCGGCACGUUUCUUCGUGUCCAAGGCCUCUCUCAUCACAUCGGAGUGGCUGGCUGGCUCGCUCUCAUCGGCCAGUUCGCACGCGGGCAAUCCACCGAAAAGCCCUGACGUGAACGCCUCUUCCUUCACACAUGGCCGUGUCCAGUCACGCACACAAACCCAUCUCGUCAGCGCGCACGCACGGCCCCGCCUCGGCUUAUAUACCAGCACGUACGUGCGCGUAGGGGUGGAAUUUUUUUUAGCUCGUCUCUCGAUCGAUCGAUCGAUCGCCAUGACGCUUACGAGGCACGAAGCGGAGGACAGAAGGGAGAUGGAGGGGCUCCGGGCGGACGCCGUCGCGCGGCUCUCGCUGUCGUCGUCGCCUGAGUCUUCUUCUUCGGCGGCGGCCGGCGGCGACAGGCCGUCGUCGUCGUCUGCCGCGAGCAGGAAGGCCAUGGCGGCGGAGGGCGUGUUCGAGUGCAAGACGUGCAGCAGGCGCUUCGCCUCGUUCCAGGCGCUCGGCGGGCACCGGACCAGCCACACGCGGCUGCAGGCGCGGAUGCUCAGCGACCCGGCGGGCGCGGCGGCGGCCGCCGAGAGGGACAGGGCGCGGGUGCACGAGUGCGCCGUCUGCGGGCUCGAGUUCUCCAUGGGCCAGGCGCUCGGCGGGCACAUGCGCCGCCACAGGGGGGAGGCGCCGCCAGCCUCGCACGACGGCGCCGCGCAGUCGGGGCAGGCCAUGCCGGACCUCAACUUGCCGCCGUUGGAGGACGGCGACGGCGGCCAAGAUCAACAACAAUCGGCUGAUCGGAGCUCGGAGCCUCAGCUGCUCAACCUGCUUGUAUAGCUAGCCUAGCGUGCACAGCAUAUUACAUAUGUGCAUGGUGAUUCUAUGGUGUACAGUACAUGAGUGGUGAUUAAAUUUUCGGAACCUGAAAUGACAUGAAAUUAUACAUUAACUGUAGCUUCGUUUCAUAGGUUAAGUCCUUCUUAAUUCGGUAGGUUUUCCUUUUGUAAAGCUGUUUGUCGACUGUAAUUCGUUUGUUGUAAGUAAAAUUGUCCAUAUAUUAUCUGACAGCUUGCUGCCUCAAUUAGUGGUUCGGUGGAGAUUGUUAAUUGUACGAGUCUAUCAUUCAGUUUUCCUAAAAAGAGGUGGAAGUGUUUCCGAUGCGAGACAAAAAUAUUCCCAGAAAAUCACAGCAAAGAGCUGAUGUUGUGUUUGUGGAAUUUGUGAUUGGACCUAUCAUCUCGUCUUCUUCUCUACCGUCGGUUGGCGUGGCCCUUCACCACCACACCUACCCGUCAUGCCGCCUCAUGUGCAGGUGCAAGCAUCUCUGUUCCGCGCCCUUCCUUCCCUUUUCUCUGCACGCAUUACUACCGUCCUAACCCUGUCUUCAUUGGCGUCGUGCCCUGCACGCCGCUCCCUUCCUUCCCCUUCCUUUACACACCAUCAUUACCGUCCUAACCCCCACCUCUGCUGGCGGCGUGCCCCGCAUGCCGCGCCCUUCCCCCUUCCGCUACACGCCAUCAUCGACGUCCUAACUCCGCCUCCGUUGGCGUCGUGCCCUGCAUGCGGCGCCCUUCCUUUCCCUUCUUCUACAUGCCAUCAUUGCCAUCCUAACCCCGCCUCUGUUGGCGUCGUGCCUUGCACGCCGCGCCCUUCCUUCCCCUUCCUCUACACAACAUCAUCGCCAUCCUAACCCCCGCCUCUUUUGAUGCCGUGCCCUGCAUGCCGCGGCCUUCUUCCCCUUCCUCUACACGCCAUCAUCGCCGUCCUAAUCCCGCCUCUUUUGGCGCCGCGGCCUUCCUUCCCCUUCCUCUACACGCCAUCAUCGCCAUCCUAACUCUGCAUCUGUUGGCCUCGUGCCCUGCAUGCCGCGCCCUUCCUUUCCCUUCCUCUACACGCCAUCAUUGUCGUCCUAACCCCACCUCUAUUGGUGUUUUGCCUUGCACGCCGUGCCCCUCCUUCCUCUUCCUCUACACGCCAUCAUCACCAUCCUAACCCCGUCUCUAUUGGCGUCGUGCCCACGCGCGCCCUUCCUUCCCCUUCAUCUACACGCCAUCAUCGUCGUCCUAACCCCGCGCACUGCUAAUCAUGGCAGCUUGUCAUCCCCGGCACCAACUUCCAGCUGUAUUCUACUGCUCUGGCCAGCGGCUCCCACCAUCUUGUCUCAGUAAACCGACCAUCCAAGCUCCUUUCUAAGUCAGAGGAUAGCAAAUAAACCCAACCCCCACCCUAAAACUCGAACCCAUCAACAUCUUAAUGGUGCAAUGCUCCUAAGGCAGCAUCACUAAUAUAAAAACCAAUGGAAGAAAACGAAACGGAUCUGACAUCCAACGGUGGACACAUGUAUCUAAGAUAACUUAGGCUCUCUUUUUUCAAAGAUGAAUAAGAACCCGGUUAAGAGUUGAUAAAAGUCUAGGCUGAACUGAAAAGUCCAAUUACCGUUACCGUUCACCUUUUUUUUUAAAAAAGUAGGCCGUUCACUUUUUAUUUGGGAAAUUUUGCAUUUUUAUAUAUAUUUUUUUCGAUUUUGCAGAAAUAUAUAGUCGGAUGAAAAAAUUGCAAAACUAGGCUAUUGUCGCCGGCCCAGUAGGCUUUUUUUCAUCCGACUAUAUAUUUCUGCAAAAUCAAAAAAAAAUAUAUAAAAAAAUAAAAAAAGUUCUUUAUUUAGGAACUUCGAGAGAAUCUGUGGCCCAACUCUUGCUUUCGCGAUAGUUGGGCCAAACAUUUUAGGCAGCUCGAGUCCUGCCGGGGCUUCUGGGAACUUCUUGAGCGUGUCACAGGCUCACAUCCUCACACACAGGCCACUGACGGCGCCACAGCAGCUCAUCGCCGGCUCGCCGCCACCACCAACCACCGUUGCUUCCUCGAGCCCAAUGCCAAAGCUUCCCCAAGCUUGCCACCGUUGCAAGACUGCUAGUCUGCUACCGCUCCGAUCUCGUAGUCAGGAAAGGGACUGGUGUGAGAGGAAAUGGAUCAAAAGUAGGGAGAGCUCAGAGCUGACCAUGGGGACCGGUGCUGAUGUGGAGGCAGACAAGAUGGAAAGAUGAAGUACCAGUAGGGGCAAAAUUGUCCAAUUAUUAGGCUCCUAUUUUUGCCAAGCACACCCCCAAAUUUACAGCUUCACCCAGAGCCUCUUCCCGUAGGAGCCAUCUCCUAGCUGGGGUAAGACGAAGGAAAAGGAAUGCAGUACAGUCGAGUAGGGUACUGCUUUCCCGAGAUUCCACACAUCUCAGAACUGGGAGGAAUCGGAGGACGAGAAGUAAUGAUAGCAUUACGAUUUGGCACCGUGCUACCAUGUACCGUGGAUCACGCGGCCAGCUACCACGGCUCGCAUUCAUAAUCACGCCUAACGUUACGUUAACACUUGGAACUGACAAGUGACAACCCCAUUAGCACAGCAUAAAUCAGGUUACAGGACAGUAUCAAGUUCAGACAACGACGCAGCACAGGCACAGCACACAUAUUGACAGGGCUCACUUCACUCGGAGAAUCACAGGCAGGAUCUAGCAAGCAGAUGGAAACAAACUGGACUACAGGACAGUUAUCUACUGUUCCCCACGCAAGAAGCCACGCAGGCGCCGCCACCACUCGAUCGCCAGCUCGCCGGGAUGACGGCCGCAUGCCACCGGCGACGAGGACGCAGUCGUCAUCCCUUGUUAUUAUUCCCCUGCGCGGUGCAGGAGAUGACCAGGUAGCCGCCGUCUCUCUUGGCCUUGGGCUUCCGCGGGAUGCAGCGGUCAUGCAGGUCCCCGGCCUCCUUGGCCAGCUCCAGCUUUAUCACCCUGCCAGACAGACGCAUGGUAGUAAUAGUAGAGUUCAGCACGACUCGGAUCAUCAUAAUCAUCACCGUAUCACUAUCUCAUCAUCACUAUUCUCGUACGCCGUCACUCACAUGGCAGUAGAGUAUAGUACUCUAUACUACGAUCUCUCAUUUCCAUGCGCUAGUGAAUGUAGAUUGUGCCCACGCCUAAUUAGGGCUCUGUACGACUGGACCACGGAUUAAAAGCGGGGUUUGAAAUUCCUGACAAAGGCUGCUGUUACAGGCUCACAUCAUGACAUCAGGUUACUCUUUCAAGAACUGCGCAGUAGUACUGCAGGUUUAUGAGUAGCUUCAGGCUAAUCCUUCUGAAACGUAGAGCGUACGCGCGCCAAAAGCAGGAUGAACCAAAUGAUUUGGUGCUCCCGAUUACCGGAGCCCCGAUCCUGCCCGGCUCGCACGGAACGGGAGCAGGUCGCCAGGUCCCCCGGCCGAGAAUUGAAGCCCACCCGUUCCUGAUGAAAUUCUUCGCUACCCCUCGUCCCCGCGAUCAGUGCGGCCGUGAUGCCUGGUGCGCGACAGCUCCACGAGACCUACUUCUAUUUAUGGAGGUGACCACUAAUGGAGGCUGGAUGGAGCGUAUCUCGCGCGUACGGCAAUGGCGUGGUGGGUUCAGCUGCGGCGAUGACGAUGAGCAGAGCCAGAGCCAUUACUGCCGAUUACGACAGGGCGGUUCAAUGCAACAGUGGCAGCUCAUCCUUACUACUACUGCCAUCCAUGAGAGGCGUCUCGCGUAAGCGACGGAUCGGUGAUCCGGGCGCUUGCUGCGGCUUGCGUCGUCGCGUCAAUUAUGAUUACGAGAGGGAUGGAUUUCUUUUUUUCUUCACCUGUCUGCGUUGUACGACGACGACCGCCGGAGAACGGCGAGGUCCUGGGACGUGUCGUCGUCGCCCGACGAGCGCUUCGCGGUCUCGAUGAUGCUCCCGCUGAAGUACUCCUUGUCCUCCACGAUCUUCGCGCGGUAGGUCGGCACCUCCGCGGCCGCCGACGCCGGCGGGCGGGGCGGGCGCGCGCGGUGGCGGUGGUGGUGGAGGUUGUGGUGGUGUCGCGCGCGCGGCAUCACCGGGGAAGCACGCGCGUCGCGCACGGACACGGACCCGCACGAGAUGAGCUGCAUGAGCACGGAGGGUGCCCGGGCCCGGCCGCUGCCGCUGAUGGCCGCCACGACGCGCCCGUCCGCCUUGAUCAGCGCCUCCAGCGUCUCGGGGCUCGUCGACGCCGUCGGCGGUGACGUCUCCGCCCGGCUCAGCUCGUCCUGCGGCGCGGCGGCCUGGGCAUGGGCGCGCCUAGGGUGUCCGCGGCCGCCGUCCUCGGUCUGCGUCGCGGCGUCCGCGGCGCACUCCUCACCCUUGUACACGACGUACUCACCGAGCCCAUCGGCCGCGCGGCGCGCGCCGGCGCUCUUCUUCCGGUGCGCGUGCGCCUCCCACCUGGCGGAGGACGAGGAGGUGGGCGUCUCCUGCGAGCCGGAGGACGACGAGGACGCGGCGGCCGCGUCGAGCAGCGGGGCCGGCGGCACCGCCGGGUGCAGGCGCUCGGUGCCCUUGAGCACGUACUCCCGGCCGACCACCGGGUGGAUGUAGUCGUCGUCCGCCAGGUCGUGCCACACGAACCCGUUCCGGUAGCUCCUGCAUUGCAGUUGCAGCAAUGAACACAUGUCACGGCGUGGUGCACCAAACUCGUGACGAAAACGAGAAGCACUCGCGCAGACACCUACCUCUUGGAUGCCCACGAGUACAUGCGCGCCAUGCCCUUGCCUCGCAGCGCGUCGAGCCGGUCGAUCACAUCUACGCGCACAGAACGAAGCAAUGGCAACACGUUACAGAACGCUCAACGAACGCCAUUGAAACGGAAGGCGAAAUGCCAUGAGAACGAAGCAUGUGUGAGCAGAGCAUUGGUACCUCGGAGGUAGAGGCCGUCGGGGCUGGAGAGCGCGACUUCCAUGAAGUGCGGGUGCUCGAGGUGCCCGUUCCUCGACAGGUAGUACACGACCGCCGGCCUCGGCCGCGGUGGCCUCGGCGGCGCCGCCGCCAAGUCGGGGCUCCUCGGCUCCUGCUCCCGCCUCUGCAUCCUUGCCUGCUCCGCUCUCGCCCUGCUGCCCGCCACCACCACCGCCAUGCGCUCUCUCUGCCACUGAGUAAAUUGAUGCGCGGCAGCUGGCGUCUCUCCUCGCUCGCUCGCUAGAGCUCGUAGCGUUUAAAUGGCGCGAGUGCGACACAAGGGGAGGUGCGAAAGGGAGGGCUCAGGGGCGCAGCGCGCAGUGCACUGCAAGAGGCAUUCAAAUCGUGUGCCAGGACCAGCGUGGCGGCUCCUGCAAACCGCAGCGCUUUUGCGUGGCUUGGUGCACACUAAUGACCGCAGUGAAAUUAAACUGUGGAGCCUGUGGCUGGAGGAAAAAGGAGCUGAGAAAGCUUGGUAGGAAAGAACUCUUUGCGAUCUUGUUGCUUUCUCCUUGGUUCCUCUUUCCUUGGCGUCCUUGAGGUCAACUGGACGCCGGAAGCAGCAGUGCGUUUUGUUUGGCAGAAGACUGUCCUGCUGGUUAAGUACUGUACUGCUUCUAUCUGGUAUAGUUAAGAGGAGCCUAAUUGCUGUCGGUGUUGACUAGGUAAUGACUAAUAAGGCUUGCCGGCUGUCAAAGACUGCCUAGUCUAGAGGACGGUGAAAAUGGCAGCUGGUUUGGCGCUGCCAAGGCAGUUGUUUUAUGCUUGCCCCUUCGACUCGCGAGGCCCACGCAAACACGAGUCUGGGGCACGGCGAAUCGGCGCUGACCAGACGAGCCGGCGAGUCCAAGUGCCACAGUCCCUGGUCCAAGUCCAAGGCCUAUCACAGUCGCACUGUAAAAAAGAGGCUUAGAGGGGUUCGGAUCCUGAGGUUAAAAUUUAAUCCGUGUCAUAUCAAAUAUUUGGAAGCUAUUUAGGAGGAUUAAAUAUGAGUUAAUUAUAAAACUAAUUACAUAGAUAGAGGCUAAACGGCAAGACGAAUCUAUUAAGCCUAAUUAAUCCAUCAUUAACAAAUGGUUACUGUAGAAGCACAUUGUCAAAUCAUGUACUAAUUAGGCUUAAUAGAUUCGUCACGCUGUUUAAUCUCCAUCUGUGUAAUGAGUUUUUUUAAAUAAUUUAUGUUAAUUAGGAUCUAAAUAUUCGAUAGUUCCUUAGUCCGCGAAUCAAACACCUCUGAAUAGUCCGCGAAUCAAACACCUCUGAAUAGUGUGUACUUCGAGUCCAGACCGUUCCAAGUUUCCAACGAUUUGUUUAGUGGCUCUGAGGUUCCAUGUCCGAUGCAUGCCCCGUGGCGUGGCCGCGCACCAUUACAUAAUAAUCCGUGCAUCAUGUGAGCCGCCCGAGCACGGGUACGCCGCGCCGAUGUUGGUAAUAACAUUUGGAAGCAUUUGCGUGCAGGCGAAGGCUGCAAUCCCUGUCCUGCCCACUUGGGGCCUCCGAGUUCCAACCCGCUGCUCUGCUGCUGCAUUCCUGCAUGGGAGCAGGCGGGGACAAGUAUGCUAAUCCGAGCCACGUGACAAGGAUCAGGCAGGACCACGCUAACAGGACUAGGGGCGGUGCUGAGGAGGAGCCACAAUUUGGUCCAGUUUGGUUGGGUUUUUUUUGUGCUCGAACUUCACCUGCCACCGGCUACUGUAGCAUGUCGGUAGCCUCAAGAAGCCGAAGCUAGCAGGUUUGUGAGGGGGAGGAGAAAGAGAGAGAAAAGAAGCUCCACACUAUAGUAAAUGAACAAUAGAUGGUUAGAAGGAGCCGCAUUCAGGAGGUUCUCCACCAAACUGACUCUUUGUGCCUCCUUCGGCUCCUCCGCCGGCUAUGAGAGGGAGAGGAGGAGAGAGAAAUUUAAUUGUAAUGAACAGUGCACGAACAGUAGAUGAACAGUGCGGUGUCGGAGCCGCGCCAAGGCGCCCUGGUAUAUCCCGAGAUAAUCCGAGCCCGCUUAGGGUCGGUCCCCAGUGGUCAGGCAGCUGUGAUUAACCACCACUCCACCAGGCGAUUAUUUACUGGAUCGAGAGCGGAGGGGACAGGCGGUGAGGACAAGCGGGAGACUCCACCGGCUACGGAAUGAGGCGGGCAACCGCAGGUGCGGAAAGCGAGAGCGCACGACGGGCGGGCGGCGACACCGGGGGCGGGGAGGGAGCUCGCGGGGCGCGCGGGGGAUCGAGACUGCGUUUGACUCACGGCGGAGAUGGACGGGACGCGCCACCGCCGGGCCGUUCCGGCGUUCGAGAUCCGCCGCCUCGUGUGGAGUUGUUUUCGCCUUUUCACAGCUCGUCUUUACCGCGCCCGGUAAGCGUAGCGCAGCGCACUGAUUAACCGCUGUGGUGGCCGGUGGUCGAGGCGGGCAAUCGAUCGAUCGCGUUCACGCUGCCGGUAUCGAUGUCAGAGGCACCUCAGAAGCUCAUCGUACUGGGCUCGACACUUUUCUUUUGUACCCUACAGAUGAGCGGAUUUGGCGGGAUACAAAAGGAAAAAAAUGCAUGUAGCUGCUGGCAUGUGAUCUAUAGCUCGGAGCAAAGUCCACAUCCGUUGCGUCGCACAGGUUUCCAAGCGCAGCAAAUCACCGAGGUUUUAGUUUAGAGCUGGAAGCUUGUGGGUAGGCGUAGGCGUCGCCGCGCAGCACAGCAACCAGCAAGACGCCACUUGAGCAAUGCACGGGUUGAGGACAGAGUCAUGCGACGCGUAUCGUCCGGUCUUGCGAGGAGAAGAAGCCGACGAGGCCAGAAUCACGGAGGACGUAACUCUUGCCACUGUUCCGUUAGCUGUUUGCUACGGCCGCCCUUUUUUCACGCACCGCGUUGGUCCAGCGCACGCCUUGACGGGAGAGGACAAAGGACGGGAUCUGAUCGGUUACCUUCGAUGCGAUCGGGUACAGGCGGUUGCAGAGAACAUGCGCGGUAGGAGGACGGUUUUUUUUUUCUUUUUCUUUCAGAGGAUCUCAGAGUCAGAGUCCAGAACUGCUGUUAGCUUGUCACCUGCUCUCUCCCUGGUGCGUGGGCCCAAAGCGCCGCCUAGAUUAGCUCACAGAGGCCCAAACAAAAGGCCGGAAGUGCAUUAAACAAAUAGAAUACUAGUGAAGAAGAAAGAAGCGUGCAGGCCCAUGAAGGCCCGUCCACACCUGUCGCCAGGCCUGUUCGACUCAUGAAUCGAAUGGCAGGCGAGCCCAAACCUAGCUAGCGCAUCAGGUCCGCCGCACUAAGCCCGCUCGCAAACCCCUCACAACCCUCGCCGCCGCCGGCCGCUCCACCCCCGCCGUCGCCAUGGGCAACUUCCGCAAGCUCGGCCGCCCCGCCUCCCACCGCGUCUCCAUGCUCAGGUGUUCCUUUCUCCCACCUCGACGCCCCUAUCUAUGGCUCGGCACCGCCUUGCCGCUGACCUCUGGAUUUGUCUCCUCGGCAGGACGAUGGUGUCGCAGCUGGUGAAGCACGAGCGCAUCGAGACCACCGUCGCCAAGGUACUCUCUUUCGCAUCUUGUUGCUUCGUCGAUAGGCCGGUGGGAUUUGUGUUCUAGGAGCUGUGAUUGUUGACUUGAGUGCCCUGCCCUUCAUUUGCGUGGUUGGUUUCAGGCGAAGGAGGUGCGGCGGAAGGCGGAUCAGAUGGUACAGCUCGGGAAGGAGGUAAACGGAACACCACUCCUCUGUUGCUAACUGAAUUCCAUCCUGAAAUAUCGUGCCAUUCCGUGGUAUCGAUGAAUCUAUGUGGAGCAGUGGGUGUAAAACAACCUAACAGUCAUUUCGUUAAGUUCGCACAUAGAUUGGAAACAAUUGUAAGCAUGGAAUCACUUAGCGUUACUACUCCUGGACUCUCAAUUAGCAGUGUAGAAUUCAGAUUCAGGGAUGUGUCUUCAUGAGACGGGUAGGCAUUGUUGCUUAACUUGGAGGUGGAGUGGUGGACACCAUUAGUUGCUGAUUAGCACUUUAGAAAUAGUAUUGCCUGUCUACUGUUUGACAUUAAUCUUUAAUGAAAUCUCAGUGAGAUGCUUAGAAGUAGCUUCUUUAUAAGUAAAUUCAAAUGUUGAAGUCUCUCAGCUCUUGUCGAAGAACUGAUCGAUGACAAUGAUGCUAUCAGACCAAAAUAUGUUGAUUUCUGGCAUAGAAGUUACUCCCUAUCUUUUUUUUUGAAUUUUUAUUUACUCCCUGAUAUGUUAUUAUUUCGUAAAAGGGACAAAUUUUUUUUGCAAUGCCUUUAUCUUGAAGUUUAUAUGCAGCCCAAACUUUUGUCUGACCUGGGUUUCACGUUGAUUUUGGUAACACUGUCUCGAAGCUAAAAAUGCAGAAACUUAUGCCGUAUAUCGACACAAAUAUGUAGGGUACUUUGGAUGCGGCAAGACGUGCUUCUGCCUUUGUUCGGGGUGAUGAUGCUGUUCAUAAGCUAUUCACAGAGCUGGCCUACCGCUACAAGUAAUCUAUUUUACCUACCCAUGGAUCUGCUUAAUUUAGUAUAGUCUGGCGUACCUACAUUUGAUUUGUUACUUCCUCUUUUUCAAAAUAGGUCUCAUGUUGAUGUCUAAAGUAGACAACUAGGCAUAAAAUAGCAUGAGUAUCAUAUCAGUAUUUGAUGUUUUUUUCUCCAGAUCCUUAGUAAACUUCAUUCAGUGAAGGAGUAUGAUGCUUUGUAUGAUAAGACAAAUGAGAAAAGUAGAAAUAGAUUGCUGUAUAUUUGGAAGCAGAGUGGAUUGGAACUAAUUGUAUGCUCCUUUUAUAUCCCAGGAAUCGAGCUGGUGGAUACACAAGACUUUUACGCACCAGGAUACGUGUUGGUGAUGCUGCAGAAAUGGCUUACAUCGAGUAAUAUACUUUCUCUAUAUUUUUAGCAGCAAAAUGUGUUUGGCCUACACCAACUUGCUUGGGACUAAAAAUCUUUGCUGCUGCUGUUGUUAUUUCUAUGAGAAAAAAAAUAAUUUCUAGGAUAUCUUUUCCACAUGGUGCUGCUAUCUUGCACAUAUCAAAAGUAAAAAUUUUAUUUUCUGCACUACCUUUAGUAAUCGUUCCUGCUGGUUAACCAAUUAGGUCUUAGAGAUUUAUACUUCCAUUGUUACUGUCUGUUACUAUUUACAAAUCCCUUGAUAUGUUUUAGAAAUCUGCCACGUUCUAACAGUACAGAAAAGUUUUGGAUCCCUCGAAUUACUUUAGAAACCAAUAUGGUUCCACCCAAGCAUGCGGCUUUUCUUUACAUCGUACAUCGAACACUGAAUGGACAAUUUUGGCGCUAUUUCCUGCUCUUUCUGUAGGUCACUGUCAAAUCUUUUCUGAGUUAAGCUAUAUACUGUGAUGAACAGUUCAAUUUGAAUUUACUAGCAUAGCAGCAACAUGUCAUAUACCAGUUUUCGGAAGCCUUGUAGAGAUGCGGUACUUAUCGGUUACAUAUGCAGGUUCGUGGACAGGGAGAAUGAGCUUCGAGAGGCCAAACCUGCAACCCCACAGCCGCCCCAACGAGCCCCUAUGGAUCCGUGGGCCAAGUCUCGUGCUAGCCAACAAUGGGCAGGACCAAAGCUCACCAAGAGCUCCGGAUCAGACGGCUUAUGAGGACAAUAGCAGGCGUAUCCAUGUUCUGAAUGAGGCUUCAUUUAUUUGCUUGAUAUGCAGAUGGGAUUCUUUUUUUUGGUUUAGAGAUACCUGGCAAUAGAAUAAUUCAAAUUUGUAUUGCUAUACCGUACUAGCUCAUGAGGUGAAUGCUUCUAAUUCAUCAACAGAAAAUUGCAAGGCAGUACACGCUAGAAUUUUGCCUGACAGAUGUUUCUUCCUUUUCUUUCUUUCUUUUUUUUGUUGCUUUACCCCUUAUCGCCGAUGCAUCUGUGGUCCAAAGUCCAAAGAAGUGCGAUUUGCCUUCCUGUGUUACUGGUUUUUUCUGUCGGCACGCUGUACUUUUCACCGAUUAUUAAGCUGAUCUGUUGGGUAUCAGAUUGGAUCCAUGCAGUUGAAGCAUUACCAGACCCGUUUGCAAGGCUGACCACGCCCAAAUCUACAGUACAUCAUUUAGCUUAAGCGCUGAUGUGCCGAAUCCUCCUCAGUUAACCCCGCCCAAAUCGCGAACACCCUCACCUGUUCUCGCGUCGGCACGUAGGCUCCUACCGAGUCUUACUCCGCGCUCCAACGAAAAGGCCAAACCAGACUCCCAACUUCUCCUCAAGUCGGGGGUGACCCCGCCGCCCCUGUCUCAGUUCAUCCAGCGGUUCGCGCGCAGUGCCCACGGCGCGCCGCACUGUGACUAGCGCGCAACGUGCUCGACGGAAUGCCGCACCGGGACGUCGUCUCGGCCACCGCGGCCAUCGGCGCGCUCACCCGCCGCGGCCGGCACCGCGACGCCCUCGCCAUGUUCUCCCGGGUGCUCGCCGGCGGCGUCGCGCCCAACGAGUUCACCUUCGGCACCGUCCUCCGGUCGGCCACCGCGCUGCGCGCCCCGCGCGUCGGCGCGCAGCUCCACGCCUGCGCCGCCAAGCUCGGCCUCUGCUCCAACGUCUUCGUCGGAAGCGCCCUCCUCGACCACUACGCCAAGAUGGGCGCCAUGAAGGAGGCCCAGGGCGCGCUGGAGGAUACCAGUGAGCCGAACGUGGUCUCCUACACCGCCCUCAUUGCCGGUUUGCUGAAGAACGGGAUGUUCGAUGAAGCAGACCGCUUGUUCCGGCGCAUGCCAGAGAGGAACGUGAUCUCUUGGAACGCGAUGAUCGGCGGGUGUAGCCAAGCCGGGCUUAGCGAGGAGGCUGUUAAUCUGUUCCUGGAGAUGUGUCGAGAAGGCGUAACGCCGAACCAAAGCACCUUCCCCUGCCUGCUCACUUCUGUUGCCAAUGCAGGGGCACUCGGCGUUGGUAGAAGCGUCCACGCAUCGGCCAUCAAGUUCUUGGGCAAUCUUGACGUCUAUGUGGGCAAUUCUCUUGUGAGCUUCUAUGCCAGGUGCGGUAGCCUGGAGAACAGUGUCCUAGCGUUCAAAAAGAUCAGGCAAAAGAAUGUGGUAUCAUGGAAUGCGCUGAUCUGUGGGUAUGCGCAGAAUGGGAGGGGAGAGGAGGCUUUGGAUGCUUACAAGGCGAUGAGAGCGACGGGGCUGAAGCCGGAUAAUGUCACUCUUCUCGGUUUGCUGUUUGGUUGCAACCAUGCUGGUCUGGUUGACGAAGGCUAUGCAUUGUUUAAGACUGCUGAAAUGGAGCAACCUGGUAUACUGAAACCUGAGCAUUAUGCCUGUGUAGUUGAUCUACUAUCUCGGGCCAAGCGGUUCGACGAUGCCAAGAGGUUUCUUGAGGAGCUGCCCUUUGAACCUGGCAUUGGUUUCUGGAAGGCACUGAUAGGAGGUUGUCAGAUUCACUGGAACAGGGAGCUAGCUGAGAGCGUUGCUAAGCGCAUUCAUGAAUUGGAUCCAAAGGACACAUCUUCCUACAUUCUCCUGUCAAAUGUUUAUUCUGCAGCAGGAAGCUGGCAAAGUGUGUCCAAUAUCAGGAGGGAGAUUAAGGAGAAGGGGCUGAAGAGGAUUACCGGCUGUAGUUGGAUUGAGGUCCAGGACAAAGUCCAUGUCUUCUUCAAUGGAGACUGUAGGCAUCAACAGAGUGAUGAAAUUUACUCGGUGCUUGAAGCGUGUCUGUAUACCGGGAAAGAUGAUGAACAUGAACUCUCAACUGUGUGAUGAUGACAAAUCAUCCAAAAGAGUGAGACUAUUGGAAAAGAUGUUUGCUUGUCACUGUCUUCUAUCGUUUUGAGGACCACAGGAGACUGCAGCGCUGCACCAUGGAGAGCGAGUAAUCAGGUUUCAGCCUUUCAUGUAUCAGAUGAUCCGAUGCCUUGCGGUAGCUGCAAGAAAUGUCCCUUGUAUCGCAACAGCAAAGGAAUACUGCAGUGUUCUUGGACUGAAGAUGACUAGAUGAGCAGCUGGAUCAUGCUCAGGUUAGAGGAUGGUACCAUAAAUCAGCAUGUCAAAGGAAACCUGCUAAGUUUUUAGACAAGAUGAGCAGCUGGACCAUGUUCACAUCAGAGGAUGGCGGUACCGACAUGGCACCACAAAUCAGUAUAGAAAUUUUACAUAGCAAUGCUGGCUGGUAUGUUCCUUGUUCAGGGUUAACCCUGUUUUCAUUUAAAAGAACUCAUUUAAUCAAUUGGCAUUCUUAAAUAAAUAAUGUUGAACCUUUCAACUGUAAUGUUAAUGGAUUAAAUGAGUCCCUUGACAAAUUGUAAUUCAAUUGUCAACCACAUAAGCUUCUAGAGAUGCAUCAUAUGUAUCAUCCAAAAGAAGCUUCUCUACAGGUGCUAAAAAUAAGCAAGAGGUACCAAUAAUUAGUAUCGGGUGCUAAAAAUAGGCAAGAGGUACCAAACCAGUCCUAAAUGUUUCGGAUAAGCAACUGCAAAAUCAAAAGUUGACGCAAAAAACGUGACUGUCGACAGUUUAAUACACUACCCAAAAUAUAAUGCCAUACACGCCUUGGUCAUCGUCACAACAUUCUACAAGCAAACAUGCCCUGGGGAAACUCAGUUUUGAUGUGAAAAUUUGAUGUGAAAAUCUGAACUCCAAAUUCAAACAACUCUCCAUCAAAACUAGAAAAUGACAACAUCAAGAAUUUAAGAAAAUUAUAUUUGGAUAAUAGCGUUGUAUUCGGAACAUCCACAAGGGUCAUUGAUUCCUUCAGCACAGGUAAACAAUUCUACAUUGUUCCACUAGCAACCUAACACUGCGCUAAACAAGUAAAACAUCGGAGGAAAAGAAACAAAGACCGCAACAACGUGCGGCAAUCUAAGAGGAGGUGAACUUGGUGACAGCCUUGGUGCCCUCAGAGACGGCGUGCUUGGCGAGCUCGCCGGGGAGGACGAGGCGCACCGAGGUCUGGAUCUCCCGGGAGGUGAUGGUGGGCUUCUUGUUGUAGCGCGCGAGGCGGGCGGCCUCCUGGGCGAGCUUCUCGAAGAUGUCGUUGAUGAACGAGUUCAUGAUGGACAUGGCCUUGGAGGAGAUACCAAUGUCCGGGUGCACCUGCUUGAGCACCUUGAAGAUGUAGAUCUUGUAGGUCUCGACGCUCUUCUUGGCCUUCUUCUUCCCCUUCUUCUCGCCGCCCUCCUUGCCGGAGCCAGGCACGCGCUUCUCGGCCUUGGGCUUCUUGUCGGCCUUCUCCUCCGCCGGCUUCUUCUCAGCGGGCUUCUUCUCGGCCUUGGGCGCCAUCACGGAAUCGAGCGGGUGGAGCCGACGGCGGAGCUCGGGAAGCGGCGGAUUGGGAAUUUGGUGGUGGGGGCGGCGGUUGCUCUUGGCUUUUGGUGGUGGGUUUCCGGGGGGGCGGGGUGGGUUUAUAUAGGCAGGUGGGGCGGGCUAUGAUUGGUGGAGGGGGUGGCGGCGCGGAUCGAUGAUAUGGCGGUCUGUGGAGCGUCGGAUCGUUGGACGGCUGGGAUUUUGAGGCGCGGGGGAGGGGUUUGGCGUGGGGACGCGUAUCGCCGCGGAUUCGGGAAAAUACGAGCGGGAAACCGUCAGCCAUGUGUGAAAUCGUAAGUUUUGGCCUUUUGGGGCGCGGGUUGUUUUCUUUUUUAUGUGGAGAUUUUUGCGCGCGGGCCAGCGGCCAGGUUUUGGGGCGGCAAGAGUAGGCUGGGCCUCUGUCGGCCACAGGCGGGCUUCACUGCUAGAGUGCCGAAGAUUUACUGGCCUAGCUUUAAAAUUCAAAGAUUAACUGCACUCGCAACUUCCCCCUCAAAAAAAAAAACUGUACUCGCAACUUGAUAUUGCCACGCUCUUAAUUGUGGAAAUGGGGCGGCGAUUAUCUUGAGAAAGAUAUAAUUUUUUUAAGAAGUACCUGUUGAUGUUGAUGUUGUAACUGUUGUAAUAGAAAUUUGUUUGUAACCCAUACAGUGAAAUCAUAUCGGGGAUUAAGAUCAUCACGGCUCAGAUUGGUGCUCUACCACUAGGAUCAAGUCCUUAAAGUCUUGGAUUGAAACCUUGCCACCGGGGAGGCGGGGAGAAAGCUCCAUUAUGCGGAAGCAACGUCCAUGCAUUUGUUUCGCUGCAAGCUAGCUUUUAAAUAAGUUUUUUUUAAUUUAGCCCAUUUUUAUUAAGUAUCAUCUUAUAUCAAUUUUAGAGGCAAUCUCAUUACCGAGCUGACAAACCAACUGACAAGCCAAACCUUAUCGAACUGUGUCCACUUGGCAACAUCCUGAAUUAACUAUUUAUCUUAAUGUAAACAGAUCGAAAUGCACAAAUCUUGAAGCUUCUACCACAAUUCAAGGUUUUUUUGCCCAACCCUUUGCAGGAUGAGCCACUUGACAGCAUGGUCAAUGAUUCUUGUUGUCUCUUUUUGCUAAGCCACGUUACUAGAAGGUCUUCGGCAACACUGGCUAGUGAUGGGUUCUAGUAAAAUCAAAUAAUAGGUAGUAUUAUAGUUUCAACCAUUUUGAAGACCAGGUCUUUUAGAGAUAGAAGUCGUUUUCACUUUUUUUAGCGAGAUUGAUUUUAUCCAUUUGGUGUCAAUAAUAGGCGCCCAUUCGAGGUGUAAAGAAAUUGAUCUUGUUUUAUUAUUAAUGAUGCGAAGCUAUUUCUUAGAGGCUUCAUCGGGUGAUAACCUGCAUUACAUAUUGGAGCCUAAGAUCUUUCUACUUUGACCGACACGCCACAAGAACACUUUGAACAAAUGAAUUCUUGAAAAACCUACAAAGUGAAUAGAUAAAGCUACCUAUAAAGUGAACAUAUAGAUCUUCUUAUAUUUCGAGCACCUGGGGUGCUGCUGCAAACCCUCGCCCUCACCUACCUGUAAACUACAUCCACAUAUAUAUCCAUCGGUUGUAGCACCCACACACACGGGUAAGAUUGGCAUGCUGAGUAUCUAUCAAUCUAGUAAAUCCAAUAGUUGCUUUAGUGAUGUAUCCCACUGGGGUGCUUUUGGCUAUGGGUUAUGUUUCAUGGUGUCAUUGUAUGUGUUAACUUGAUGGCAACAUUCUUUGUAACAGUAAUAAUUCGACUCUUUCUUCUGGUUAUCGAUGUUAUAUCUAGCACUUACGAGGGAUUUAUGAGGAUUAUGAUCGUGUCAACUGAUGGUAACAUGGGAGAAGAAUGGACGACCUUUAUCAGGCCAGAGGUGCGGUAUCAUCAAUAUUUCUCAAACAUUUAUAUGCAUGUGUACUCCUCAAUACGCAUGACUAUUAUGGUGUUAAAAAUCACUAUGCGAUUGUGAUUCAUCCGUGUAUUACUUUUCUCUUUUUGUCCACUCUUAACGAUGAGGGGAGCAAUGCAUAGUAGUGAUGUAAUACUUUUAUCAAAUUUGAUCGUAUUGUUUGGCACGAUUUUUUAACCCGAUCAUGUUUUUCGUAACAUAAAUAGACGCCCAAUGACGUCUUUGCUUAAAAAACAACCGCUAUGAUUCACUCCAUGUCCUUUUUAAAAAAAAUGAUUCGCUCCAUGAAACUUUCCUUUUCUUAGAGCACUGAGUCAAACCAUAGUGCCGACCGAGUGCCGCAAAAGAGCCGACGCCGCUUGCCUCGCUCCCCCGCACGGAUGGGGGAUAUUUAAGUAAUUGCCACCCUUGCAAAUGGCACUCCUUCAUUUGCCACUUUUACGGGAGCUUCUACUAUUUUGCCAUCGCGAACGAAACGUGGCAACUGAUUUGCCAUUUUUGCUGACGUGGCACGCCACGUCCCCGCGACAGCGUGGUUUAGGGGUGCCAAAAGACCCUCAUGCCCCCGUCGGUCUCCUCCGUUACCCCGGACCCGACGCCAUCCCCUUCCCCGUCUCCCCCCCCCACUUCUCCCCUCUCCCCCCAGGCCUCCCUCCUCCCUGCCUCCCCGACGAAAAACCUAGGUCUAGAGCGGCGGCGGCGGCGGAGGCGGUGGCGGCCAUCCAUCUCCCCAUUCCCAUCCCCUUCCCCAUCUACCCCAUUCCCCAUCUGCUGUUGUUCCUCCCUGCGCCAACGGGUCAACAAUGGAGCCUCCUCCCUGGUAAGCUGCAAACCAUCCCCUCUUAAAGUGUUUGCCUGAGAGGAGUUGGAUGUUUCUAACUCCGUAUUUUGUUAUUUUCAUUAUUAUACCAGGAUUGAUCCUGGAAAUGCAUUUAGAAUAGAGGUUAAGGUUGAAAAGUAUAAGGCAUUUGCGGAGUCUGGUAUUGUAGAAAUUCAUGAACAAGAACAUGUGUUGUGGUUUGAUAGAUGCAGUGGGUAUAAUCUGGAUAGUUUUGUUGUUGAUAUGGCUAGCAAAAUAUACUGGGGAUCUAGUCAGACAAUUGCAGUGUGGUCUGUGGAUGUUAACAGUGAAGCUGAGUGGAAGGUUAGAAAAAAUGAGCAUUUUGAGUCAAUGAUAAAGCACAGAUGGAAUGUUGGAGUAGCAAAUGUUAGGGUAGAAGUUGUGGACAGAUGGAAUGAAGGGUACCAAAAUGUUAACAGUUGUGCAGGGUCAGUAGGCAAUUCUGGAGUAGGGACUUCUGGAGUAACAAAUGAAGGUGCAAGUGAAUAUUGUACAUCUCCAGCACAACAUGAGCAAGCCCAAACAGAAAUUGUUGAUUGGAGUACACUGACUAUACUGCCAGAGACUCAACAAGAUGGUGAAGCUUAUGUUUUGGCUGAUGAGGACAGGGUUUAUGAGGCAAUGGGCUUCAAAGCAGCAGAUGAGGCAGCAGCUCAGGCAGCAGCACAAGCAGCAGCAGAAGAUGACCCUGCUAUCCCUGACAUUCCUCCUGAUGUACAAGCAGAGAUGCAUGAGGCUGGAAUUCAUGUUGAUGACAAUGAACCUUCAGAGCCAAUACUUGAGUGGGAUAGAGACAACCCAGACAUGAGGGUGGGCACAAUCUACCCUAACAUGGUAGAUUUCAGAUUGGCAGUGAGGCAGCAUGCUAUAGUCAAUGAGUUUGAGCUGGGAACUGAGAAGUCAGACAAAGAAAGAUUCAGGGGGCAUUGCUUGGCUAAAGGGUGUCCAUGGGUUAUUAGAGCUAGAACAAAAGCUGAUGGUUCUGUCAGGGUACAUUUACUAACUUACAUGUGUUGUAAUGUUUGACUAACUUAGCCUUACUAUUUGUUUGCUGUUGAGCUAACAAAUCUUUAUGUCCUGCAGGUCCAAAUAAACAAUGAGCUUCAUAAGUGUGCUUCAAGAAGCAGAGUGCUGGGCAGAAUGGCCAAUCAAGCAUGGGUGGCUGAGAGGGCCAUACCUUUGCUCAAGAGGAAGCCUGGAAUGGGUGCUGCAGAUGUGAAGGAAGCAUUGGAGGACAAGUACAAGAUUAAGAUCAACUACCAGACAGUUUGGUAUGGUAGGCAGAGAGCAGCUGACAAAUUAUUUGGUAAGUAGGAUGAUUCAUUUGAUUGGUUGUAUAGGUUUAAGGCAGAAGUGGAGUUGAGGCAGCCUGGUAGUGUAGUUGAGAUAGAUACUGUCAAAGUUGGAGAGAAGCACCAUUUCAACAGAUUUUUUUGUGCUUUCAGAGGUAGUAUAGAUGGGUUCUUGUAUGGGUGUAGACCUUACAUUAGUAUAGACUCCACAGCUUUGAAUGGGCAGUGGAAUGGACAUAUGCCUGCAGCCUUAGCUUUAGAUGGUCAUAAUUGGAUGUUCCCUUUGGCCUUUGGGUUUUUUGAUUCAGAGACCAAGGACAAUUGGAUUUGGUUCAUGGAGCAGUUAGGCAAGGCCAUUGGGGUACUUCCAAGAAUGGCUGUUUGUACUGAUGCUUGCAAGGGCCUAGAGUCUGCUGUCAAGCAUGUUUUUCCAUGGGCUGAACAGAGGGAAUGUUUUAGGCACUUGAUGGAAAACAUGAAGAAGAAGUUCACAGGAAAUGUAUAUGCUGAAAACAUGUGGCCUGCUGCAAGAGCUUACUCAGCUGGAAAGCACAAUUACUUUAUGAGUAAAGUCUUGGAAGCUAGCCCUGAGGUAGGAAAAUGGUUAGAAGAGCACCAUAAUCUGUUGUGGGCCAGAUCCAAGUUCUCUCCAGACAUCAAAUGUGACUACAUCCUGAACAAUUUGGCUGAGUCUUGGAAUGCAUGGAUCAAAGAAUUCAAGGACCUUCCACUACACUGUCUGGUAGAUGCUAUCAGAGAGAAAGGUGUGGUCAUGUUUGAAAGGAGGAGGAGGAUUGGAAGAGCUUUGAAUGGAGUUAUUCUCCCUGCUGUGAUUCAUCAACUUAAUGCUGCCUCAAAGGGGAUAGGACACUUAAAGGUCACCAAAGGACUGCCACACCAAGCUGAGGUCACUGAGAUAUACAAAGAUGAGGAAGUAAGAAGACAUGUGGUCUAUCUCAAUGACCAGAGCUGUACAUGUAGAGAAUGGCAGGUUACUGGUAAGCCUUGCUCCCAUGCUUUGGCUGUUAUAACCACUGUGAGGCAGCCAGAUUAUGAAAAGUUUGUGGACAUGGCAUAUUCUGUGAUAUGAACCCGCUAGGGGUGAUUCCCGAUCUUUCGAUGACAGGCGUGGGAUAACUCGAUUGGUCAAUGGAGACGACGUUCACGGCCCGACUACAGCCUUCCAAGCUGCGCCUUAGCAACCGACACACCACCUCCAAUGGCUGCCGCGAUCUUGUGGAGCGCGUCACCCGGCCACUAGAGCACUCGUCCUGCAAGCAAUCGAAGAACUAGCAAGAACAAGUAUAACAAGUACUGAAUUUACUAGAUGAAGAUGAAGGUUUCCAACUCAAUCUCAAUACGGUGGGGUUCCGAAGACAGCAAGACGGGCGGCUGAUCCAGCACGCGCGCUUACAAGCAAGUAGCGAGAGCUAAACUUGAUCUAAACAAAACCCAAUCUGUUCGUGACGGCUCUAAUCCUUAUUAAUACCUAGGAGGACGACCAGGGGGGUGUUGGGGUCGUGCUCCAACCCUAGGACACGUCCCUAAUGGACCCAACUUGAUACACGGCCCAUCGGGCCAAAAUAGGGCGACGCAGCACCUGUGGACAGAAAACCUCUCGGUAGUAUUUCGAUGAUUGCGGCCGCCUCAGAAUAGAUAUGGACAUGAGUCCGGAUCCAUAUGAAAAUAGACUUUAUAAGGAUUCCAAGAAGUACUUGAACGCCCAAAACGGAGUCCGGAUGAGGUCGUGGUGGUCGUUGCAAGUUGGGUCAGAACUGUAGUCCGAAUCCAGCACCAAAACGUGUUGGAUUGGAUCUCUUUCUUUCCUUGGGCCAAAAGUGACGUGGUGGUCUGGUGGAGGACAUUAGGAAUACUUGGACUUGGCCCCCAAUCUACUUCUUUGGUCCUCCAUGCCUUCCAUGUGUGUUUAACACUAUUUUUGAUCCAUGUAUGUAUUUCUGAAAUUGACAACGAAUACACAUCAUGGUGCAGCAUCAAUUCAUCAAAUGUAUCACAUAUAAUUAUGAUAAAGAAUUGUUUCACCUCGGAGUCAAAAUAUGCCAAUAUGGUUAUAUCCGAGCAUGUGAUGUCCUCAUCAUUCUCCCUUUCUUGGCUGCAAGUCGUCCUCGACUUGCUCCAGUGGCAUUCUAAGGUGCUUGUUUUGAUGUUGGAGCACGGAGCGACGGCCAUGCUGCAUGGCCACAACCAGUAAUGCUCCCCUUCUUUGGUCUUACCCUGUUGCAUAUGGGAAAAACUAGAAAAACUUUGCAAGACAUUAUUAGUGUUAGUGCAGCCCUCUAUUUGAUCAUGGUAUUGUAGCCCAAAAGGAUAUUUCAGCGUGGAGCAAACAUAAACUUUAUGCACCAAAUAUUCUCCUUUGCUAUCAUAUUUGCCAAUUGCAUGAAGCGAACAAUGAUUAAAACUUGGCAAACCAGAACCAAAUUGAAGUUUCUCUUUUAGACAAUUUAGAUUACACAAAACAUCAAAUUCAAUGUAACCCAAAGUAUUUAAAGAGGAUAGCAAAUUCAGUUCAUCUUGUGCACAAGUAAUAGGAUGAAAAAGCUUAGCUUCAGCACAUUUGUAUGAUUCCAAACCAAAAGUAUCACACUUAUUCACUACUUGUGGUAUAGGAGUAAAAGAAUCAUCAGCACACAAGUCCUCUUUAUCACAAGGAACAGCAAGUAAUUCAUUUUGUGACAAAGGAAAAUCAGCAAUGGGUUCCACUAUUUGAUGCUCUUCAUUAGCAUGGAGAGUGGACAAAUUUUGAAUAUAAUGGGUCACAUCAUGCUUGCAAGUAUUCACAGAUAAAAGAAUCUCUUUUUCAACAUUGAGAGCAAGGCAAAACAAUUGACCAAUAUGUAUGUAUGAUUUGCUUAGCAACAAGGUUUGAAUUUCAGAAUUGAGCCCUCUCAUGAACCUACACAUAACAUCUUCCAUGCACUCAUCUAAUCCACCAUACAUGAUACAAAUUUUAAAAUCAUGGAAGUAUUCUUUUACAGUCCUACUACCUUGCCUCAAGUUGUCUAAUUUAGCAAGCAAAUAAUCAGCAUAAUAUUCAGGAAUGAAUGCAUCUCUAAAAAGAAAUUUAAAGUCUUCCCAAGAUUCUAGAACUUUGUUGUGCCUACAAAUGUGUUUCCAUUCUAGCAAAGCAAAUCCAGUCAAAACAUUAGAGGCAAUAUAAAUCUUUUGUUUCUCGGACAAGUCAUGCUCAUUAAAUUCAUUAUCUACUUUUAGCUCCCAAUCAAUGUAAGCUUUAGGAUCAAACUUACCAUCAUAUAACGGCAAUUGUUGAAUGACAUCUUGAAUAUGAGAGUCUAGUUUCAACAGCUCAAAAAUCUCCGUAUCACCUGCCAUGAUUAGUAGAAAACAAGAAACACAAAAAUAAUAUGUAUCCUCCUGUCAACUACUAGGAUGUGUCGGUUGUAAUUCUCUCAAACUCAACUUGUAAAAACAAGCCCUUACAAGUUCUUACCAAGCCAAACAGGAGGUGACGGCAACCAACAAGUCUACAACCGUGGAGUGAAGUGUAUCGGUGCCGCAGCAACAAAAAACCUGUCAAGCUGUAGUCGAAUAUGUGGAGCUGUAGGUGGGCUUAAGCAAGGAAAUAUACUAGCACCACGUUAGUCACAAAAGCAAGCUGAAUAAUAGUUCAACGGUGGUACUGUGCUGGUCCUAGCCUAGACCGUGCUAGAGACGCGAGCCUGGACACAAAGGAAGUCACAACACACCACCGGAAAACAAUAGGGAAGCACAACGAACAGCCCCUUUUCUUCCUAUUUUUUUUUGUCUUUCUUUUCUUCUUUUUUUUCUUCUGUUUUUUUUUCUUUUUUUUUCAGGGGAUCCUCAAAUCUGAUUAUAUGAACAAAAGGACUUCACAAGAGUCACACACCACACAAACGUUUGCCAAAACGAUAGAAAUCAGAUUUGGACUCAAGAUAGCAACAAGGCAGCUGUCAAUUCAAACUCCAAACCGAUUCCAACUCGAACUCAGCACCACGCGGGAUUCGGUCUUAAACAAACUCGGAGUCCUACUCGGACUUGAGCACAAAUAUGUAUUCAGAUUCAGCCAACAAAAGGUUUUAUAUGGUAGCACACGGCUGUGACUAGAACGUGACAAGAACUCGAAACUCUAAAGGACAAAAACUAAGACCAGCAACUCGACACAACCGAUGCAACCAAAAACUCAACAAGCCCUAACUAAGCAGUGCUAGCAAAGGCUCAAAGGGUUUAUAGGAUUGCGAGUAAACUAAUCUACUACUUUUUUUGGCUUUUUCUGGACAAUAGGAAAUUAAAAACAGCAAAAAACUAGAAGUCUCUCACCGAUAAACCUUGCUCUGAUUACCAACUGAUAUGAACCCGCUAGGGGUGAUUCCCGAUCUUUCGAUGAGAGGCGUGGGAUAACUCGAUUGGUCAAUGGAGACGACGUUCACGGCCCGACUACAGCCUUCCAAGCUGCGCCUUAGCAACCAACACACCACCUCCAAUGGCUGCCGCGAUCUUGUGGAGCGCGUCACCCGGCCACUAGGGCACUCGUCCUGCAAGCAAUCGAAGAACUAGCAAGAACAAGUAUAACAAGUACUGAAUUUACUAGAUGAAGAUGAAGGUUUCCAACUCAAUCUCAAUACGGUGGGGUUCCGAAGACAGCAAGACGGGUGGCUGAUCCAGCACGCGCGCUUACAAGCAAGUAGCGAGAGCUAAACUUGAUCUAAACAAAAACCCAAUCUGUUCGUGGCGGCUCUAAUCCUUAUUAAUACCUAGGAGGACGACCAGGGGGGUAUUGGGGUCGUGCUCCAACCCUAGGACACGUCCCUAAUGGACCCAACUUGAUACACGGCCCAUCGGGCCAAAAUAGGGCGACGCAGCACCUGUGGACAGAAAACCUCUCGGUAGUAUUUCGAUGAUUGCGGCCGCCUCAGAAUAGAUAUGGACAUGAGUCCGGAUCCAUAUGAAAAUAGACUUUAUAAGGAUUCCAAGAAGUACUUGAACGCCCAAAACGGAUCAAAGGUAAGCCCGUCUCCUCACCGACAAGAGCAUCUACAACCGGCCUCCUCACACUUGAUGACGCUCCAGCCUGCGACAUGGCUUGCGCGUGACGGAUGGGGGAAGAAGGGACGACUAGCGGGGGGGGGGGGGUUUGGGGGGGGGGGCUGGUGACCCGCUGCGCAGGGAAGGAAGGGAGGAGAUGGGGAAGAGGGGAGAUGGGGAACGGGGGAGAUGGGGAAUGGGAGAUGGAUGGCCUCAGUCGUCGCCGCCGCCGCCGCCGCCGCUCUAGAUGGGGAGAGGGGAGAAGUGGGGGGGAGACGGGGAAGGGGAUGGCGUCGGGUCCGGGGUAACGGAGGAGACCGACGGGGGCAUGAGGGUCUUUUGGCACCCCUAAACCACGCUGUCGCGGGGACGUGGCGUGCCACGUCAGCAAAAAUGGCAAAUCAGUUGCCUCGUUUCGUUCGCGAUGGCAAAACAGUAGAAGCUCCCGUAAAAGUGGCAAAUGAAGGAGUGCCAUUUGCAACGGUGGCAAUUACUUAAAUAUCCCCACGGAUGGUGGUUCCGUCACCCCAAACGGCGAUGGGCGUCCAGGAUCGAUGAUCAUAGAUCGCUCCGACGCCCAGUCGCUCACGGCUCACCCGGUGGAUGGCGGCGCCCACCAGCAGCCUGCCUGCUAGCCGGUUCUUCUCCCUCCCUUCUCUCGGGUACGAUUCUUUCGAACUUUCCAUCCCUCCCUCUCCCAUCACCUUGUCCAACUGCCCUCCGGUCUACUCACGUCCGAGUCCAACGACGGAUCUCCCUCUACGAUGAUCUAUUAGCUUUUGCUGCGAUCUGAUCUACUAUAAGCUUUGUUAAAUUGAUCGAUCUAUCACGGGAUCCCCUUCCGCAGAUCCGACUUAGAUGCAGAUCGCAGUCACGGUAAUGUCAGAAUAGGCUUCAUCUUCAGCACUAAUCUAGUGGCGUUAGUUACUCGCAUGGCUGUCUCCUCCCGGUUGGAAUUUGGGGCCUUUCAUUUAACCUGAUUCGGAUUUGGGACUUGGAAAUAUAGAGGGAUCAAAUCUUGGGAGCCAGCCUUUUGAAUGAAACGCCAUGUUUAGUCGCACCGGGUGCGCCCCACUUUUUGUUUCGACGGGAACGGUGGCACAUCCCAUUUGCACUUCACACCAUAGAUCUUACUACUGCUUGGUGAUUUGGGAUGAUGAGUUGUCUGUUGGUGCUUGCCUUUGGUGGCUGCUGGCUGGGUAGUUCUCACUGGAUAAAGUAGCAAAGUUUUACAUCAGUUUGAUAUGGUUGCUGCAAGCAUUGACUAAAUGUAGCAUAUAUGUUGCGUGCUAUUAGAUGUUUCCGGGUAUUAUCUUGCCUGUAAUUCUAUAUUCUUUACACAACUAGAUAGGUCUUUUGUCUGCAGGGCCACUCAUUGGCGUCCAUUCGUUUAUAAUGUAUCCCUUGAAUGCAGGAAUGGGUGUCAUGUUAGAGGAACUGUCAAUUUGGAACAAUUCAUCUCCACAUACUCUGUAUGUAUUGCAGGAAAAAUUUGUAAGUUUUUUGUGUUGCAGAGCUCUGCUGUCAUGUAUUGCUCAUCUACUCUGGUCCACAUACCACAAUUUUGAACUGUUGCUGGCAAUUCAUGCAUGUGCUUUAUUUUCUGGUGAGGUUAGUUCUAAUGUUCAUGUAUAUAUGCCCUUCAUCACAACCAUAUUUGUACUUUUGUAGUAUACAUUUUAUUUUACCUUUCGAAUGUCACUAAUCCGUAGCCUUGUGUGCUGGCUACUGUCUGAAUGCUGAUACCCAUAUCAGAAUUAGGAUGUGUUGGAAGACAACAGUGGUCAUAUAGCGAAGUGGAUAUCGCGUUAGAUUCCGAAUCUAAAAGUCGUGGGUUCGAAUCCCACUAUGAUCAUUGUCUUCAGGCUUUUUUUCAUGUUUCUUGUAUCUAUAUUUCUUUUUUCUUCAGACAGGGACAUUUUGGCGGCCACCACCAGAAAGUGUACAUGCUCUCUUGUGAACUGGUCCCAUAAGCCUGCUGUCUUUUGUGAGAAUUGUCACCUCAUAUGCACCGUGUCAUCUGCAUCCACUUGUAUAUGUAAAUACAUAAUUGCAUGAUAUUAUUCCAUAGCUUAUUCACUUGAUUUAUGUAACCUGCUGCCUGCUUGUAACUGGUGCCUUAUGGUUUUACUUUUUGUGAACUAUGGAAGAUGGGAGCUUUCCAUAAUUGGUAACUGGUUCACGUCUUCCUGAUGGCCCCAACGUUAUCUGAAACUUGUGGCUGGGUGUUGCUGUUCGUUCCUCAUCUGUUGGUACUUGGUACAGCAUUGCAACUGUGCAUUGCUCAUCUCAUUGUAAAAUCAAAUUCAGCACAGUUCAAUGCAAUUUAUACAUGAUAUUUACACAGGCCAGGUAUGAUUCAUAAUGUGAUGUCAGUUUCUUUACCAAUCUCUGCCGAUUGCUGUUCGGACUUCAGACUGAUUUUGCUACAACUUGAUUCCUGUUCGGACUUACUGAUUUUGCAUCGUUUAAGUGUUUGACAAGGCAGCUAUACGACAACAAAGGUUAAUACAGUUAAGCUGUACAGCUGCUGUGUAAAGUAACGGGUAAAACUUAAUAACUAUGUUAAGCCAUGCUUACACAGUUAAACUCGCACCAGAGCACCAGGAAAAGUGACUAAACUCACAUAACUAAUUAUCUGGACCAAAAACUGAUUCAGUACACAAACUAUUGCACGAUUUCAUAGAUAUGUUCUACCUAUUGAAAAUCCAGCUUGUUCGAAUAGCGCUCAACAGUUAGCUAACAUAAGUGGCGUCAGUUUAUACCAGGUUCACUACCAAAGUUAUGAUAAAAUUUAGCAUUUCAAGUUUAUCAACAUUGGUUGCCCAAGACACACGAUACAAUCGAAUCUUUAGAAUACGCGACCCGUCCCAGUGCAUUUCUGGAGACAAAACCACUAUCAACCAAUGGACAGACGCUAAGUGGAGAAUAUACAAGACGCUGGCAUCAGAUGAACAUUUGGAGAUCGACAGCAAAAUCUUGCGGCCUGACACUGACACGGGGUUAGAUUCCACAGUAUACCCAUUUUCUUCAGAGCAUUUCCUGUGAUUUCCGCACGAUGCGCCUAACCUUUUUCUUGAAGUCCUCCCUCUUCUCCCUCCACUCUUUCUGUGCAAUAAAUACAACAGGCAUACAUUCAGAAACAAAGAAAUGCACUUUGCAUCAUUGCAGUAACACAUGGUAGUCCCUAUGCAACAAACACAAAUACUCUGGAGCUGGCACUUGUGACUCGUUCCUGACCCCAACAACUGGUUGAUAUCUAGAUGAAGUAGUGGAUGGUGUGUAGGGGCAUGAGAUGUCCAAUGGAAUUAUGCGAAUAAUAAUUUCAUAAUGUUUCAGAAAGUACUACAAAAGUUUUUUUAUGACACUCAGCACUGAAUUUUUCAAUAGUGGACAUUAGAACAAAAUUUGUUCGAGAACAGCAAAGCACACAGCAUGAUUUUGAGAAUGCUGGACACCAAGACAACUUUGACCUCUCAGUGUUGUUGAUUUCCUUUUAAUACUGACACGAUAUCUUGCCAUAGUACAAAUAAAUCCUUAUCAUUUUAAAACACUGGCAUGAUUACUGAUUGAUGGCAACAAGGACAGUAGGAGACAAACAUGAAGUAUUUUGACAUCAUAGAGGCCCACAAGUAAAGGUCCAGUAAACGAAUCAGUAUAAAGUAAAUUGUCAGUUGAACUUACAGCUGCCUCAAUAUUUGCUGGAGACUCGUCAUUUGGACUAGAGAGCAUAGAAAUAAUGCUUAGAACUAUACUUUCAACCUACAAACAAAAAACAAUAAUCAACUCAACAAUUAGCAAAAGCAUACAUAAAAAUAUUCACUGCUGAAAGGAGCCUGCACUUUAUCACUCUACCUAGAGACCCAAUGAGAGUAUUCUCUAUCUAUCCAGUGGAAGCUAGCAACAAUUCUAGAAUUGUUCACCACACAGAAGAAUACAUGUCAAUAUAUUAUUAGUAAAGCAUCUGCCCGCAAGGCAAUCAGCAAAUGCAAUAAUCUCUCAAAGACCAGAUGAUGAAUCCCAAAAAAUAAGGAAUUCCCUAGCAAUAAGCACUCAUAAAGCAUCAAAUCAUAAUGAAAUUCAAAGAGUAUACAAAUCAGUCAGUGAACUUCUGAAUAUUGUUUUCGUGGUGUAUGGCAGUAAAUUUAACUAAUAAAGGCUUCCAUACGGAAUAAGUUAAUGGGUAUGGGAUGGUACUAAUACAGAACACAAAAUGAAAAUGGAGAAGGAAUAUUUUAGCACCGGAGACAUUGUGUACGAAGCCUUACUGUAUGCACAGGUGUCCAACGCUCACUGGCAAGCUCAUAGCCGUUGGGAUCUUCACCAGGUGGAUGAAGAAUAGAGAUACACACCCGCCCAUCAGGAUAAACUGCCAAUUGCCCAAAUAUUAUGCAUGAUGUCAGAAAUCAGAAUUACAGAUCAAGUAUAAAUAAAUGUGAGUUCACAGCAAUAAAGAGCUGACCAUUCGGAUGCCACAUUUCAGAUGUAAAUCUGACUGAUGGUGGGCUGUUCGGGUAAUUUUGAGGGAAGCUCAUUAUAGCAUUGAAGUACCCUCCAUCACUGCAAAAUGAAGGUUAAUAUUAGUGUGUUACUCAGAAGAUAAAUAAAAUACUUUUACAUGAUUGCAUCAAGAAACUUCAAAGACAAAUACAAGGCCAGCAAAUCAACAGUUUUAUCUUUAAGGUUUGUCAGUAGUUCAAAAAGCUUUAGCUGAGUUUAUUCAUUCAAGACUCAGAUCACAUGUUUUGUUUGAGAUUGAUGUGAUUAUCAAGUAAUGCAUUAAAGCUGGAAAUAUAUUGAUCACAACUAUCCAAACUCCUGAAGGUAUUUUUAGGUUCCAGUUAAAUUUUCCUUGCAGUGCACUAUUUCUUUGCAACAAAGUGAACAUAAACAUUUGGUACAAGAAACAAACACCUAACCUAAUAGCUCCACUGCUUGCUAGUCCAUUAGGCCAGUAUAGAACCGUGCUGCAAUAUACGUUAUGGUGAGUAGCCAGCCAGCAAGAAAACUGACACGUAUCACUACUCUAUCAAUGAUGCUGGACAACCAUCCGACCACUUGGUCAGGAUUUAUCAAAGAGAACAUACUUCAUGAUAAUUAUUCCAGUCUAAUAUUCAUGUUUAUUUGAUCACAGGCCAUCUUUUAAUGCCUAGCAUGAUUGCACUAGGUUUUAAGUCUAUGAUUUUGUUAUCAAUAUGAACUGAAUUUGAUCUUCAUAAAAUGUACCCAAAGUAAGCUAGCAUGUAUUUUAAGAAAUUUUAAACUAACAUCUCAAAUGUCCAAUUCCAUAUAACCAAUUUCAAAUAUGCAGCUGAAAAAGAAACUGAUAGACAAAAAAAAAACACAGCCACACUAGUUCAGAUUAUGUAGUGAUAUGUAUGGCCAUAAAUGACAAGUUGCUUUGCUACUUUCCAUGCUGAGCUAAUGGCAGGCUAUUCAAGAAACUCUCAAGUGUGCUGCAUGCUCUUCCAUACAAACCACAUCCUUACGUAUGAGAUAACAAUUAUCAAACAUAACAGAUGUUUGCAACUGUGCAUAACUACAUAUACACCAAACUCAUCUACCAACACUAGUGUUCUUUCAAAUUUAUAACUAUCAGACUAUCAGUUACUCAAGUGUUGUUUUAUGUGUGCAGAACUCCACAAAAUGGCAGGCAUACUUACAACAUGUGGCGAAUAUUCUAGUCCAUACUGUAUUUGAGUAAUUAGUAGUCAGUGUAUUUACUUCGAAUCUGUGUGUUUUCCCUCUACUUCCAACUCAUAUUUCAAAUCUGAACAGGAAGACGCAUUCUGCUAUAAAAAUUCUGCUCAGGCACCACUGCACCAUAUAGCUUGACAAAAUUGAAAUUCAGGUGGCACUACUCAUGCAAGUGCCACAAAGUCACUCAAUAUUGAAUCGCGGGAAACAAAGUGUUCCUGAAGAAUUUCUCCCAUCUAUCUUUUACAAACUCCAAAACAAACAUGCAGUUCCAUUUCACAGGAUGAUGUAGCUGAAGAACCCAUCCGAAACUACCAUGAGACCGUCCCCUGCAGCAUGCCAAUGGAGCCUAAUUCCCCCCAUUUUCAAAUAUGAAACCCAACCCAGCAGUACACACAAUUUAUCCCGGAACUGCUGUCCCCCUGGUAGGCAUAUGCAGACCCAAUUCUAGGUAUUGUACGACCACAUAUUCAGAAACCACAAAUUAGACGAUAAACAGAGCAACCCACACAAUACGAACCAAACAAAUUCGAUGGAACUUGGCACCAGCCAUGUAGCCAAGUUGUUGCACUACUAGCCUCCUAGGGGUAUGCCACCCGCUGCAACAAUCAACAUGCCAAGCAAAUUCAGCCGCACACCAGGCUCCGCUAGAAACGAAUCCUGGGGAAAGGUUCUCCGUCGCUGCUUCCGAGCCACAGAUGCACACUAAACACCAUAAUUCUCAUGGCACCAACACAGCGAACAAGGAAAUCCAUAGCGAUAAGCGAAAUGGAGAGAAAAUCCAACUCACUAUAGGGUGUCGGGCGGGCCGAUGAUGGUGACCUGCCACUCGAACACGUUGCUGUCGUCGACCAGCCCAGCCGAGAACCCAUCCACCGGGUGCUUCGCUAGAUCUGCGCCAAACAACACCAUACCGCAAAACCACAAAUCAGUCAGCCAAUCAAUCCGCAUGGCUAGAAAGAAAAAUCGAGCGGAAACAGAUGCAGGGAUAACUCAAGCGGUGCCGCACCUCUGAGCUGCUUCUGGAGGAGGAGGCUUGCCUGGCUGGUGGUGGCCGCCAUGGGAGGGGAUCGGCGGGCGGUGGCUGGGCUAGGUUUUUGCGGCGCGCGGAAUGAUUCGCGCUCUCGGUACGCGGUGACGCGAAUUGAUGGGCGCCGCUGGCGCCUUAUUUAUAGACGUGAGGCGGGGAGCUCGGAGAAGAUGGGAAUCGGGAAGUGGGGCGAGCGGUGUGGGGAAGGAGAACGAAGCGGUGGUUGACUGGUAGGGCGGCCGCUCUGCCUCUGCCUGUCUCUCUGCUGUCUGCUCUGCUACCCCGUGGCCAUGGGGUAUCGUAUUUAUUAUGACAAGGGGUCAAUUUGGAGCAAGAUUGUGACGUCAAUUUGGAUUUUUGAGUAAUUUCAAGUCUUUCAUACGAGGAUUUUUUUUAAAAAAAAUGCAUUUCAUACGAAUAUACUAGUACUGAUGUAAACCAUUUCUUAGAUAAAUUGACUACACGAGCCCUCGCAUUCGAACAUUUCGUCCUAGCCAUCCAGGUGGUUCAUCCUAUUUGUCAUUUUACGUAGUAUAAAAUGAAGACUACCAUUUGGAUUUGGCUCACAAGAACUCUACCGAAUCGAACCUGUUCCACGGUGCUCGUUAUUGGACGAAAUUAGUGCGGUCAUCGGGAAAGAAUCGGUGUCUCUGUCUAAAAAGGCCUAGGACAACAUAAACAUGUUUGCUCACGUGAGCACAAAUAGCAAAUAGUACCACUAAUGUCAGUGUCCGUUUCACGAAGAGUUUCAUGGGCACUAAAUUUUAUGUCAUAUACCAGUCAUUUUGCUGACUUGGUAAAGUUAUUUAUGAGGAGAGUUUCAUCAGAGGUGAGAGGAGUUCCAUUCCUGUGACAUUUCGCAACAAUUAUCUAGUUCUCAGUCUUGAUAACUGUACAAUAAACUGUACACUGAGAUUGGACUACUCAAAAUUUGCAUCGAAUGGUCUGCAUCCGAUCAUCUGAAUAGAAAAAUCACAAGCAUUCUAUGGCAACUACCCUAUGUUUGACUGGUGGGAACAGUCAGCUUCAGUCUAACAGAGGAGGAAUUGUAAGGGCCUGUUUGGCAACCAAGUGUUAAAGUUUAACACCCGUCACAUCGGAUGUUUGGAUGCUAAUUAAGAGUAUUAAACAUAGGCUAAUUAUAAAACUAAUUGCAUAGACGGAGUGUAAUUCGCGAGACGAAUCUAUUAAGCCUAAUUAGUCCAUGAUUUGAUAAUGUGGUGCUACAGUAAUCAUUUGCUAAUGAUGGAUUAAUUAGGCUUAAUAGAUUCGUCUCGCGAAUUAGCACAAGGUUCUGCAAUUAGUUUUAUAAUUAGCUCAUAUUUAGUUCUUCUAAUUAGCAUCCGAACAUCCGAUGUGACACUGUUAAAGUUUAACACCUCGUAUCCAAACACCCCCUAAAUCGUAACGCUUCCUGGGAGAAGGCUGACCCGAUUGGAAUCACCGCCCUGGAGCCGCCUCCGCGGAAUGGCCGACAUGCUGUUUUCUGCAUCAAAACAGGCAGAAAAAUCACAACGCGGAAUAAAGAAAGCACGCCGUCGACUAACGAAACGAUCCGGCCAUCGAACCUGCAUGCUUGGCCAUCCCCCGCGAUCGACGGCUUGUUUUUUAAUACAGAUCGCAGGAGCCUCACUUGGACAGUUGGACGCUGCCUUGUUCCUGGCCAGCCUUCACUACACACCGCAGCACAUCAUCGCUCGGCCAGUCGUCCAGCCAGGAAGGCUGCACGGCCGAGCGCCGGGCGGUGUCCUCCUCGUGGUCGUGGGCGCCGGACGCCACCGACGGCAACGCACGCGAGCCGGACGAGCGUUUCAAGCAAAUGGGCCGACAAAGGUGGCGUGGGUGCGUGGCUCCGCGCGCGCGGGGCAGGGCUCCCCACCCCGCCCGUCCGUUGCUUUGCCCACGCCGGCCAGCGCGAAAUGAUGGUCCGCCGGCCGCCGUGCCGUGCCGUGCCGCGCGUUCCCCCUCCCCUCCGCGCGGCAGACGCGUACGGGGAACGGAAGCUUCGGGGUCGAGAAUCGGCAACUUGCUCGCCCAACCAAGAGGAGCCCCCCACCCACGUCGUGCUCGCUCUCUCGUUGCGUUGCGCCGUUGCGUGCCUCGGCGAGCUGGUGAUGAGGAUGUUCCUUCUCCGUUAAGUUUGCGCACAUCAUCAUCAUUGCAGCCAGGGCGAACGCCUACGCCCAAUUUCCGCGUGGUUCUUUCUGAAACGACGUAAAUCGGGUGCUAGAGGUUCGGCAUCCAUCUAAUCUAUCAUAACUGACUUUGUUCCUCUAUCCACAAGUUCUUGCGGUGAUUCAGCCAGAGUCUUUCGAUGCAAGUAUGUCGACAGGAGUGCAUGCCGGUCACAGAAGCUCAUGACCAGCUCCCCUCCAACAGCAGUCACCGGCCGGCCAAAGCCUACUUGACUAUCCAUCCACUUUGGCACUUUACACGUUUCAGGCGGAUCUAUCCUACGCGCAGAGCGAAUGAUAUCUUCUAGGAGCACAAAAAGGACAACACUUUCGCAGCCUCAAAACGUGAGCCGCUGCACGUUACCAGAAACUACAAUUUCGGCAGCGAACGAUGGCAGCCGUCGGUUCCCACCGGAGAGGGCGACGGAUAACGAUCGGAACAUGCGCGGGUUCCGCUCCCGCCUGGUCGUAUCGUACGAGCGGGCAAAGUCGCACGCUUCCGGCCACCAAUAGUGCGGUCGACGACGACGCCGGUGGACCAUCGGAUGCCGCAGCGCAGAGGCAGAGAUCCUCCCUGCCCCAGCGAGGGUCGUUCACGCACACCGAAUCUAGCUGGGCGUCAAGGGGAAAAGCAGUCGUAUCUUUUAGUGCUCUUUAAUCAGCAGCCUCUGACCUGACCGCAUCGGUUGUCACUUGUCAGUGCCGGUAAAGGUACGAGCUCAGCUGGACAGGAUUAGGAUUUGGUGAGAGAAAUUUAGGUACCGUUUGGGUAUCCUCGCUAAAAUUUAGCACAUGUCAUAUCGGAUGUAUCCCUCGCUAAAAUUUACCACUUAUCAUAUCGGAUGUUCGGAUGCUAAUUAGAAGUAUUAAACAUAGAUUAAUUAUAAAAUUAAUUGCACAGAUGGAGUCUAAUUCACGAGACGAAUCUACUAAGCCUAAUUAGCCCAUGAUUUGAUAAUGUGAUGCUACAGUAACCAUUUGCUAAUGAUGGAUUAAUUAAGUUUGUCUCGCGAAUUAGCACAUGGGUUAUGCAAUUAGUUUUAUAAUUAGCUCAUAUUUAAUCCUUCUAAUUAGCAUCCGAACAUCUGAUGUGACACUGCUAAAGUUUAGCAUCUAAGUAUCCAAACACCCCCUUAAGCAUUUGGUUCUUUAGGAGCUCCUAAAAUUCCUGUCACAUCGAAUAUUUAGAUACUAAUUAGGAGCAUUAAACAUAGACUAAUUACAAAACCAAUUACAUAGAUGGAGGUUAAUUUGCGAGACGAAUUUUUUAAGCCUAAUUAGUCCAUGAUUUGACAAUGUAGUGCUACAAACAUGUGCUAAUGAUGGAUUAAUUAGGCUUAAUAGAUUCAUCUCAGGAAUUAGCCUCCAUCUGUGUAAUUAGUUUUAUAAUUAUCUCAUGUUUAUCCUCCUAAUUAGCCUUCGAAUAUUCGAUGUGAUAUGAAUUUUAGUCCGGACGAAAGAUCCAAACACCCCUUAACUUGGCAACGUCAUCUUGGUUGAACAGUGGACUGCCAUCGUAGGACCGACCGAUGCUGGUGUGCUCGCUUCGCGACAACGGAGGAGUCCACGGACCAAACGUAAUCACUGUUAUCUGAAACUAAUCCAGUGAUUGGGCAUCUGCAUAGCUCUGAUUUAAUUCUAUACUAUAUGCUUUUCUUCGUGGCUUGGGGCAGCGUUUGCGAAUCCCUCGACGAACUGCCUCUACCUGGAGGUAAGAAUAACCCAGGUGGGUGCUUGAGAGAUGUUCACACCUGGUAGUGACGAGCCGUGUGCCUGCAGCGGGAUGCCCCCGGCGAAAGCUUUUACCGGCAUCUUAUUGGUGAUGAUGACGACGACGCCCUUGGACGUCGUUUUACCUGUUGGGGAUGUCAUUGGAGCUCUACCCCUGCUAUACGGGGUUCUCUGGGUGAAAACCUUUGUGGACGAGCGACCGCCGCGCCAUAAGUGUCGUGCCCUCCUUGAAAGCGUCGUUUCUAGAGACCCAGCUAGGCUUCUGGCAAUACUGGUGACGCCAAUGGUCAUGGGAAGCUGACGCUGGGGGUGGCGAUCCCGCCGCGGCGGGCUUGCAGCGCGGCAAGGCGGCACGGUGCAGGAUGGCAAGCUUGGCGGGAGUUGCCGAGCUCACGUGGAGGCGAUCAUAGUUGUGGGGGUUGCCGCAUGUUUGUCGGGUUGGCUGCUUGCAGCGGAUCGCGAAGGCUGGUGCUGCUUAGCAGCUGUCGGUGCGGCGUGUGACUGCGUCGGAGGACGGCGCUUGCAGCAACGAUAUCGUGGGACGACUAGGCUUGCAGCAGCCUGCGACGGGUUGCUCAGCUUUGCUAGGCUACUCCGGUACAGUAUAUCGUCAGAAGACGACGCAAGUGACUUAUUUAGCUUGCUGGCACGGCAGCGAAGGCUAUGUGCGUGGAUUGUGGAACGAGGUGAAGUCGACCUGCGGCGGCAGCUUGGUUUAUCGGGGAAAGAUCCCCAGUACCCGCAAGGAAGAAGACGGACUCCUACUAUGAUUUCUCUGUAAUCCUACUGGUACUCAUACCAUGUAAUCCUAUUAGAACUCUUACUUAUAACAGACUAGUAAUCUCACCCCCUGGAGUAUAUAAAGGAGGGCAGGGGUACCUAGAUCGGUAGAACCACAACAGAGGAUCAAAUGCUCAACACCAAACAACACCCAAGCGUAGGGUGCAAUAUACAACACCCCAAAUAGGAUGUAGGGUAUUACGCAACUCUGACAGUCCCAACCAUUAUAAAUAUGUGUCUUGUGUCCUCGCUUUUACCAUCGAGUUUCAGGUCCGGCGAUCCCCCACGAACCAAUCUACUACCUCGGAAUACACCUUGGUAGAUUGUUGGGUAUAAAACAUCAACAUCUGGCGUGCCAAGUAGGGGUGAUCGUUGAGAUCAUCGGGCGAGUUUUAAGGACCUCAUCAUCAAGAUCAAUCUAGUCGAAUCGGCACGUUCGUUAUCCUAUGCUGACUAGCACGUAAGAUCGGCGAGUUGAUCUGCCUCAAACCGGUGGAUUUUGCAUCGUGGGCAUCGUUAAGUUCGAGAUGGAGUCUGAUCCAAUCAAAGCUUUGAGUACAAAUCGUCAUAACCAGUCAACAAAUCGAGGUCGAGCUGAUUAACGUGUCAGGUCCGAAAAGGAAUAAAUCUCACGGAGUACUAUAGCAUCUCUGAGUUAGUAUCGGUCAACACACACAAGGAUAAGGUGGAAUAACCUCUUCACGUUUCCGUUGGCUCCCGUGUGAAGGAAGGAAAUAUGUGGAAUUAUGCUACACACACAAAUGGGACACCACUAGAAGACUUCAAGUGCUUCAAGGCAACACCAAAAAUUGGCAAUGACGACUCGCCGACGAUUACUCAUCUCGACUAGAAAAUUAGUUGGGGUAGACUUCGUACCAUCGACAAUUAGUCCGAAUCGACUUCGACUAGUCGGCUUCAUCAACAACCGUCGCAGCUUGCUUCAUUGACAAUCGUCCACGAAUCAAACUAGUUACUUUUUUUAAUUAUUUUACAUAAUUUUUUGGCUUGUUUUCCACAUGCAGGGCAACGCGCCGACUGCUUAUUGGUGCAUGACUCUCAACGGAAAUUACCCUUCUGAGCUACACUUUGCCAAUUAUUCCUGUGGCAUGCUAACCGACAGCCACGGACUUAAUACACCGAAUUAUGGAGGCUAUUGCUACGGGUUUGGUGCACUAAGUUCCGAAAGCUCCGCCACAGGCUUGGUACACCGAAUUAGGAGGCUCUGCCACGAAAUUUGGUGCACUGAGUGCUGGAGACUCGCAGCGGCUAUAGCCUAAGGAGGCACAAAUCCUAUACGCAGCAACACGUGCUCUCCUUGCCAAAAAGAUAGAAAAGUCUCAAUGACUACUUUACGUGCAAUCGCACAUUCUUUUUGUCGCAAUGCUGACUAAUUAUUUUAAAUGUCUUCUCUUAGCAGUUGUUAAUCUACUCGUGCAGAACACGCUUUAAUUCGUGAAAGACUCGGAUCUUCUGUCAUGCUUAAAUACUAGGAUGCGUACACGAGACAAAGAUCUUAGACGCGUUGCAGCAGUGCCAAUACACGUACACGAGACAAAGAUCUUACAUGCAAUGGUAAUAGGUACAGGGACUGAGAGCCUUAACGUAAUAGACUAACUACUUAGGAGAAAUAUAGCCGAAACAAGAGCCUAACACAUAACAUUUACAUUCAUUACUGAAUAAAUUUCGGUAAUAUCUUCAAAAUUCUACAAACAUGCUACAUAAUAUAUGCAUAUCUUUUUGUAGGACAAGCUUCAGCGUCGACUUUUCAAGACGCUCAGCGUACCUCCAGUGGCUCUGCUAGCUCCCACGCUCAGGGACUAAGCACCAAUUACUACUCGGAAUAUUUCAAAUGGCUAAUCUAGCUUCCAAACUCGGGGGCUAAGAGCCAAAUAACUACUCGACGUGGCUCCUAUGGCUCACCUGGUGCAUAAGCUCGGGGGCUAGACGUCGCAAAAUUACUCAGAUGGCGAUUGGUGUGAAGACUAAAGCUCGCUAGACCCUUGAAUUGAAUAUUUAAUCAUUUCAAGGCUCGAGAGCUGAUAAGCUACACCCAACAAUUGAUUUUUUUCAAGAUGAAAAAAAAAGAUUCAAGAUUUUAUUGACCGUCAGACUGAUUCUUCAAUUCAAUCUCAGGCUCAAUGGCUACUCCAUAUGGAGUGCGACUUUUACCACCCUCGAUAUCACAUUCCAAAAAUGAAGAUUACAAAAUUAAGAUGAUCAAGGGCUUCAGCACAUCAUAACUCAUGAUAGAUUUGAAGAACUUUGAAGAUUCCGCUAGACAAAGUACUCGAAGAGUACCAAAACUACUCGGGAAGGAUCUGAAAAGUACUCAAAGGCUGCUACACUCGACUAUGAAGUGCUUGGGGGCUUGUCGGGGAUAGAACCCCAGUACCCGCAAGGAUGGAAGAAGACGGACUCCUACUUAGGAUUCCUCUGUAAUUGUACUAUGACUCAUACCAUGUAAUUCUACUAGGAGUCCUACCUCAUAACCGACUAGUAAUCCCACCCACUAUGGUAUAUAAAGGAGGGCAGGGGUACCUAGAUCGGCAGAACCACAACAGAGGACUAAAUCCUCAACACCAAACAACAUCCAAGUGCAUGACGCAAUCUACAACACCCCAAAAAGGACGUAGGGUAUUACGCUACUCAUGCGGUCCGAACCUGUAUAAAUAUGUGUCUUGUGUCCUCGCUUUUACCUUCGAGUUCCAGGUCCGGUGACCCCCAACCAACCAAUCUACUACCUCGGGAUACCCCUCGUUAGGUUGCCGGGUAUAAAACACCGACAUGGCUAUUUGAUGACCCUGGAAGCGAGGCAAUAUAGCUCACCAUUUUGACGACGACAAAAGAAAUGGAUCCGUGACAGAGAGUUUCUUCAAGGCGACGAGAGCGAGAUGGAGUCCAACGGUGGAUGUGGCGAGACCUCCGUGCAUUGUGUUUUCGUGGUGGCGACUACGAGGCAGCUUGCGAGAGGUCCGGAUCUGGUGGUAUCACUUUAUUGAGUGGAGUGUGAUGUUGCAGCAGCACUACGGCGAAGGAUCCUACAUGGCGGUGGCCUUGUCAAUGCGGUGCAGUCUGUUUUCUUGGUUUCCCCGUUGAGGAGGAGUCAUGCCUGAAGGUUCGGCGACUACAUGAGUGUAAGACUACCAGAGGUGCUGUGAGGCGGGCUUCGCGUGUGCGUCGUUGCGAGUCGUGUGGCGUGGUGUGCUCUGUUGCCGCUGUUUGAGUAGAGUGAUGCGAACGCGGUUAUAUCCCAAUCCAACUGGUUGGGUGUAGUGGUUUUGAGUCGCAUGCUUAUCCGGAUUGACGUUCCAAUCCAGCUGGACGAGUUAAGCUGUUUUUUUCGUUUCCUUUUCUUUUUCUUGCCUAUGGCCUUUUUCCUGCCGCACUCUUGUAUUUUUUCUGGUAUAUCAAUAGAAACUUACACUAUGCUUCGUUAAAAAAAAAGAGAAUACUGCACGGAUACUAUAAUAGUUCCAAUGGAAAAGGAAAAUGAGUUGUUCGGAAAAAAAAAAGGAAAGAAAAAGGCCCAGAGGAGGCGAGAGGCUCCGAAAAGGAGGAGAUGGCUUCGUACACAUACGCGGGCCUCUCAUCAAUUUGUUUAGCCCACCUAAAAUGGAUCCUUUUGAGCCACGGGCCACAGCACAACAACAAUGGGCCUCUUAGGUUCAGUGGUUGGAAUCCGGGCCUGUUAGGUUCAGUGGUUGGAGUCUGUUUCCUUGUUCGAUCUCGAAAGGAAAACAGUAGCAAACACUACACAUUCAAAAUAACUUAAGUACAUGCUCCAAAUGUAUACAAUUUUUGCUCAAUUUUUUUGAACUUACAGACUCGAUUUGAAAGUUUCCACAGUUUAAGAUGCUAAGGAAGUCCAUAGAUAUAAGAGAACUCUCAUCAUCCUCAAUGCAAUUUGUCAGAUAGGGACAUCUCUCCACCCAUUGAUCCUUCAAAAAAACUCUCCAAUCAUCAACUGAAAUGCUCACAUGCUUUGGAAUUGAAAACGCAAGUUGAAAGCGCAGGGAGGGAAACGGGAAGGAUGUAGAGGGAGAGCAGUCCAUUCCUACCCUUGUUUUUAGCUAAAGGGUGUUUAGAUACGAGGUGCUAAACUUUAGUCGAGUUCCAUCGGAUGUUCGGAUGUUAAUUAGGAUGGCUAAAUAUGAGCUAAUUAAAAAACUAAUUGCACAGAUGGAGUCUAAUUUGCGAGAUGAAUCUAUUAAGGCUAAUUAAUCCAUCAUUAGCAAAUGGUUACUGUAGCACCACAUUAUCAAAGUAUAAAUUAAUUAGGGUUAAUAGAUUCGUCUCGUGAAUUAGACUCCAUCGGUGCAAUUAGUUUGUAAUUAGACUAUGUUUAAUACUCCUAAUUAGUAUACAAACAUCUAAUGUGAUAGGUGAUAAAAUUUAACAACAGAUAUCCACCCCUAAAUCUCGUAACCCCAACAACUUCAAAUUCUAAGGCGCUCUUCCCACACAGCUGACACUGUUUCGUUUUGCUUAGGAUCGUGCUAUCUGUUCUUAUCCUCUUCCUAGGGACCACCCACGUUCGCUGUUUCGCCGAUAGGGGUGUUUGGGAGGAGGGGGCUAAAUUUUAGCCCCCGUCACAUCGAAUGUUUGGACACUAAUUAGGAGUAUUAAACUUAGAUUAAUUACAAAACUAAUUACACAACCCCUAGGCUAAAUCGCGAGACGAAUCUAUUAAGCCUAAUUAGUGCAUGAUUUGACAAUGUGGUGCUACAGUAACCAUUCACUAAUGAUGGAUUAAUUAGGCUCAAUAGAUUCGUCUCGCGAUUUAGCCUAGGGGUUCUGCAAUUAGUUUUGUAAUUAGCUUAUGUUUAGUCCUCUUAAUUAGUAUCCGAACAUCCGAUGUGACAGGGCUAAAGUUUAGCCUCCUCCUUCCAAACAGCAAAUUCUGCGUGCAGUCACCGCCGCUCCGGCCUUUCACUGCUUCCGAUGCUCUGCCUCGUAAGCUUUUUUGCUCUACCGUCAGCCACGGGGAGGAUGGACCAAGCUCAUCAUGCACCGGCUUGGUGAGUCUCGCGUGUUGAUCCAGAAGACGUUUAAAAAAAUAAUGAGAGAAAAAUGCAUGCAGAAUGCGUGCUAUAGCGAACGUUUUUUCCGGUGUCCAUCGGAGACACUUUGCCCUCAAACAAAACAACGUUUAGGGCUGCUAAACCUGAAAUGCAGGACCUGCCGCUGAUGAUAGUCCAACGUUCAAGUGUUAUAGACUCGGACAGAUGACAAAGUUGCCAGUCUCCGCCGUCUGUUGAUCCAGUGGAACUCAAAGCCUGUGAUAGACUCGGACCAGCGACGCGGCGGGCACCGGGCUGGUGCCACUGUGCCAAGACGCAGAGAAACAAACAAUUCCCAUGAUCCAAAAGGCAGAGAUAAAGCUGCGGGAAAAAAUGGAACGGGAAAGCGACAAGACGACUCCAGUUACCAGAAGCAGAGACAGGACGGCCGAAACAGCGGAAGGCCCAACAGUUCAGCACUCGAGUGGGGUGUUUGCGAGGCAGGGCUAAAACUUGAGUCCUGUGGCAUCGCCUGUUCGACACUAACCAGAAGUAUUAACUAGAGUAUUAAAGGUAAUUAUAAAAUUAAUUGCACAACAUUUAGACUAAAUCGCGAGACGAAUCUAUUAAGCUUAAUUAAUUCAAGCUUAAUAGAUUCAUCUCGCGAUUUAGUCUAGGGAUUCUGCUAUUAGUUUUGUAAUUAGCUUAUGUUUAAUCCUCCUAAUUAGCACCGAACAUCCGAUGUGACAGGGUUAAAGUUUAACCCCUGGUAUCCAAACGCCCACUAGCCGUGGGCGGAACUUCUGUGGGGUAUGGUUUCACAGUAGUAUAUGUCACAUCGAAUGUUUAGAUACUAAUUAGGAGUAUUAAAUAUAGAUUAAUUGCACAAAUGGAGGUUAAUUCGCGAGACGAAUCUAUGAAACCUAAUUAAUUCAUGAUUAGCCCAUAUUUACGGAAGUAUCACAUUAUCAAAUUAUGGACUAAUUAGGUUUAAUAAAUUCAUCUUGUGAAUUUAAUUUAGCCUCCCAAUUAGUUUUAUAAUUAAUUUAUAUUUAGAUUCGAUGUUAGAGGGACUAAACACCACUAGCCGCAAUGCACUCGAUCGGAGAUCCGGAGUUCUUCGUUCUACCAGUUUAGGUUUGAGUUUGCCUUGCAUUAGCAGUGUACGUGGUUUUCAACCAAAUCCACUUUAUUUGGAAAGAACCCAAUGCACUUCGACAGGUGAUUCAACAUCUGAACAUGCGCGAACGAUCAUUGCUGAUCUAAACCAAGUUUAUUUCAGACUGCAAACUGAGCAGUAAUGUCAUUACAUCAGUCUCAGGGCCAGAACGCACACACAUCCAACGGGCACGGUACCUACAGAGCACGACCAAACCAGUGAAACCACUGCUAACCAGGCACAGAAGCACGCACUAGACCACCACGCACACCGCAAAUCCUACUAGCGACACUUGCGACGGCGCGCGCGCGCGCGCCCACCCCUCAGAGCUCCGGUGCUCCGGAGCUCUGGUCAUCUAGUGGCAGAAAAUGACCUUGAGCUCGCGCGGCGCGGCGCAUUGGUGGGUGAGCGACGGGCUGUCGUGCGCGUAGGUGAAGGCCUGCGGGCACUCGCGCUUGAAGAACUCCGAGUACUUGGAGGCGCGGCAGGUGCGCGGGCUGUUGUACAUGUUGCGGCAGCACAGCUCGUCGGUGCGGAAGGCCUCGCACCCGCUCUUGCACGCGAGCACGGCCCCCGCCGGCGACCGCAGCUGGAGCUCGCCGGGGCAGGUCUGGGUGAGGUCCGUGCGGCAGGCGAGGACGGGGCAGUUGCCGCGGCCCUCGUGCGGGGUCACGGACAGGCCCACGUUGAAGCCGUCCACCACGCUCACCCCGUACGAGGCCUGGUCGUCGCCGCCGUGGUGGAGGUUCACCUGCGCAAGGGUCGUGGGAGCCGCGCCGCCGAGCCCGGCGCACUGGAGCCGACCGCCGCAGUCGCCCGUGGCGCAGUGGAGCUGCGCGCCGGCGCCAGUGCACCCCGUGCGAGCCCAGAUGCGGCCCGACCAGGGGUGGGACGGCGCCGGGAACGACUUGUGGGAGAGCGCUGGGAGGAAGAAGCCGCCGCCCUCCAGCACGUCGUGGCCGGAGUUGGCCUGGAUGCCCGGCCACACCGGGAAGGGGCAGUUGUUCACCACGGUCAGGGUCAUCGGGGCGUAGUCGGCGGCGGCCAGGAGGCCGCAGCCCAGGAGGGAGGUGGCGAGCAGGAGCAGGAGCUUGGGAGAAGCCAUGGUUUGUUGGUUGGGUUGCUGAGCACGAGCAGGUUGUGACUAGUGGCCGACUGGCCGUGGCAAGUGAGGACUCUGGGUGUUUUAGGUGGUUUUAUAGGGACGUGGAGUGGUCUUGAGUCUCGCUCGAGUGGGCGUCGUGGGUUUCGGGUCGGGCCAUGGUGAACUGGUGCGGGUGUGUCUGUGUCUCGAUGCAUCGUCUGCUUUGCAUUUUCAGUCGACACCCUCCAUUCCUCCAACAAAGAUGAACGAACGGUUCACUUGUUUUUCACCGCAAGAAUGCGUUUUUGAAUAUUUGUAUCAUGUGAGCAAUACAGUACAGACCUAAAGGAUUCUCACCGGAAUCUGGUCAUGAUUCUGGCUGGAGUCGCAUCAAGCAUCAUCAUGUAGCUGAACACUUUGUCCACUGGGAAAAAUGUCUUCCCAGAAUUGAUUCAGUCAGAACCAUUUCAAGUUUGGCGCCAAGGCUUAUUGGCUUCUACGACGAGUUCAAAUUUGUUACAAAAAACUAGAGUGUUCACCUGCUCAAGACACUAAUACAAUGUUCGUACUAUAUACUAGCAGUAGUACAGUAGUGAUUGAUUAUCAAAGUUAUGUUUCAAAGAUUGAGAUAAUAAUGUUUCAAACUACGCUUAUCCGUUCUGAUAGCCUCGACGACAAUCAUGCUUGGCAAUUGUCCCGAUGACAAUGAGCUUAUCUUCGCGGUCUUGUUACCUCGGGGCCAACGUCAUGUCAGUUCUCAAAAGCUACUACUGCCUUGAACUCACUUUCCCAAAGCAGCUUUAGAAAACAAGCAAAAGGGUAUCGCCUCACACCAUUUUAUAGUUCUGCUUUUGGAUUUAUCAAUAACUUGACCGAUACUGUAAUUUCCCCUGAAUGACACCUGCUACCUUAGCUAUGUUUGUAGCUGAAACGGUAAUCCUUCAGAAGUAAGGAAGCCAGCCAGGAUGGCUCUCGAAUACCGACGGUAGCGGCUGGCUGCAUGUGCCAGCGCACACGAUGUGCUUUGUCAAUGUGGUCAAAUGGCAAUGCCAUUCAGGGUUCUCAUCCUCUUCUCCUGCGUCCUGCCUUUCUCCUGAUCGUGGAAAGCAGCAAACCCUGGCCUGUGCUCCGUGGAUAAGCACAUGCCGCCAGACAUAGCACGAGCUCCACAGAGGCGCAGUCGGGCAGGGCAGGCAUCGGAGGGCUGGGAGAGGCGCGCACGGGGCACGGUUCCUGUGGUGCGACCCAGCAGGCCAGCAGCGGCGGCUUUUAGCUUUUAGCAUCGUUGGAUCGCUGAAAGCCUGGCCCCAGCGCUGCCGUUUCGUGCAGCGGGGAAGCGAAUCCUGCCACCGCCGAGGGCCCCGCUCUUGCGCAUCGUACACGGAUGUUAUCAUGACGUGAAGCCUGCUGCAUCGCGAAUGCGGCUUUGUUCGCUUCCUUUUUUUCAGUUCUCGCCGCUCCGCGCUGAGCCGCCGGUUGCUGGCCACAGCCAGCCACGCCACAACCUGUGGCGGCUGUGGCGGUCUGAAUCGGCGCCACAGCUUGUAGCGUGGUCAGCUGUGGCUGCCGACUAAACAGGGACGACGAUAUCCGUGUCCUCGUGUUACCAUCAGCAAGUCCCGACCUUGCCGCCGUGACUAGUCAUCCCUGCCGCCGGGCGCCGGCGGCGAGCGCCGGAGCAACCAGACCAGGGGCGGCCGCUGAGGCAACGCGGCACGCCGGGAGGCGGCUACGGGCGUCAGCGAGGUAAUGGGCUCAGGGAACUAGGCCUUCUCCUGGCGCGGCCCAAACCAACGCUCCUGCUCCAGCCCGACAGGUCCGAAUGUCCGAUCCUAACCGCGCAGAUUCCAUCGUACGGCUGAAAAGCACUCCGGCUCGGACGGUAAAUGAAAUGCCGUCCUUCCUGGACGGUAAAGGAGAUACCGUCCGCCCCCUGGAUCGGGGGGGACGCCCGCGCACGCGGCCGCGGCACGGCGACGGCGCCCGCGCCGGCGUGGCGUCCUCCUCUCCUCCGCGCACGGCUCGCAGAUACCCUUGCGUCCGGUAUUCUUUCCUCGUAUUUGCGUCUCUGCAAGCGACUUCGUCGUGGGCGGUGCUGCCCGUGCGCUGCUAGCUGGGUCGCCAUCGCCGGCCGGUUCCUGCCAGCGGCGUCCUCGUGCUCCUCUGCAUCGUCGGGCCAGCCGGCGGCGUGGGCAAUGCGGACUAGUCCCUCCCUUCCCCUUGGGAAGUAUCCGUCUCCAGCCACUGUGCAGGAGCUGCGUCUCUCGGAACGCUACCUAUCUAGUGAAUGUUGUCUGUGGAGGUCACUUUGGCUUUGAGCCUUUGAUCGUCCACGUCGAGGAUUCCCCUACUAAUCAGCACGCUUACCAUGUGUCUAUCAGUCCAUGUCCGAUCUGGUCAGAUAAUGCGUAUGCGUUGCGUAGCGUAGCUCACCCGUCGAUGUAAAAACGUAAUCAUGGCAGCUAAUAACACGGAGUAACAAAAUCAACAAGCAAGAUGUCAGUACUGGCGACUAGACAUAACUAUAGGGGAACACAAAAAUAUGCAAUGUCAUGUGUUAACUCUCCCCUGAUUCGUUAAUAAGCUCAAAUUUCGUACAGGUUAUCAUAGUACUUUCUCUUGUAGGACUCUUGGUGGCAAGAAACGUGAUGGUGAGUCGCCAGCAUGUGCUUGAAGAAGAGGAAACAAGCAUCCCUUGAUGCGCGGCUGUCGAGGCAGAGGACCUCCCGUUGCUUCCUCACCAAAUCUGGGCUGGGAGGUCUAAUGCCAAAUGGGCGCGUCUCGACAUGAUCCAUGCAGUGGAAUUCCAGCGUCUUGAGGAACCUGCUGUUCCCGUGAAGGAACUUGGCCAUCUGCCGCUGCCACCCGUGCCCCGAGUAAUCCUGGAACACCACUCUCUCGAGGUGGUUGUGGACGCAAGGUGCGAGCCUCAGGUCGUCCCAUGACGCUGCGGCGUCUUGGUUCACGGACCAAUCUUCGGGCUGUACUAAACAACGGUAUCCCUAAAAAGAAACAGUAAACAACAGAUAAAAUCAUUCAUUAAUGCCUUUUGCAAAAAAAUAAAAUAAAAAAAUCAUGAACGCUGUAGAUAA